AUCAUUUUUUCCUCUUUUCCUGCCAAAUUUUCAAAUAUUUUACUUAAGGAGAGUCCUUCCUCUAAAAUACCAUUUUUCUUUAGUAUAUCAAUUUUACCUGGACUUUGCAGUUUAGAAGUUUCUUCAUUUUGUUUAUUUUCUCAUCUGAUUCAAGCACUUUGAGGCAGUUGAGGCCAAGUUUCUUCGUGCAUCAUUUUCUGCUUUUGUAGAUGUGCUUACUGUCACGGGAUGAAUGUUUUGUGCAGCAAACCCGUGCGGCACUUAAACUGUUAGUCUAAAGGGCUACACAUAAUGUAAUUUUGAUGAUAACAAACAUGUGUUUUAAGUAAAAAUAAUAAAUAUUGUAUUUCACAUUUACACUAGUUUUUGAAGGAUAAUAUUUAUGCAAGUGAAUCAAGUGAAAUCAAGAUUGAAGACACUCAACGGACAACAGCGAAAUCAAGAAUAAAGUUUAGAGCUCAACGGACGAAUUAUUGCGACAAAUUCUUGUAAAGCCGGUAUGAUUUAAUUUAUGCAUGAUUUAGCAUUUGAGAAGCUCAAGAGAUUAAUUUAAUUAAAUACUUUUCAUAAACUAAAAUAUUUUAUUUUUAUGAAGUAAAGUAUUUUGUGGAUUUGAGUAAAUUGGACUUAAAUGCUAAGAUUUGAAAUCUUUGAUUUUAAUAAGUAUCAAAUUUCGGAGUUGGAUUUUUUUACAAACAUUUUAAAUGUUUUGGGCCAUACUAUAAUUUAUGAAUAUUUUGAACUAAAGUGAAAGGUUUUGAGAACUUUUAAAAAUAUGGGUAUUAUGUUGAAAAGGACUUUUGUGCGAAAAAAUAAAAUCUUUGGGGCCAUAUCAUAAUUUCAGAAAGUUUGGGAAAGACAACUAUUCUUAGGAAGUUCUGAAAUUGGACCUAUUUGUAAAGUUUUCUGACAUUUUGGGUCAUAGAAAAAUUAUAGAAAGUUUUGGGCCAAACUGUAAUUUCAGUGAACAGUGUUACUGUAACAAAAUUCAAAAAUAACGGUAAUAUUAUUGUUCCUGAGCGGCUAGCCGGAUAAUCAAGUGGCGAACCGCUUGAGUGCUGGAAUUUACCUAUAACGGCUAGUUUUUGGGCUUUCACUAUAAAAACUCAACUCAAACUUCAUUUUAAAAAAAAAUGCACGCAAAUAUAAGAUCAUACAACAUAUAUUGAGCUUCCAAAACACAAAUCAUCAUUGAUUGAAUCAUUGUUGAGCUAUUAGUUGCAUAUCAACUCUUAAAGAGAGUUUUUGUUGUAAUUUUCAUUCCUUAUCAAAUUGUGAGUGUGUAAGUGUGGGAAACACUUGGGGUGAAGAGUUGGGGAGAUAAUCUCUUGGUUGUAAAGGUUCAUUGACACCUUGGAAGUCAAUUGUAAAAACUUGAAGUCUUGGGAGGCUUGGAUAGUGAAAUCCUCGAGCUCGGUUGGCUUAGAGGCGUGGACGUAGGUGAGGAUUGCCGAACCACAUAAAAAUCAGCGUGUUUGUUUUUCUCUUCCCUAACUCUUUUAUUUUUAUGCUUGCUUGAAUUUAUUGUUCUCUAUUUCAUUAAGGCGUUAGAUUGAUUUUACUGUGCGAAUCGUAUUGCAUUAUUUUUAAAAACUCAAUUCACCCCCCUCUUGGGUUGCGUUACUUGUAUUUCAUAAACAACUUUACCGAAUGUUGCUAAGUAAGCCUGGAGCUUCUCGACUAGCUAACCCUAGAGGUUUUCGAAGAGUUAGAGAGAAGAGAGCAAUGGACCCAAAUGAGGAAAAUUGAAUUACUCGAAAGAAAGAUUACAAGAGAGCUUACAAGAAUGCUUAAGUUGCUUGCUCUAAACUUGUUGUUCAAAUGCUAAAUGUCAUGUCCUAUUUAUAGGGGAGGCUUGCCAAGCUCUAGAGAUUCUAGAGAAUUCUACCACAUGCCUAGAAUUCUAGAUAUUUACAUGAGCUAGAAAUGUGUGGAGUAUUUUAGAGUAUUUACAAGCUCAAAUGUACUAGAGUUGCCUAGAACAUUUCGGAAUUGGCCCAAGCUAGCACACUUGGCCUUAUCUUGGGCUCUUGGUAGGGAAAUUGGGCUAGCAACUUGGGCGGUCCGCAACAUUACGCUCGCGACAAAAACAAUCGAACAGUUUGCUCAAGGAAUGGAAUUAUAACAUUGUACUGUCUUUGGCAGUUGGAGAAUCAUUCUUAGUAGGAACUGUAUUACUUUAAUAGGCCUUCUUGUUUUGGAUUAGUUGACAUUUUUGUAACAAGAGAAUCUACACUGUUAGUUUUACAAUUUAAACCUUGAAAUAUCGGAAAGCUGUAACAAAUUCUUCAAAGUUUUGAAUUAUAUUUUGAAAGAAUUAGCUAGGCUGACAUUGAGCAACAAUUUUCUGCAUACAUUUUAUCUUGGGCAGAAUCAUCAAAAGUAGGUGCAUCUUUAAAUCUAGAAUAAAAGCAGGUUUGACUUGUAUUAUAAGAAACUCAAAUGGGGUGUCAUGGCUGCCUCCAUCACUAGGAAAACUUGCUCAGAAAAUAUGGAGAUUGCUGAAUGCUUUGGCAAUUCUUGAUGGCAUCAAAAUGGCACUUGAUUCUGGACUGCACCCACCACUAACUGUUGAAUCUAACUAUUUUAAUGCAGUGAAAUCAAUCUUAAAGAAGAGACUUCGGAUGGAUGAUCAAAGGAAUGCUCGGUUAUGUAAGAAAAGGAAAACAGUUUAUAGUUGCAAUACACUCAUCAAUAAUCUCAGGAACCUCUGAUGAUUGAAUUACAAUUUUUUUAAAUCCAUUCCAGAAUGCAAGCAUACCUGUUCAUGCAAGAUAUUCGAUGCUCUGCAUCCGAAACUUCGUCGACCUUUGCAUCUAACAGAUCAUUAACCUUACAAGCCACAGAACCCAUGGUCCACAAUAUUCACAAGAGCUUUGAUGGCAUGAUCUUUCAAUGUUUCCACCACUCUGCGUAACUGUGAAGAUAGUUUGUUUUCUCAAUGGAAAAUUGAAAUUAUCAGCUGUAAUUAGAGCAACUCACAUUUGUUUUUGGUCAUCACUGGUGUACCAUAGUUCAAGAUAUUCGGCUGUUGAGUAUAACUCUGUUCUCAGGUUUUUCAUAUCCUGAAGGUAAAGUCGCUUGAGUUAACCCAGUUCGAGUCGCAGGGAAGUCGCCUUUAUUGGGAGAACUUGUGCCCCCCGAUUCGAGCGGGGACUUCUAGUCUGGGUUGUGGUACGGGCUUAAAGGUGCCUCCCACAGUUGGGGCCCUCCCCAGGAUACCUCGUGGAUAAGACCAAAAAAAAAAAAAAAAGACCAAAGUAAAUAUUUCCAUAAACUUAAAUCUAUUACAAAUUGGUGCUUUUGUAUUUCCAUAAGUGGCUAUCUACUCCAAGGCUAGUUGAAAACAGGGUAAAAUUUGGAAAUUGACACACGAUCCACCGUUUAAAUCAUAUAAACAAGUAUCGCACGAUUAAACAAGAAUUGGCCUUGAAGACAUAUGCCCCUAUUUGCCACAAUCAUUUUUUUUCUUUUUCUUUUUCUUAAAAGUGAAUGCUGAGGUGGGUUCAACUCAUCAUACAUCUGUCAUUUUUUAUUUUACAAAAACACAAAAUAAGAAAAUGGAUUUGAUUAAGAUUAAAUUAGAUCGAUUUCUAUUUUCCAACGAAAAUAAAAUCAUCUUAUUUUUCACUUUAAUAAAGUAAAAUAAAAAACAAUUUUUUAACAUUUUCUAAUUUUUGUUUUUUCUGAGGCCCACUAAAGCUACAACUUUAAUACUUGUGAAUAAUGGUAUAUAGGUCCCACAAUCCACUCACUUUGUUAAUAUUUAUAUUAAUGUUUUAAGUAAGGCUAAUGUUAAGUUACAUGCAUGUACCUUACAACCUUCUCACAUGAAUAGUAUUUCACUCACUAUUCAUGUGAGAGGGUUGUAAGGUACAUGCAUGUAACUUAGAGUGAUCCACACCUGUCCCGUUUGUCUCACUUUUUUUUUUUCAAUUAUUUCGUUAGCCAGGCCACACUUUUAUAAACUUUGUCCUGGGCCCGCACUCUACUUUUGUGUUUUUUGCCCAAAUAAGCCGGACUAGCAUCACCCAUGUAAUUAUCUUUUCAGACCCCUCUCUGGUGUAUCACAGAAGCCCAAUAACAAAUACGUCCGCAAAAUAUCUAACAAAGAUAUUUCAACAAGCUGGUCGCGCACUGGGACGGGGAAUGGCUCUGUUCCUAAGAAUGAAUUGACGUCCUGUCCAGUGUCCCCCCUUGGCCCUUGCCUCCUCAUCACAGAGAUGAAAAUUGAAAUUAGGCCAAUUAGAUUAAAGGCGAGACGGAAUGGAAAUAUGGAACCGUUAGUUAUUAUACACAUGACCCCUCUAAUUAAUGGCUCUUUGCCUUUCAAUAUUAUUGUAGGUAUUUGCAAGGAAACCUCCUCUUAUCUUUCUUCCAAUUAAGACUUCUUAUGUCCAAUUACUGUUGAUUCUUUUUGAACGUGUAAAGGACAGCAACUUGAAGACUUGAGAGGGCCAGCAUUUAUUCAAAGUCAAGUACUGGGACUGGGAAUGGCCCUGUUCCUGAAGUAUGAACUGACGUCCCGUCCAGUGUCCCCUUGCCUACUCAUCAUACAAACAAAAAUUGAAAUUAGGCCAUUUAGAUUAAAGAUAAGACGAAAUGGAAAUAUGGGAUCGUUAAUUAUUAUAGCUAUGACCCAUCUAAUUUGUAAAUGGUUCUUUCCCUUUCAAUUUUAUUGUACGGAUUUGCAAGGAAACCUCCUCUAUCUUUCUUGCAAUCAAGACUUUUGCGUAUCCAAUUACUGUCAACUGUUUUUGAACGUGUAGAAGAAAACAACUAGAAGACUUGAGAGAGGGCCGCGUUAAUUCAAAGUCAAGAGUAGCUCAUUAGCUUGCAGCAUUCUUGAUGAUGAGGGGAAAAAAGGGUUGACAGAUGCUGGUAUAAUGUCUAUAAAACUUUAAUUAUUUCAUAAAAUUAUUUUAUUUUUUAUUCGCCAUCACGUUUGAGAUUCCCCCCCAUGGCCCAUUUUAUUUUCAUUUUUAUUUUUAUGUAGGUCAGUAGUGUUACUGGAAAUCAACUACUGCCUCUUUUUUCUUAUGGAGAAUUAAACAAAACUCACCAAUGACCUAAAAUAGGACAUGGCUACGGUACAGAGGCUGCAAGUAACAGCUUCGAACUUUCCCAUUUCCAUCACCUUGCAUUGGGACCUCUUUCUCUCUUCUCUAGCACCCGUGGAAGUUCUCCAUUGGCUGCUGUUACUUACAGAAGCCGUAACAUAGACUUGUCCCCUAAAAUAAAUAUAUAAUGAAUAUUUAUUAACAGAUUCUAGACAAAAUUAAUUUUUCAACCGAUUGAAGCUUCCAAAAACUCAAAUUUCGAAUUUUUAUAUAAAUAUAAUCUAUUUUAAGUAUCAUUAUUAAAUCCUCCUCUGUAGCACAUUAGCAAAUAUGCAACUUUUCUAGCUUAAAAUCUAGGUUCAAAUCUUGCCAGCAGAGUUGAUUUUCGUUAUUUUUUAAGUCAUAGUUAAUUUUGUUAUAUAAUUUCGAUCACAGAUAAUUUUGAAAAUAUUACGAGUAACUGUGUAAUUCACUCAAACCUUAGAGACUAAAGGAACAUUUACCAAAGAUUAAAAAAAAUUUUUUUAAAGCUACAUUUUGUUUCAUCCAAAUGAAGCUACUCAAUCUAUAUUUUAUUCCAAUAAAACUAUGGCUUCGUUUCAUAUCUUAAUUAAAUUAUAUAAUGAUGAAAUAUUAUAUUCUGAACUUAACUGAAUCCAAUAUCGUUUCACCAAUCGGUCAUAUGAGAUGAAGGAAAAAAAUCUGUUGAGAUUAAUUUUAAAUUAAAGUUGAAGAAUGGCGAUAUGAUACAUACACAUAUAUGACUCUAAAUUUAUUAAAUUGAAGACGUACUCAUCGUCUUGACGAUGUGCCAAAUACUGGAACGUGAGAAGGGUCUUUGGCCCUUGGAGAAGACUUGAGAGGGCCCGGAGUAAUUAAAAGUCAAGAUUGGCAUGCUGAAAUUAAUCUCUGGCUUUAACUUGCAACACUUUCGUGUCGGUGAGAGUUUUAUGCGGAGCUAAUAUAUGCACUUUCUGAACUAAAGAAAACUGAGUUUAAGCGGCGAAUGGCUGUGCAUCUUUGUCUGGUGUUGUUGCAGGUUAUUGUUUUGCACCUCAGGCCGAUCAAAGCAUCAGAAAUAUUUCCAUGUCCAACUGAAUGUGGAAAUGUCAGCAUCAGCUAUCCCUUCGGAAUCGGAGAAGGGUGCUACUUUGAGGGUUACGAAGUUAUCUGCGAUCACUCUUCUGGCUCUCCCAAAGCUUUUCUUCCUGGCGUCAACAGGCUAGAAUUAUUGCUUAUUCUCCCUUAUCCAAAGUUCGGGGCGGUUAGAGUCAACGUUCCUACAAUUUCUUUAAACGGCAGUAGUAAGCGAACAAGCAAUAUUGCUAAAGGCGUCAACUUAUCAGGUACCCCUUUCGCCUUUUCGACUGACAAUAAAUUCGCUGCGGUAGGCUGCAGCAUGAGAUAUCACCAAGGGAACGGUUCAUCCGUGUUUGUUCGGUGUCUGUCGAUUUAUACUUGUGAUCCUACUCUCUAUCCUGCUUGCUACGAUUUCCUAUGCCCCCUUGGUCCAAAUAUUACUCAUCUGUUCAAUGUAAAUACAUCAUACUUGUUUUCUCCAAGUAUUCCUCAGAAAUGUCAGUCUGUUUUCCUGGUUGAUGAAGAUUGGGUCAACAACAAGUACCUUGGAGAUCCUCAUGAUUUGAAAGAUCAACAAGAAUUUCCUGCAGCGUUGAAGUGGGGAGAAAGGAUAGGCAGUUGUUUUGAAGAAUAUAACUCAUAUUCUUGUAAUUCGGAUAAAACUGGUUGUUUAACACAAUUAAGCUCAGGCCAUUUAUGUCUUUGCUCUUCUGGCUACGACCUAGAGAAAGGAUACUGCUCAGGUACAGAUUGGAUUAUGAGUUAAAGAGUAAUUUUAUUUUUUUCAAAGAAAAUAUCCGGACGACAAGAAGAAAAGGGAAAAUUCUUGGUGCUCCACGAGCAUUAUGAAUAGAUGCUAUUUCCGUAUAAAUAUUAGCAAUAAACGUGAAUGAGAAACGGAAAAUGCUAUUGGAGCACCCUAGACUUUACUAGCAAGAGUUAAAUGUCAAAUGAUGUAACAUUCCUCUAUUGGAUGGUAAGAUGAUCAGAAAAGUGUUGUAAAAUUUAUCAUCCAAUAGAUGAUUGAAAUUAUUGAUUUUUAAAAUAUCCAUCGGAUUACUUGCAAAUGAGUAAAGUCUUCCAAUUACUGUAAAUGUCUAUGUAAACAGAAAAUUAAAGACAAAAAUGGUGGAGUUUUUUUAAGUUGUAGCCAUGAUUUAGUUUGAUCUUCUCUUUGAUUUAUUUAUUUUUAUUUAUUAUUUUCUGGGCAGGCGACUUGAUCUGUAAUAUCUCAAGCGGCUAUAAUUGCUCCAACUGUCCUGACGGUUAUUAUAAUCCUUUCUCAGAUGGUUGCAUUAAAGUUUUCAACAAAUCUCGGGUUAAAUUCAUUAUUAUAGGUAUGCAUGUCGAUCCGUUAAUUUACAUCAUAACAAAUUAAUAAUGUUUUUUAACAUAUAUUUCAAAUGAAAAUACUAAGUGUUCAUACGUUCAUUUGAUGAUAUCUUUCAUUAUUGUCCUCGAGAGCCGCAGGCUGCGGCGGUGGGCUUGCGUUAUUCUUUCUGCUCAUUGGAAUAUGGUGGUUGUACAAGUUUGUAAAAAGAAGAAGGGAAAUCAAGCUCAAGCAUAAGUUCUUUAAAAAAAAUGGUGGUUUAUUAUUGCAACAAGAAUUGUCUUCCAAUGAAGGUAAUAUUGAGAAAAUGAAGUUAUUUACUUCAAAAGAUUUGGAGACGGCCACCGACAACUACAAUGCCAAUCGGAUCCUUGGUCAAGGAGGCCAAGGUAUUGUAUACAAGGGAAUGUUAGCAGAUGGAGGAAUUGUGGCUAUUAAAAAAUCCAAAAUAUUGGAUGAAAGUAAUCUCGAGCAGUUCAUCAAUGAGGUAGUAAUUUUGUCUCAAAUUAAUCACAGAAAUGUUGUUAAGUUGUUGGGAUGUUGCUUGGAGACAGAAGUUCCUCUUUUAGUGUAUGAAUUUAUUCUAAAUGGAAGCCUCGAUCAAUACAUACACUACGAAUCAGAAGAGUUUCCAAUCACAUGGGAAAUGCGUUUACGCAUUGCUGUUGAAGUUUCAGGUGCUCUAUCUUAUCUGCAUUCAGCUGCAUCUAUUCCUAUUUAUCAUCGAGACAUCAAGUCUGCAAACAUACUUUUGGACGAUAAAUAUCGAGCUAAAGUUUCAGAUUUUGGGGCUUCUAGAUCUAUCACAGUUGAUCAAACUCACUUGACCACUCAAGUACAAGGAAGUUUUGGAUAUCUAGAUCCAGAAUACUUUCGAUCAAGUCAUUUUACUGACAAAAGUGAUGUUUACAGUUUCGGAGUAGUUCUUGUUGAGCUUCUAACUGGACAAAAACCUAUCCGUUCAACUGUAGCUGAAGAAGAUAAAAGUUUAGCAAGAUAUUUUAUCCAAGCAAUGAAAGAGAACCGUCUGUUUGAAGUCCUUGAUGAUCGAGUUCUUAAGGAAGCUGAGAAAGAAGAAAUUAUUACUGUUGCUACACUCGCAAAAAGAUGCUUGAACUUGAAUGGGAAGAAAAGACCUACGAUGAAAGAAGUGGCAUUUGAAUUACGGGGUAUAAGAGAAUCAAUUGGAGCUUCCAUUUUGCAGCAAAAUUGUGAAGAGACUGAUUUUGUGGAUGGUGACAUUACUGGACAUGAUUUCGAAAGGGAUUCAUCUUCUAGUGGGUCAACUUUAAAUAGUGUCUCAGUUUCUGUGGAUGCCGACCCUUUAAUUUCAAACAAAUGGUGACAAAGAGAAGAAUGGCCUUGAAACUGUUUGUAUUUCAUAAAUAAGAUUGUUAGACUUUUCCGAUAUUUUCAUUCUCUUGCAUCGUUACAGUUUCUUUGGGCACCAUCAUUUGUAAUUAAACACUUCCAAGUCAUUUCAAACAAAUUUUCCUCCUCUUUUUUUUCUUUUUUUUUUGGGGGGGGGGGGGGGGGUGUAAAUGGAAGAGAUGAAGGAAAAAUCUGUUGAAAUUAAUUUCGUAGUUGAAGUUUAUAAAUGCAAGAUGAUAUGAUCUCCCAGUCUAUUAAAUACUGAUGUGCAAGAACUUUAGCCCUAUGUGACCUAAUAUCUCUAGUAAAGAGGAGAGAACAACUUGAGCACUUAAAGAGGGCCAACGUUAAAUAAACUCCAGAGUGGCAUGUCGGAAUUGUUGGCUUAUUGUUAUGCAGGACUUUCCCGGUAGUGAAAUAAAGUCGAAAGGAAGAUGGGAGGAAAUAAAGAUCAAUGCGCUUUCUUGUAUUUCAUGGGUUAAAAAUCUUUUUAUCUGAUUACAAACUGAUAGAUAAAAUACCCUUGUAUCAUUUGUGAGUGAAUCUCUUAGGUCAAAAAUAUAAAGUUAGAACAAUCCUCAACUCUUUAGUUAGAUUUUGGGUAUGGCUUAAACCCAUGAACUUUUAUAUUUUAUUAGAGAUAAACUCACCCACGGUUAUGCCCGCACUACCUCCCACAGUACUUUACCACUAGACGCCCUUCACAUGGAGGCUUGGGUACCACUCGAAAAGUCAUUUGAAAGAAAAGUCUGUUUAAAAUUACGUUCCAAUUCUGUACUCUCAACUCUCCCAAGUUAUAAAUUGAUAUUCACUCAUGUUAUAAAAGAGUAAUGCUAGAGGAUCCCAUCUUGGGUACCAAUGGAUGGGAUCCUCUACCUCCCACAGUACCUUACCACUAGACGCCCUUCACAUGGAGGCUUGGGUACCACUCGAAAAGUCAUUUGAAAGAAAAGUCUGUUUAAAAUUACGUUCCAAUUCUGUACUCUCAACUCUCCUAAGUUAUAAAUUGAUAUUCACUCAUGUUAUAAAAGAGUAAUGCUAGAGGAUCCCAUCUUGGGUACCAAUGGAUGUGGCUUUCAUUUAGUGGAUAGUAAAAUAUUUAUUUUAUCAGUUAUUAUUCAAUAGAUAAAUGAUAUAUAAUAGUUGGGACUCAAAUUGGUACUUAAUUGGUGGGUCACAAUCAUUAUUGGUUAAAAAAAAUAUACAGAGAUAACUAGCGUAAGAGGUAAAUCAAAAACUCUUUCUUUCUCUCUGCUAAGACCCUUUCUGCCACCAGCUAAAAUUCACUAGUUUUGAUUAAUCAACGUGCCUGAAUUACACAGCCACCACAUUUUCGAACCUCUAAACUUUCAAAUCUAUUUUUCAACUCUGUUUUUCCAACCACUGCAGCCUCGAACCAACCGAAACUCCCUGCUGCUACCUCUAGUUACCACGUCGCCAAUUGCCCAUCACACAGCAAAAAAUUAUACUAAAGGAGUUUCAGUCGGGGGAGAGAACCAGUAGGUCUAUUCUUUUUUCUUAUUUUCUAUUUUUCUUCUAUAUUUCUUUUAUUUUUAUUUUUGUCUCUGCUUCUGUUAUUGUGCUUGUUUUUAUGUUUUUAUGUUUUCUAAGAUUUUAUACUGCUCCUGCGGUGGUUCUGGUGGUCCCUACAUAGAUGGUGUUGUUUCAAUGUCCAUAUCGAGAUUGUGUCAGUGUUCGGAUUGGAACGGUAUGCCUAUAUUGAAGCUGUUGAGGACUUUAAUAGUGGUACAUCAAGGUUCUAAUAACCUAAGGGGAGGUUCUGAUGGCCUAGGUCAAGGGCUCAUUGAGAGGCUUUCUAGUGAACCGUAAGGUUGGUUUUUUUUUGGUUGCAUUUUGUGGUUUUUUUUAUUGUUAUUUGUUUGCAUUCUGUUGUUACAAUUGUAUUUUCUUGUGCUCUGUUGUAUUAUCAAACACGAGGGGGAUUUCAGCUAUAGUAGCUGAGAUUGGUUCCUCUAGUUUUUCUUUGGAUUUUAAUUUGAGCUUAUUGUUAUCUUAUGUAUUGUACUUAAGCCUGUUAUUAUUAUUACAGGUCCGUCAUACUUCCUUUAAAAUAAAAAGAAAAAAAGAAUAUAUACGGAGGAGAACAACUUGUAGACUUGAGAGGGCCAUGGUUAAUUAAAAGUCAAGUUGACUUGCACGACUUUCUUGGUAUUGGGAUAAAAGCUAAAAGGAAGCUAGAAGGAAUUUAAUUAAAGAUCAACGCAUGCAAUUGCUCCGUUAAAUCUUUAUUCUUCCGAGUAAAAAUAUUGAGAAUGGUUGUUCAUCAUUAUCUGGUGUUGCUGCAAUUGAUGAUUUUGCUAGUAUGGCCAAUCAAAGCAUCAAAAGAUUUAUGCCAAUAUGAUUGUGGGAAUGUCACUAUCAUUUACCCCUUCGGAAUCGGAGACGGUUGCUACUUUGAUAAGAGUUUUGAAGUAUUCUGCGAUUACUCCUCUGGCUCCCCAAAAGCUUUUCUUGCGGGCAUCAACAACCUGCAAGUAUUGGACGGUCAUGUUUAUGAUUCAUAUACUUCUUUUGAUGUAUACAUGAUGAGGGUAUACAUUCCUGUAAUUUCUUUGAAGAGAAGUAACCUGACAAGCAAUGAUAAAGGGGUCAGUCUAUCAGGUAGCCCUUUUACAUUUUCCCGGUCGCGCAAUAGAUUCACUGCCAUAGGUUGCAACAACUAUUCUACGAUUAUUAAGCGACAGAAUGAUUCAUUCGUUUUUGGUGGGUGCCUUUCGAUUAGCACUUGUGAUCCUGCUCUUAACCCUGGUUGCUACGAUUUCCUAUGCACUCUUCCUCAAAAUAUUACUCAGGUUUUCAAUGCACAAAUAUCUAAUUUUUAUUCUAAAAGUAUUCCUCAGAAAUGCCACUCUGUUUCCAUGGUUGAAGAAGAUUGGAUCAACUCAAAGUACCUGAAGAAUCCUCACGAUUUGAAAGAUCACGGACAAGUUCCUGCAGUGUUGGAGUGGGCUGAGUAUAGAGGAGAUUGUUAUGAAGAAUAUAAUUCGAAAACUACUUGUAACAAGGACAAUAGAUGUUUAAUACAAUUAAGCUCAGGCUACCUUUGCCUUUGCUUUAGGGAAACAAGCUUUGACCGACACCACCAUGGAUAUUGCUCAGGUACAAUUUCGAAUACUAAUUAAAUUAAUUUCAUAUAUGAAGUGUAAUUACUGCAUUUGCUCGAACCAACUACGUAUCUAACACAAAAUUAGUGAAAGUAAUUGCAGAAUUCGCAUAUGUAAAAAGGGCAAGAUAUAUAUAUAUAUAGCCGUAAUUUAUUUUGAUAUUCUAUUUCAUCUUUUGGGUUUGUUCAGGUAACUUGCUCUGUAAUAUCACAAGCCCCUACAAUUGCUCAUUAGGAUGUCCCAAAGGUUACUUUUUAGAUAAUUUUUAUUCUAAAAGUAUUACUCAUAAGUGCCACUCUGUUUCCAUGGUUGAAGAAGAUUGGAUCAACUCAAAGUACCUGAAGAAUCCUCACGAUUUGAAAGAUCACGGACAAGUUCCUGCAGUGUUGGAGUGGGCUGAGUAUAGAGGAGAUUGUUAUGAAGAAUAUAAUUCGAAAACUACUUGUAACAAGGACAAUAGAUGUUUAAUACAAUUAAGCUCAGGCUACCUUUGCCUUUGCUUUAGGGAAACAAGCUUUGACCGACACCACCAUGGAUAUUGCUCAGGUACAAUUUCGAAUUAGGGAUGGCAAUUGUACCCGCAAACCCGCAAACCCGCCAAAACCCACCCGCCAAAACCCGCCCGUUGCGGGUAAUUUUACCCGUUGCGGGCGGGUUUAGUAUUAUAAAUUAAAACCCGCACAUGGAUGCGGGUGGGUUUGGUAUUAACCUUAUAUCCGAUGGAUACCCGCAUGGAUAUCCACCAAACCCGCAAUAUUUUUUUUCAAAUAUUUUUAAUUUAAUUUAAAUAUAAAAAUGUAUAAAGAAAAUAAUGUCAUUAAUCAAAUUACUAAAUAGACAAAGACUCAAAGUUGUGUAUGUGGCCCAUCUCUUAUUCUAAAGUCAUAACCUAAAGAAAACUAAAGGCAUUUCCCUUCGAAUUAGUAUUUGAAAAUAUUAAUCUUAAUUAUUAUUAUAGGCAUUGUGUUGGAUGGGUGCUUAUGGUGGUGAAUGAAAUGAAUAUCUUCUCUUGGAUCUUGUUUUAAAUGAUAAUAUGAAAUGUAAUUAUUAUUUUUAGAUACUAGUUUGUGUUUUUUAAAUAGAUUUGUGUAAUUUAUACUUAAAUUUGAGAAUUUGUAUUGAAUUGAUGUGGAAAUUUUAAUUUUUCAUUGACAUUGUUUAAAUAUAAAAUUGAGUAUGCUAUAUGGAAUUUGAGGUUAUUAUUAUAAAUUUAUAUAUUAAAUAUUUGUGAUUUUAAAUACGGAAACCCGCAAAAAAUCCGCCGGAUACCAUUGCGGGUUUGGUAAUUAUUAAAACCCGCUGCGGGUGGGUUUUUUAAAAAAAAUUAAAACCCGCUGCGGGUUGCGGGUGGGUUUGGUAAUUUAAAUUUUGUGCGGGUUUGGGUUUGGUAAUGGCAAACCCGCUGCGGGCGGUGCCCAUUGCCAUCCCUAUUUCGAAUACUAAUUAAAUUAAUUUCAUAAAUGAAGUGUAAUUACUGUAUUUGCUCGAACCAACGACGGAUCUAACACAAAAUUAGUGAAAGUAAUUGCAGAAUUCGCAUAUGUAAAAAAGGCAAGAUAUAUAUAUAUAGCCGUAAUUUAUUUUGAUAUUCUAUUUCAUCUUUUGGGUUUGUUCAGGUCGCUUGCUCUGUAAUAUCACAAGCCCCUACAAUUGCUCAUCAGGAUGUCCCAAAGGUUACUUUUUAGAUAACUACCUCGGUGGCUGCACAAGUUCAUAUGAACCUAAUCCAAUUUUGCACAAAAAUUCUCAUGUCAAAUUCAUUAUUAUAGGUAUGUUUUGGAAUUGCAGAUUUCGUCGACAGAAUUAACUGUUCUUUUUUUUUUGUUAAUUACCGUAUAUAUAGGCUAACAAACGCAAAAACUUCUGCACCUGAAAUUUGCAAUAGCUUAUACAUUUAUGAUCUCCUAUUCUAAACAGUUCCUUGCCAUAAAUCCCCUCGAACACGUAUUAAAUAUUCUUGUCCUGGAGCGUUGCAGGUUGCAAUAGUGGGCUUGGAAUGUUGUUCCUACUAAUCGGAACAUGGUGGUUGUACAAGUUCAUUAAAAGAAGAAGAGAAAUCAAGCUUAAGCAGAAGUUCUUUAAAAGAAACGGUGGUUUAUUGUUGCAACAACAAUCGUCAUCAAAUGAAGGUAAUACCGAGAAAAAAAAAUUGUUUACUUCAAUGGAAUUGGAAAUGGCUACUGACAACUUCAAUACCAAUCGAAUCCUUGGUCAAGGAGGCCAAGGCACAGUGUACAAAGGAAUGUUGACAGAUGGAAGAAUUGCGGCUGUGAAAAAGUCGAAAUUAGUGGAUGAGAGUAAUAUUGAGCAAUUCAUCAAUGAGGUGGUAAUUUUAACUCAAAUUAACCACAGAAAUGUUGUUAAAUUGCUCGGAUGUUGCUUGGAGACAGAGGUUCCUCUUUUGGUGUAUGAAUUUAUUCCAAAUGGAACUCUCUAUCAAUAUAUACAUGAAAUUGAGGAGUUCUCAAUCACAUGGGAAAUGCGUUUACUCAUUGCCAUAGAAGUUUCAAGUGCUCUAUCCUAUUUGCAUUCAACUACUUCUAUUCCAAUUUAUCAUCGAGACAUCAAGUCUGCAAAUAUACUAUUGGAUGAUAAAUUUCGAGCAAAAGUUUCAGAUUUUGGGACUUCUAGAUCUGUCACGAUUGAUCAAACUCAUUUGACCACACGAGUACUAGGAACUUUUGGAUAUCUAGAUCCAGAGUACUUUCGGUCAAGUCAAUUUACAGAGAAAAGUGAUGUUUAUAGUUUUGGAGUUGUCCUUGUUGAGCUUUUAACUGGACAAAAACCUAUUCGUUCAACCGACGCUGAAGAAGAUAAAAGUUUAGCAGGGUAUUUUCUCCUAGCAAUGAAAGAGAACCGUUUGUUUGAUGUGCUUGAUGCUCAAGUUCUGAGGGAAGCCAAGGAAGAAGAGAUUAUUACCGUUGGCAUGCUUGCAAAAAGAUGCUUGAAUUUGAAUGGGAGGAAGAGACCUACUAUGAAAGAAGUCGCAUUUGAAUUAGGGGGGAUUAGAGCUCAAAAGUGUGAAGACAUUGAUCUUGUGGGUGGAAAUUUUGAAACUGGUUCAUCUUCAACUGGAGCAAUUUUAAAUGCUGUUGCUUUUUCUGUAGAUGCUAGCCCUUUGCUUUCAAACAAGUGGUGAUUAAAGGGAAGAAUUUUCCCUUGAAAUCUAAAGAAUUUUCUUUUGAAAUCUAAGUAUUUCAUUUCAUAUAUAAAUAAAUUAAGUUGUGGAUUUUUGCAUUAUGCUUCUCUUAUGGCUAAAAUUUUUCAUCUCUAGAAUAAAAUAUACAGAGUUUGACGUUCAGUUUGUAAGCGGAGAAAUAAAUUUAUAAGGUAGAUUCCAACAAAGCAUCUGUGGCAAACAUAUUUAAAUAUCUAAGAAGCAAGCUUCUAAUGCUACCAAUAUUUAGUGCACUAGAACUUUGAAGCUGACAGAGUGAGGCAUCUCGGCAUCUGAAUCUGCAUACAAGUGGAACAGGAGAUGCUGACAUGACAUCCUACGUGGAGCUUAUGUGACACAUAUAAUGAGUCCAGUUCGUUCCUAAUUCACACGCUUACAUUGUAGCCCCGUUCUUUGUGUUUCGAGUACCAUUGGUGAUCCAUCACUUGGUGCCAUUGUAUUGCUAAUAGCACCUUUGCCUUGAUUGAUUUUGCUGACAAUAUAUAGGGUGUGUUUGGGAGUAAAGUCCUACAACUUUUAUGUUGCGUUUACUUUCCGGACUCGGGAAUCAAAAUUAUUAACAGCGUUUAUUUCGCAAAAUAAAUUCAAGAAUAAGAAUUGGAAUCAUGGAGCACACCACAAUUUUAGAAUGAGGAAUGAGAGACUCAUUCCUAAGAGGGACGUGGGAAUGAGUCUCCCAUUUUCAGGAUUGACUAUUUUACCUUCCUCAAAUUUUUGUCCUCAGUUAUAAUUAAUUAAUGUAUUAUUAUUAAAUAAUUAAUAUACUACUAUAAUAAUUAUUAUAAUUAGUUCAAAUAUUAUUAAUUAAUUAAUUAUAAUUGUUACUAUUAAUUAAUAUAUUAAUAUAUUAUAAACAAUAAUUAUUAAUAAUUUUAAUUUUUGAUAAAUAAUCACAAUAAUUAAUAUACUUUUAUUAUAACUAAUUAAUUAGUAUACUAUGAUAAUAAUUACUAAUAUACUUAUUAUAAUUAAUUCAUAUAUAUUAUUAAUUAAUUUAUAUAAUUAUUACUAUUAAUUAAUAUAUUAGUAUAUUAUUAACAAUGAUAUAUUAAUAAUUAUAGUUUUGGAUAAAUAAUCACAACAAUUAAUAUAUUUUUAUAAUAAUAAUAAUAAUUUUUAGUUAAAAAUUUGUACAAUUAAUUAAUAUAUUAAUAUAUUCUUGUUAAUACUAAUUAAUAAUAAUACUUUUUGAAUAAAUAAUCACUAUAAUUAAAAUAUAAAAUAAUAAUUGUGACAAUAAUUCAUUAAGUGCUUUUUAGUAAUUUUUUACAAUAUAACUCAUUCUGAUUCUGAUUACAAGAUAAAAUAAAUACAUCAAUGAGAUUCUAACCCAUUUCUAUUCUGAUUCAUGUAGAUCAAGUAAACAACUUAUUCUGAUUCCUAUUCCUCAUUCUCAUUCCAGCUCAUAAUGAUUUCAACUCAUUCUGAUUACAGUCCAUUUCGAUUACUAACAAGUAAACACAACAUUAAGAUGCAGCUGUUGUGGAGCAAAAAUCAUAGUUGUGGGAUAGAAGCUGCUGGGGUUUAGCAAAUUUUAAUAGUUGUAGAGUUGAAAUUGAUGGUAUUUGGUAAAUUUUAAUUGUUGUAUAGUGAAAGUUGAUGAAUAUUUGUAAUAAUUAAUUUUAAAUAACAUUAUUUUUAAUUAGUAAUUAGUCAAAUUAUUUUUCAUAUUUUGAAUUAUCAUAUUAACAUAUGAUUAUUGUUUAUUACUUUGACAAAUCAAAUUAAUAUUUAAUUAAUCGAAGUUAUUUUUCUUCACAAGUUGUAAUAAAUAUUUUUUAAAACAAAAUAAUUUAAAAUUGAAAGUACAUAAAUUCUAAUUUUACUCAUUGAUUGAAGAAAUAAAUUAUACCAAAUAUGUCUAAUAAAGAUUGUACAACAUAACAUUUAAAAUUAAAAUGUAACUAAUUACAAAAUUCUUAUAAAUAUUUACAUUGUCAUGCCUCCAUUAAACUUGCAGCAAUGCCAUCUCCCAAGAUUAUCAUAUUUUGAGCUAUGUUAUUAGUUGUAUCAUAACUUUCUUUAGGAGACGCAAUCCUGCUUAUAUGUUCGCUAUUACUAUGACUUGGUUCAUCCAUUGUUUCAUCAAAAUGAUCAUGAUUUUAUGAAUGUCUUCUUAUGUAAUUAUGUAAGGCCAUGGUAGUAAUAACUCUCUCCACCUGCUUCUUGAAUGUGUAGCUUGGCAUAUUUCGUAAAAUCUUCCAUGUGUUCUUUCAAACCCUAAAAGUACUCAUUAGAGUUAGCAUUACUCUCAACACUAAGAUAUUCAAAUGCUUCAUUACUCUCUAAAGGAAAACCAGAUGAGGGAAGCCAAACAUGCUCACUCAUAGCCACUGUGUUUGAACAUUAAAUUUAGGUUUUUUUUCUAACUCUAGAUCAAUACCAUUUUUUUUUCGAAAUCUACUCAUUUGCAAAUUUUCCUUUAUUUUCUUUUUCCACCAAUCUUCACUUGCAUCAACUAUCCAUAACCUAUGAUUCCACCUUAGACCAAUUUCCAAGCUAAUCAAAUUCUUUCACAAUUUCCAAUCAGUUCUAAGAGAAUCCCAUUUGUUUUUCUUUUGAGUUCUAUUGUAAUCCGAUCCAGUUUCUUUAGUGGAUUCCUUAAUUAAAUUUUCAUAUGCUUCGGAAGUCACAUGAGUCCUAGGACGAUGUUUGGAUCCACCGCCUUAAUACCUAACUCACAAAAUACAUAUGAAGUCUGAGGGUUCCAAAUAGCCUUACUAAUUGAGUUACUAGACAUAAUUGCGUACACUUAAACCUAGAAAAUAGAGUAAUAUUUCUUCAUCAAACAGCAAUAUAGGAAAGAGAUUAAUUAAGAGCAAUACCCAAUUUUCUUUUUAAAACAAAUAACAUUAAUUAAGGAUGAAUUAUGUCUAGCAGCAAGGAUGAAUUAUGUCUAACAUUACAUAACUUGUUUCAAAAUGAGUUGUUAGUUUAAUAAACUUGCGGGUUCCUCUAAUUACAUAACCUGUUUCGAAGAAAUUAAAAUAAUUUUUCUCAAUAGUUCAAAUUUUCUUUAGUUACCUUUAAGUGAAUCCUUUCAAAUUUGUGCGAAGCUGAAAUGAUUUGUUCAAAAACAUGUAUUGUUGGAAUCUAUAGGAAUUGAUUACUUGUUUGUUGCUGCCUUUAAUGAUUUUUAUUAGGGAAAUUUCAUCAGAUAGGGAUUGUGCAUGUCUAUAAAACCAACUAAAAAAAUUAAAAAUGCAAUAAAGAUAGUGACUUCAAAGCAAAUAAAUCACACGUGACCAAUCACCUAUUAAUUUAUUCUAAGCAAAAGGCCCAGCACAUUCUGAACAAAAAGGAAGAAAAUGAAAAAUUACAUGUAACAAAGUAAAGGAAAACGCACCUUUCUUAGAUAUUUUGAAAACAAAGAUAGAAGAACAGAGGUGUAUGAAUAUGAUUGGUGUCAAAAUCGCGUCGAUGAGAAUAGCCGCUAUGGAAUUGCAUCGAUGAGAACUGUCGAUGUUGGAAUCAUGCUAAUAAGAUCGGUGUUUAGAGUUUGUUUUAUGGAAAAAUCGAUUUGAGAUUAAGUUUAAAAAUGAGGUGGGUAAAAUUGAAAUUAAAUAAUAUGUAAGGAUAAUUUAGUAAUUUAAUACACAACUGAGAAAAUUUUUUGUUGAACUGCCAAAGCCCAACUACAAAGUGUUACUACUAAAAAUGAGGGGAUGAUAUAUGGAAAAAAAGAAGCUUCAUUUUAAGGGUUUCUCUAUGAUGCUGUAAUUUUUUUACAGCAUCAAUAAUAUUUUUAAUUGUGUACCAUUGGAUUUAAUCAAUGGUACACAAUAUUUGUAGUAAAAAUAAAAAAAAAUUAAAAAAUAAUGGUAAACGGUUAACAAAUGUGUAAGGGGUGGAGAAUUUUAUAAAAUAACUAUGAACAUCCUUAGAGUUUGAAACAAUUUCACUUAAAUAGCAUAUUUGAUUUAAAAUUAUUUUCAAUCCUCCUUUAAAUUUGAAAUGUGAUAAUCUUUUUUAAAUAAAUCUUCCAAAAUCUAUUACCAUUAAGUAUAAAAUAAAAUGGUAGGUUAUUUAACACAAAUCAAAUAAAUAAGUUGCAAUUGCAAAAUUUAUAUAUGAUAUAAUAGUAAUAAAUAACACAACUAAGUACAUAUACUUAAGUAAAUGUCAUAGUUACAUCAAUAAACUCAUUGUUGAAAUUGCUUGUAACAUAAAAAUUACUUGAUCACACAUGUUUUAAUAAAAUUUAAUAUCGUAUAUUAAAAUACUCAUUAUUUUAUAUAAUAUUAAGGGCCAUUGUAUAAUUGAUCAUGAAGUAUGUAUUAUUUUUAUCACCCAUUGAACAUACUUAUUCUCUGAACUUUAUAUUUAUCUUACAAUUAAUAUCCUUACAUGAUAGGAAUUUUAAGUUUUAUAAGCCUAUAUAUUUUCAUUUUAUUUUCAAAUAUCACUUUGUUAAUUUCACAAAAGUUAAAUCUAAUAUAUAUUCCUAAUGAGCUUUAGUUUAUGAAUCGUGAAAGAUUAUUUUAUUGAUAUCCUUUGAUUGUAAUUAUAAAAUUUUAUGUUAUUAAGAAUAAUUACCUUUGUUAUGAUAAUUAAUAGUGACAAUAAAUAAAAUAUUACCUCCCAUAAUAUUUACGUGGGAAAAAAAGUGAAAGAAAAUCAUUUAUAUUUUUAGAUUUUUAUUGACAUGGUAGGAAAUUAUCUCAGCCUUAUAAAAUUUAACUUUCACAAGCUUGUUUUCAUUUUAUUUUCAAAUGUCACUUUGUUAAUUUCAUAAAAGUUAAAUCUAACACAUAUUCCUAAUUAACUUUAGUUUAUGAAUCAUGAAAGAUAAUUUUAUUGUUAUUCUUUGAUAAUAAUUAUAAAAAUUUUAUGCUACAAAGAGUCAUUACUUUUAUUAUGAUAAUGAAUAAUGACAAUAAAUAAAAUAUUACAUCAAAUAAUAUUUAAUGGAAAAAAUGAGGAAAAAAAUCAUUGUAUGUUUUUAUAUUUCCAUUAUAAAGAUAUGGUUUGGGAUACUUUAACUUAAAAUUUUGGUACAAUAUUUGAGCCACUAAUAUCUCAUAGUCUAAUGGUUGAUAUUGAAAGUCAAAGCAACAUUUCAUAAUGUUAUAUCCUUCACCAUUGAAUUACAUGAAAUAAAUAGUUUAAUUUUUUGAUAAAAAAUUAAAUCAAAAUAUUUCUCACUCUAUAGUUAUAUAGACAUAUAUAUUUUUCAAUAAUAAUUGGUGAAUAAAAUAUUUCUCAUUUGUUGUGACUCAUAUAGUAUUAUUAAUAAAACACAUAUAAAAUAGUUUAUUACAAUGCUUUCUAUUAUCAUUAUUGUUUAGGUGUUAAUGGUUUGUAAUUAAAUUCAUACAAUACAAAUUAUUAUAAGACUUUGUGUUAAAUAACCUACUUGAUAUUAUAUUUUAUACUUAAUGGUAACUGAUUUUGGAAGAUUUAUUUAAAAGAGAUUAUCAUAUUACAAAUUUAAAGGAGAACUGAAAAGCAAUUUUAAAUAAAUAUACUAUUUAAGUGAAAUUGUUUCAAACUCUAAGGGUGGUCACAAUUAUUUUACAAAAAUUAUCCACCCACUUAAACUAUUAUCAUUAUUUUUUUAGUACAAAUAUUGUAUACCAUUGAUUAGAUCUAAUGGCUCACAAUUAAUACAUUAUUGAUGCUGUAAAAAACUUUACAGCAUCAUAGAGGAACCCUCAUUUUAAAUUAAUGAACAAAAACAAUUUAAAGAUUUAAGAGAUCUGAUUUGUCGUUUCAUUUCACUAAAAUGUGGAUAGAUAAAAUUAGUUAUUGGGUGUGUCUUAUCCUAAAAUUAAUCUUUCACGAAGUCCUUAGAAACAAGAAAAUACUAUUACAUAGCUCGGAAAGUGUUAAUAGUUAUAGAAUUAGGCGUCUCUUACACAUAUGUCUUCCCAUGUAUAAAAGCGUUCGUAUUAAGUUAUGAAAUGGUGGAUUAUUAUACUAAACAAACGGCUCUUUCCCUUUCAAAAUUAUUGUACGUAUUUUGCAAGGAAACCUCCUCUACUUUGUUUCUUCCAAUUAAUGUCCGGUUAAGACUUCCGUGUGCCCAAUUAAUGCCAAUCGUUUUCGAAUGUGUACAGGAUAACAACUUGAAGACUUGAGAGGGCCAGCGUUAAUUCAAAGUCAAGACUCAAGACUAGGUUAUUACCCUGCAGGAUUCUUGAUAGUGAGGUGAAAAAAAAAAAAAAAAAGGUUGAAGGAGAUUAGGAUUUAAUGCUGAGUUUAGUUUUUAUUCACCACUAAGUUAAUGAUUAGAAUUUAUUUUGUACUUUUUCUUUUAUUUAUCUUACCUAAUAAUUAUUUUUUGAGAUUCUUGUCCAAUUGAAAGAUACUAGAGAAAAGGUUUUUAAAACUUUAGUUAUUUUUAUGUAUAAAACAAAAACUUUAAAUUAUUUAGUUUCAAAAGAAAAAAAAUGUAAUUUUAAGAGACCUCCUCUGAGAUUUGACGUAUUAACAUUUAUAUAGAAAAUAUGCCCCUAAUUACAGAGACCUCCCCAGCCGUUUAUACUCAAUUUCGUAUAUUAUAAGAGAGUAAAUUAGUAAAAGCGCAUUUAAAAUUGAAAUAAGUAAAAAGCUAAUUUGAAGAUAAGCCCACUGAAACACUAAAAAAAUCCCGAUGAAAAUUAGUUACCACUAACUAGAGGAUGGAUGAAUGCUUGCUCUCUUUCAUCAACCUAACUCAUCACAAACAAUUUUCUCUUUCAAUCAACCGAGGCCCACAUGCACUCCUCAUCUCUAAAUGCUUUGAAGAUGAAAAAAAUCAGAUUUUUAUUGCCAAGUUCCGCAACUUUAGCUUAGAUUUAUUAACAAGAAAAGCAUCGAUGGUGGCCUAAGGGUGGUGUCAGGUGAAAAUAGCUGACUAUUCGGCGUCGGACAUGACUGUUAUUGACUUGAAUUCAAAGAAGGUUAGUCUUUGAAACAAUUUUGGAUUUAAUUUUUUUGUUUUAAUAUGUUUUAUAUUUUAAAAUCAAAUUGAAAUUUUAUUUCAUUUUAAUCAUAGAUUGGUUUUUUUUUUUUGUUUGAAAAUGAAAAUGGGCUGAAGUGUUGGAGAACAGUUGGCAUUGUGUUGUUCAUAAAAAAAAAUGAUAUCAAAUUGUUGAUGUAUUAGAGAAGAUGCAUGUUGUUUGUUACUUUCAGAUCGUAGCUAUUUGGAUUUUUCAAGUUAAGAGCUAAUCAUAACAUAUGUGUUGGAAAUUAGUGAUUUUUAUGUGACUUCUUUGUCAAAUGAAAAUGGGUUAGCACUGUUAUGAAGAAUAUGGAUGCUAUUUGGAGGAAUUAACUUCUUAACAUGUGCUUGAACUAAAAAUACCAAUGCAUAUUAGAAAUUAGUGAAGUUAUAUGCAUUAAUAAUAUUGGAAAUAAGGGUUUGUUUGUGAUGCUUUAAAGAAGCUGAAAAGGAUAUUGCUUGUGCUCCUUAAUAUGGAGAAUUUUUAGUUGCUUGAUAAAAAAAGCAUUAGUGACAAAUAAAAUGAAGAAAUUUUGGAUGAUGUUUGUGUACAAGAUUUAAAUUAUUUGUUUUAUUGAAGCUGUACUGUGUUUUUAUUUGUGAUUUAACCAUUAAAACGGCUCUGUAACAUUGAUUAGAGGCUGCAUGUGCUCUUUUUAUAAAAAAAGAAGUAGUGGCAUUCCUAAGUGGAGUAAUGAGAUGCUAAGAUGGGAAUGUAUGAAUAUUUAAUUUUGUUCUUGCUUUAAACUAUGACUAUAAAUCCUAAGUCUUCUAAAAUGAAACUCAAUUAUGCUUUUAAGAUGUAAAAAGGCAUCAUUGCCAUUUUUAAGUGACUUUGAUAAUGCUUCAAAUGGAAGUUCGCAUUGGUUUGUCAAAAUCUUUUGUUAAGCAGGGUGAAAUGAUUCAAUUUGCAUUGAAUAUGCGAAAGUUUCUAAGCGAAUAACUUGUGGUCUCAUGUUAUUUUUUUUCAGAUGAUGCUCUAGUGGAGGUCGAAAAGGAAAAGAGAGUCUUUGUUAAAAAAAAAAAAAGCAGGGAACAAAUAUGCCUUUCUAUAAUUGUCUUCCUUUUAACAUGUAUGUCAUGAUUGGUGUGCAUAAAUGACCUUUAUUGACUAAAUAAUAUAAUCAUGAACAAGUAAAAAUAUAAUUUUUUUUAGUACUUUUCCUACUGAUCAUAUGUGAAUUGAAUCAAUUGUGUUGAAAAUGUUGAUCAAGGCAAAAAAGCUCUCAGCCUUUGCUACAUUCGAAAAUAGCAAGAAGGAAUUUUGUAAGCCCAACUGAAAAAGAUUGAGGUAACCUGUCUCUUCUUAUUCUAGAUUCUUUUUUUUUUCUUUGUUUUACUUCCCAUUUCAUCUUCAGCAAAUCUAGUAAUUGGAAGGAAAUAAUUGGAAGGAAAGAAGGCUGAAUAUGCUGAAAAUAUGAAAAAUAAGGCAGCUAUACGUCACAAAGAAGGAUCAUGCUACGGUGCAACUGUGACACCGUGCCACAGUUGCAUCUAGCCGUUAGAUGCAGUUGGAUUAGUAGGGUCCACUGAUAUCCAACGGUUAGAUGCAACUGUGGCACGGUGCCACAGUUGCACCUAAGGUUUGCCCCACAAAGAAAUAGAAGAGAAAAGGGCAACGGUUGAAGUUAGUGGUGGAGAUUGAAUUCUUAAGUUAAAGGAGAUGGUUGAAAAAAUCGGUGUAACUAAGAGCAUUUUAAUGAUCAAUGGAAUUAAACAAAUGUUAACAAUAGGUUGUUGUCUAUUAGAUAUACCAAAUUUGACUUUGAACUGUUGUAUUAUGUUAAAUUUCUAAAUUUUAUUUCACUGUAUAGUAUCGCUAGCCCUAGUUUCCCUAAGAUAUUUUUUUUUUUACAAUUGAUGAAUAUUUGAUGUCAAAUUUUUAUUUCCCAAGAGUGGUAAAGUGUAAUGAUUAAUUUGAUAUUUAGUACUACUAAAUUUUUAAAUUUUAGUUCACUGUAUACUAUCGCUAGCCCUAGUUUCCUAGUAAUUUUUUUUACUUUUAACAAUUGAUGAAUAUUUGAUGUCAAAUCUUUGUUUCCCAAGUGUGUUAAAGUGUGAUGAUUAAUUUGAUAGUUAGCACUAAGGCUGUUUAGGUCUUUUCUCAAAUCAAGGGUAAUUUUUACAUAUCACUAGUCAACUAACAUUCAAGGAAACUGAGUACAGACGGUAGGGGAGGUCUCUGUAAUUAUGGUUAUACUUUCUAUUUAAGUGUCAAUACGUCAAACCUCAGGGGAGGUCCCUAAAAAUUAUCCAAAAGAAAUCGAGUCUUUGAGCUGCUUUGGAACAAAUUAUAUUUUCAAUUGAAAUUGAAAAGAAGAAAAAAAAAAUAUAUAAGAGAGGUUUUAUAAGAUUAAUGAAGGGGUUCCAAUAAUCCAAUAUUUUCACAAUUUUUUCUUUUAAGUUUUAUUCAUCACCCCAUAGGCCCAAUUUAUUUUCGUUAUUAUGUAGGUGUGGUGUUACUAGAAAUCAAAUGUUGCCUUUUUUUCUUUUUCUUUUUUUCCUCUCCUCUCCUCACUUAUGGUGGAAUGUGGAGAAUUAAACAAAACCAAUAUCCUAAUAUAUAAUUAAUAUUUUGAAACGACCCGCCCCGAAUCCCCCCCAGGCGAGUUUAUCUAGUCUCAUCAAAACAAACUUGAUAAAAAUUCUAUUAGUAAAGAUUCUGCCGAAAAUUCGGCAGAGUCUCCUUUAUAUAUAUAACACUCACAAUCUAUAAAUAUGAAUAUAACACUCCCAAUACAAUUCAAUAUAUAACAAACUCCAGUGAUUAACAUUCUCAACUAAAAUGCUGAGUUUUAUAUCUCCAGAGUCUCAAAAGAUAAAAUUAUAACUAAUAUUAAUAUCUCAGUUUAUUCUUAAUCCCAAAAGAAUAGUAUAACAAAAUUAUACAAUCCCAACAGAACGAGAUAACCAAGAUGUCCUAACAAAAAUAUUUAUAUCUUCUAACACCAUCACGUGGCCAAGACUCAAAAUAUAUUUACAGUCGCUUGGUCGGUCUGGUGUACCUGCAACCUCCUGGUGAGGGGGGGGAGAAAUAUAAUAAAAACGGGGUGAGUUUAAAACUUAGUGAGAUCAGUGAGUGGAUAAUAGUUUUGAAAAUUAAUUUUUACUUUAAAAGAAAUAAUCAUAUCAUUUCCAAACACGAUUUCAUUAAACCAUAAGCGAGAAACCAGUAAUAAAUCAUUAAACAUUUAAAUCAGAUUACUAACCAUGGAAAUCAUAUCACAAUAUCAUAUAGAAUUCACAAAUCUGAAAAUUAUCACCAAACAAGUACCCAGGGAAAUAAUCUCGUCAUAUCCGAACCUCAACGGACGGGCAAUGAUGUACUAUCUGGGUAACGUCACGCCCCGGAGCUACACUGAUAGAUAGGGAAAUACCAUCUCAUAUCUCAUCAUAUCUGUGCAUGCAUAAUCUAGUCCCCAAGGGACAAAAGCGCCCAAGCACACGGCCCAAAGCCUCUGUGUGUACUCAGACGGGCCCCAAAGGCCUAUAUCUCAUUUGUAUCAUAUGUAUCAUUUGUAUCUCAAUAUCUGUCUGUAUCUCAUAUCAGUAUAUCUGUAAUCAUCAUACCGCAUGCAUAUGCCCCCAAAAGGCAAAAGCGCCCAAACACACGGCCUAAAGCCUCUAUGUGUGUUUAGACGAGCCCCAAAGGCCUCUCAUCUCAUCUCAUCUGUAUCACUGUAUCUGGAGGGAAGGGUACUGUCUAAUGAUUUAAAAAACAAUCAUUAUACUCAUUCACAUACCUCUUAACCAUAUUUUCAAUCAUACCACAUUUGAAUCCACUUUUCUUAUCUUUAAAAUACUAUCAUGCUUAUUCAAAGUCGAUACGCAAAAUCAUUAACCAAACAUUUUAAUAAAAUAUCAAGGCGUGAAUAAAAUCCAUUUCGAGAAAUCAUUAAAUCAGAACAUUUAAAAUACUUAUUUCGCAAACAUGCUUUACUAUCAUCGCUAACUAUGAAAAUAAGUUUUGUAUAUUCCACUCACAGUGACGAUGUUCACGGUCGGUUAUCGUCCACGUCUGCGGACCGGUUCUCGCUCGCAGAUCCUCCUAAAUUAAGGAAACGACAUAAUUAUUUUUCGUAAAUCAGAAUUAUGACUAAAUUUUAUGCAAUAAACUCGAAACGAACAUCUAUCCAUAAUUUACAACCCCCCAAACUAUAAAAUUUCUAAAAUGCCCUUGAGUCCGUAGAUCAUUAACAUGCUCCGAAAUCGUAAAUCACCGAAUUACCCUCGGAAUCGUAAUUACACCCAAUCCUCAAUUCUAGGAAUUACGAAAAUAUCCACAGGCUCAGAAAUUACAAAAUUGCCCUCAUAGUGUGAAAUUACCAAAAUGCCCUUGCCGAUCAACGGUCACCGGAAUUUCGUCAACACUGGCUAGGAAGCUCAAAUCUUAAAGUUCCAAUCACGCUGAGUUCAAUGGUACCGACGGUGAGCUCCAACGCGCGGCAAAACAGCCGGAAUCUAGCUCGGCAGCCGUGAAUUCCAAGAAUCGACCGGCGGCAAAACAGUGACUCUCGGUGCCUAUGGAUGGUCGGAAAUGGAAGACGGAAUCGUGGGGAACAAAAUCCAACUGGUGGUGUCACCCAAAACCGGCGAAAAUCCCGGCGGAGUAAAGUGAAACAGUCGCGGGUUUCAAGCUUCGAUCUCCGGUGUUCCGGUUGGUUUUCGGCGGAGAGGAUGGCAUGGGAACGACGGUCGGCUUCUAAGCUUCAGAUUGGUACCAAGCUCGGCCAAAACGGUGGCCGGAAAUGGGAGAUAUGGCCGGGUCACGUUCGCAGGUCGGGUCGGGUUUUUUCGGGUCUGUAGUUGGGUUGGUUUGGUAGCUUCUCUCUCACUCUCUGUUACACGUGCAUAUGUUUCCUCUGUUUCUAGCUUAUUCUUUUACUUAUAAAAUCCUUAACCGCCUCAUUUUCAUUUUAAAUUCACAUAUGUUAUAUAUUUAUUAACAGAUUUCAGAAAAAAUUAAUAUUUUAAAAUAUUGCAAACUGCCAAAAAGUCAAACUUUUAUUUGCUACAUAAAUAUAAUCUAUUUUAGAUAUCAAUAUCAAAUUCAUUAGGUUAAAUUCUAGGUUCAAAUCUUAACAGGCAGAAGUUUGAGUUAAAUUGGUAAAGGAAUUAUUUUCUAAUUAAUUUCUUCUUUUUGAUUUUGAAAAAAACAUUCGAGAGAAAGAGAGGAAGUUGAAACUGAAGCCGAAUCAACUGGAGCAGCAUCAAGCAUCUUUUGAAAUUCUUCUACAUGCUGCUUUUUUUCAGCUUUUGUUUUCAAAUGUUAUUGAGGGCAAAUAAAGUCUGUAUGCUUGAUAUUGAACAUAAUUUUUAACAAAUAAAAACUAACACUGACGUUGUGCCAAAGAAUUUGUUUCUAGCUUAACUGGGCCCAUUUAGGAUAGCUAAGAUAGCUGCGCUGCCAAACAGGGCUUUGAUUUCAUUGCUAUAAGUAUUUAUCAAGUAUUUUUAAUAGAUUUUUUUGGGUGGGCUGAAUGGUUAAGUAAAUUAAUUAAAUGGUUUAAAUAAGGAUAUUUUUUUAUAUUUGAAAAAAUGUACGUAUUAAAAUUUUAUAUAUUAAAUAUACAAAAUAAUAGAAUGUUUAGAAUAAUUUUUAGACUGCAAGCAGCCCUACUCAUUUUAUUAAUCAAGACUUAAGUGUCACUAAACUAAACCUCCAUAUUCCAAAUCUAUAGAAAAAAACGAGAAAAGGUACCGAAUGCAAGCGAUCUGCUGUUCAUCAAUAUCAUCUGGUGCUGUUGCUGAUCAUUUUGUUAUUCUGGUCCAUCAAAGCAUCAAAACAAUUUGUCUGUGAAAACGAUUGUGGAAACGUGUAGAUGAUAUUCCCCUUUGGAAUUGGAGAAGGGUGCCACUUUGGUAAGAGUUAUCACGUAAUAUUCACUCUUCUGGCUCUUCCAAAGCUUUUCAUCCUAGUAUCAAGACGGAAUAUCGUACCGUUACUCCGUAACUAAAACUGGAGUCAACAUUCCUAUAGUUUCUAUACACAGUGCUAUUGCCACAAGCAAUAAUAUUGCUAGAGCAGUCAAUAUAUAUGGUAGCCCUUCUACCUUUCCCUGGGGGCUCAAUAAAUUUACAGCCAUAGGCUGUGACAAUUAUGCAAUUAACCUGGACAAUGAUAAUGAUUCAGCUGUGCCUGUAUGUCUACACUUGCGAUCCUUCUCAGAAAAGUGGUUGCUUUAUUUGUUCAGAGUAAAAUUUGGAAUGUAAAAAAUUCCAUCCAAAACUUUAUCAUCGAACAAUUUGUAUGAAUUCCUGUAAGGAAUACGUUGGCAUAUCACAGAAGCCCAAUUACAAAUACAUCCGCAAAAUAUCUACCAAAGAUAUUUCAGCAAGCUUGUCAAGUAGUGGGACAGGGAAUGGCUCUCUGUUCGUGAGGCAUGAAUUGACGUCCUGCCCAUCGUCCCCCUUUGCCUCCCCACCAUACAAAUAACAAAUGAAAAUUAGGCCAAUUAAAUUAAAGGCAAGACGGGAUGGAAAUAUGGAAUCGUUGAUUAUUAUACCCAUGACCCCUCUAAUUAAUGGUUCUUUCCCUUCGAUAUUAUUGUACGUGUUUGGAAGGAAACCUCCUCUAUCUUUUUUUCCAAUUAAGACUAUUGAAUGUCCAAUUAAUGUAAAUUGUUUUUGAACGUGUAGAGGAUAACAUGACAAUGCGGAGACAUUUAAAGUUGAUUGACAGAAUGAACAAAAUUUCCUAAAUAAUGAGGCUAAUUGAAAAAUUUUUAAAUUAACAAAACUAGAGUUUUAGAUCUUUUUAUAUAAUAUGCUACGGUGGUGGAAUAAUCUUUUAAAUUAACAUUUAAAGAAAUAAUUUUUCAGGCUCAAGCAAGGCCCAAAAUGGCAUAAGCUUUGUAGGCUUGAUUUGUCUUCUCGCAAACUUUAAAACGAUAUAUUAUACACUCAAAACAGACGCAUGUAGCCUAAGUUAUACCCUUUGGAAAGUACCCUUCUCAUCCCACACACCCAUCAUACAGUAGUCCCUCUCACUUGGAAAAGAACUUGCCCUCGAGUUUGACUUGUACAAUGCCUCAUCAUCUAGAUGAUAUUUAAAUAGAUUAGCCAUAUUGAAUGUGUAAGAGAUCUUCUAGUUGUCCAGCAGUUAGAGCACAUAAACAUUAUUAUUAAUCUUCCUUGCCACACGAAACGGUCCAUACUUGAUGUGGACAUGCAUCACUUUCCCGUGUCGAUGCAUGUUCACAUCGACCUUGUACAUAGCGUUUGCAGCCUCCAAAUGAGCUCGUACCUUGACAUGAAUCUGUAGAGCUCUUUUUACCACAUUAUUCACUAUUUUACUCCCUCCAGUUGCUAUGGGCAUGAUAGCUAAAUCAUAAACAUGGGGUAGGGAACAAGUGUAGACAAUCUCAAAUAGGGUCUUACCACCAUGUUAUUGAAAGCAAACUUGACUUGAGGCAAGAUAGUUUCCCAGUUCCGUUGCUUGUCACCACAAACACAGUGCAACAUGUUAACCAGAGUGCGAUUAACCACAUCCAUUUGACCAUUUGUUUACUAAUGAAAAGCACUACUAAAUUGUAUUGAACUUAUCCUAGAGAUGAUGCCAAAACUUACUGAUAAACUUCACAUUCAUGUCAGAAGUAAUAGUCUUUAGCAUACCAUACAAACUUACCACUUCUUCAGAGAACAAAUGCGCAGCUAAAGCAGCAUCUUUAGUAUUCUUGCAAGCAAUAAAAUGCAUGAUCUUUGAAAACCUGUUGAUCACAACCUAUCAAUUUGUUCCCUUAGAAUUUCGAGGCAUAUAUAACUAAUUAGAAUUGAACAUAUACCCAUCUUGAAUAAGGAAAUCUUUUACAUUUUGAUGAUUAAUGCAUCGAUCUUAAAUAUGCGCAAAGUCUUCAUCCUUAGCGUACAACUCCUUCAAGCAUUCAAAACCAGUACCUUUAAUGACGAGAGUAGUAAAGUUGCUUGCCUACUGAGUGCAUCUGCUAUCUUAUUAUGUUGCCCAAAUUUAUACUUAACAAUAAAAGUGAACUUUUACGUAUAGCGCACCCAUCUUGCAUGCAUCUUGCUCAGAUAUUGCUGGUUGUUAAAGUACUUGAAUGCUUGAUGAUCACUAUAAAGUACGAACUCUUUAUGAAUCAAGUAAUGCUCCUAUGACUUCAACACCCUAAGGAUUUGAUAAAAUUCUUAGUCGUAAGUAGACCAUUUCUGUUAUAUUUUAUUUAACUUCUCACUCAUAUACCUAAGUAGUCGUCCCUCUUGAGAAAUAAUAGCCCAAUACUAUUACCAUAAGCAUCACAUUCAACCUCAAACAACUUCAUGAAGUUUAGUAAGGCUAACACAGGAGUAGUAAAAAAAUUCUCUUUUAAUAAAACAAAACUGCACUCUGUAAUAAGUGGGGCUAUGUUACUAAAACUAUAAAUAAAUCUCUUAUAAAACAUCGUCAACCCAUGAAAACUCCUAACUUCACCCACUAUCUUCGGCAUAGGCCAUUCAUUAAUGCCUUGUAUCCUCGACUCAAUAACUCGAAUCCUAUCUACAUCAGUUAUAAAACUAAAAAUUCCACAUUACUCUACAGAAAGCUACACUUCUUUAGAUUAAUAUAAAGUUUAUUUUUUUUUUUGCAACAUCUUUAUAAUCAUUCUCAAAUGUUCUAGGUGUGCCACUGCAUUAACAGAAUAAACUAAGAUAUUGUCAAAAUUCACCACAAUAAAUUUGCAGGAAAAAGACUUUAGAACUUGAUUCAUUAAGUGCAUAAAAGUGCUUAACACAUUAGACAACCGGAAUGGCAUAAAAUACCACUCAUACAGCCCUUUUUUUAAUUUUAAAUGUUGUCUUCCACUCACCAUCAGGCCUAAUUAUGAUAUUAUGAUAUCCAUUACACAAAUCUAUCUUUGAGAAAACCCGAGCAUCAUUUAGUUGAUCUAAUAACUCUUAAAACGUGGAAUAAGAAAUCGAUUCUUCACCAUAAUAUGGUUAAUUAGCAUACUAUCUGUAUAUAUAUGCCAACUCUCAUCCUUUUUCGAUACCAACAAAGCUAGUAUAGUACAUUAACUCAUGCUCUCAUGAAUGAAACCUUUCCCUAACAAUUCAUGAACCUACCCUUGUAAGAUCACAUGCUCGUGAGGGCUCAUACGAUAAUGAGGCAAGUUAGGUAAACUCGCACCAUAUCUCAUAAAGGUGGCAGCCCAUCCAACAACUUUAAUGGUCUAAUAUCAACAAACUCAAUUAAUAAUGGCUAUACUUUUUUCAAGAACAAUCUUCACCUUUAAUUCUUCUUUUUUCUCUAGCUUCUAGCAAUCAUCGCAAUCAUCCUCUUGAUGAUUUUUAACAACCUUAGUAUUCUUCUUGUUGUUCGUUAAAGGCAUCAACGAACCUUCUUGUUAUUUCACUAAAACUCAUACACAUUAUCCUCUCUUCUAUACUGUAUCAACAUCAAAUUACUAAAGUCUACCAAAUAAUAGAUGGCACACAUCCAUAUUCUUUACAUCGCUCAACAUAUCACUCUUAUAAAUCUUCCCAAUGGAGAAAAAAACACGACGGUCCUUUAUUACUUGCAUUUUUGUCUCUCUAUUUAUCAAUCAUAUUCUGUUAGAUACUGGAUUUUUUUGGUUGAAAGUCCUAUCAUGUCAAAUAGUGCCUUUGAAAAUAUGUUCUCGCUAUUGCCACUAUUAAUUAUAAUGUUGUACACCUUAUCGUUGAUAGUGCCAUAUGUUUUAAAAAUCUUAUUGCGCUGAUUAUCCUCUUUAAAUUUCAAUGAUAAUAAAAUCUUCUAUAUAAUACAAUUUAGUUUCUCCUUCAUUUGCUUUCAACUCUAAAGCUUCUUUGGCAUCCCCAUUCUCAACGUCGUUCAGCUCUGUCUUGCUGACUUUACCCUCUACUAAAUUCAAAAAUUUAAAAUGAUAGUUACUCGAUCGAUGGCCUAGCUCCCUACACUUCAAACAUUUGUCCAGUAUAGGCUUCACUAUAAGUGAUUGUAUCUACUAUCUCAUCUUAUAUCUCUUGUUUUAAUCUGCCAAUAUAUUUUGUAACUAUUCAAAAUUCUGGCUCAUCCAUAUUAUUUUGAGUGUAUAGACAAUAAAAUUCGUUUAUAUAUUCAUUGACACUAUGAUUUCCUUACCUGCAGUUCUGAUAUUUAAAACUGCUGCCAGUAUUCUACUGGCAGGAAAUACUCUCUCAUCAUCCUCUGCACUCCAGGCCACUAUUUGAUAAAUUUUUUUGCAACUUUUCUUUAAUUAUGUAUGUAUUGCCAUUAUGCAGAAGCUGCACAAGCUUAAUUCACUUCUCUUGAGGAAUCUCCAUAUACUCGAGAAAAUUAUCCACUUGUGAUAUCCAGUCUAAAAAUUUUUCAACAUGCAUCCCACCAAAAAAAUUCAGAAUACUAACAUUAAUCUUGUAAUCUAAACUCUUUUUGGGCCCCUAUCAUCCUCCACAUAUUUUUCUUCUUCUAAAUCGUUUCUUAGCUCCUUACGCACGUGUACUGGUAUUCAUCACGUAGGACCUAAUUUUUGAGGUACUACUUCAUGAUUGAUGCCUUGAGGUUUUAUUUCAUGACCGACCCCUUGAGGUAUCUCCAUGUAGUUGUAAUCUUCAGGUUGUACACCACGAUUGACUCUUUGAAGUUCUUCCUCGUGAUUAACUUUUUGUUGUUGACCUCUCUUUCUGUUUUUGUUCAAGGAAAACUUAAGACUCAUAAUUGUCUUGCUCUAUCACCACUAAUCCCGAGUUAUAAGCUUCCUUAAUUGCUUCCAAGGUUGCUUCUCUAGCCGCCCGUCUCACAGCCUCCACAGUCUUUGGCUACAUCCCUUUGUUAACAUGUAUGUGUCUAUAAUAAUGAUUUUGAUGAUAACAAACAAGAUUAAGAAUGAUUAAGUUUUUAAAAGCUCAAGUUAUUUUUCAUACAUUUUAAAUAAAUCAUUAUUUUCAUAUAAUAAAGGUUUUUUUUUUUCAAAGAAAACGUGAUUUCAUGAAAUUGGUUGUUUUUCAAGCUCAUGGUCUAAUUGAAAAAAAUUUGAGAACUUUGAAAUCAACAAGUAUUGCUUAAAAUUCUAAAAAUAGACUUGUUUGAAAAGUAUCAUAAAGUUUUGGGCCAUAGUACAAGUAUAUAAAAUUUUGGGGCAAAAAUAUAAUUUUAGAAAAUAGUUUCAUUGUAGCAGUCGCUGUAGCAAAUAGCUAGCUGUUUGGAAGAUAACAGCUGACUUACAUUGAACAUAAUUGAAGAUUAGUCUUUGGACACUAACGGCAAACCGACUUCUUGAAAAUGGUAAAUCGACAUCUUCUUUGCAAGUUACUGGACGAUAAUGGCGAUCCGACAUUUCAAUAACGGUGAUCUGACAAUUUGAAAUUCUGUCUAAUGGUAACUUGCUCAAGUCAAAACGGUAAUCCAACUUCUAUUUAACGUCGAUCCAACUUCGAGUAAAUUAUCUCUAACGACUAUUCUUUAGCUCAAACUAUAAAAAGGCUCAUUUAAACACAAAUAAUAGUGAUUCCAACUACUAUCAAUGAGCCAUGUAGAUGCUGUGGUUCAAAACGAAAAUAGAAGAGUGUGGAGAUGUACCAGUAUUUAUGGCCAUCCAAAAUUGACCUAAAAGCACCAUACUUGAACUCUCUUGAAAAGGUUAGCAGCUCUCUCUUUUCACCCCUGGUGUUGCUUUGGAGACUUCAAUGAGAUUUUGUAUUUGCAUGAGAAAAAAAGAGGGAAUGAUAGAAACCGAAAUGUGAUAGCUGAUUUUAGAGAAGCUGUCCAAGCUUAGAAUUUGGUUGAUAUUGGGUAUCACGAGUAUCCUUAUACAUGGUCGAAUAGGAGAUUUGGCCCUCACCACAUAGAAGAGAGGCUAGAUAGAUUCCUGUGCAACAAGGAUUGGUGUGAUAAUUUUCAAGCAUCAACAACAAUUAAUCUGGUGAAUUGGGUUUCAGAGCACUAACCAGUUGUUUUUUAUUGUAAUGAGAGAGGUAGAAACAAAAGCUAGAGGAAACAACAUCCCACUCGAGAGCAUUACGAAGACACGUGGAGUCCUUAUAAAGACUGUAAGAGAAUAGUUAGUGAAGAAUGGGCUCACUAUGGAGAGAAAUCUUGGGAGAAUCUGGCGCAACAAUUCCAAAGGGUAGCUAAAAUUCUUUAGCUCAGCUCAAGUUGUGGAGUAAAGAUGAGUUUGAAGGCAAGCAAAAAACACAAGAAAAGCUUAUCAAACAGCUGGAGAACCUCAGACAGAGCAACGAUCAAAUGAGGGAAGGGCUGAAAUUAGAAGAAUUGAGAAUCAAAUUAAUAACAUGCUGAUUGAUAAAGAAGUCUAUUGGAAGUAAAGAUAAAGGGCUGAUUGGCUUAGAUAGGGAGAUAAAAACACCAAGUUCUUCUACUCCAAAGCUUCAGAUCGGGGGGUAGAAAACAAUCAAGGCCAAUGGACAGCGAAGCAGGAUGAAGUCGAGUGGGAGUUCUGCAAUUAGUUCCAAAGCUUAUUGACAUCAUCCAGCCCAACCUACAACCAAAUUUAAGCUGCCUUAGAGGAACUUCCAGCAAAGGUCACCCCAGAGAUAAAUGCCUAUCUGGAAGAGCCUUUCAGUCUUGAGGAGAUUGUCAAAUCUCUAUCUCAGAUGCCGCCCACAAAAGCUCCAAGCCCUGAUGGACUUCCUGCUGCUUUUUUCCAAAAGCACUGGAAAUCAGUUCAUAAAGGAGUGGAAGAGACUUGUUUAUACAUCCUUAAUGAGCAAGGUAACCUCGCUCCUCUAAAUCAUACUUUCAUUGCUCUUAUUCCUAAGACAAAUAAGCCAAGGAAAGUCUCUGAGUUUAGGCUAAUCAGUCUCUGCAAUGUAGUGUACAGAAUAGUUGCCAAAGUUAUUGCAAAUAGACUGAAACCAAUACUCUCCCAAAUUAUCUUCCCCACCCAGAAUGCCUUUAUUCCAAAUCGGAUAAUUACGGACAAUGUGAUAAUUGGCUAUGAAUGCAUGCAUAAGAUCAGAAGCAGUAGAGGGAAAAGGAAGGGUUUGGUAGCUCUAAAGUUAGAUAUGAGUAAGGCAUACGAUAGGAUUGAGUGGCCUUUUCUGAAGCUCACAAUGGCUAAGCUCGGCUUCUCUCAAAAGUGGGCAAAGUUGAUAAUGAACUACAUACAACAACCACCUUCUCAGUCUUAAUCAAUGGUAGUCCCAAAGGUUUUAUCCAACCUGAGAGAGGUCUGAGAUAGGGCUGUCCCCUUUCCUAUUAUUUAUUUAUUUUGUGUGCUGAGGUUUUCUCAAAUUUAUUGCUCCAAGCAGAGAAAAAUUAGCUGAUCAGGGGCUUGAGGUUUGCCAAAGAAGUCACAAUUUCUCACAUACUGUUUGCAUAUGAUAGCCUUAUCUUCUCAAGGGCUACAAAAUCCGAUUGCAGGCACCUGAAGAGAAUAUUUGACUGUUAUGCUAAAGCCUCUGGGCAGAUCUUUAAUUUUGAAAAGUCAUCUAUGGUGUUUAGUGGCAAAGUGCCGAACAACCAGAUUACAGCAAUCAAAGAUAUCCUCAACUUAAAGGUAGUCUUCAGCCAUGAAAAAUAUCUCGGCCUCCUAUCCAUGAUAGGCAGAAAGAAAACCAAUUUUUUCAAGGACAUCAAGCUGAAAAUCCUGAGCAAAAUUUCAAGCUGGUAUCACAAGAUGUUCUCAAGUGGUGGGAAUGAAACUCUUAUUAAAGCGGUAGCCCAAGCAGUCCCAGCCUAUGCCAUGAGCACAUUCAAGCUUCCAAAGAGCUUAUGUGAAGACAUACAAAGAGCCAUUGCAAAGUUCUGGUGGGGAUCUAAGGAGGAAAAACAAGGCAUCCAUUGGGCAAAAUGGAGCAGACUCAGCCGUGCAAAGAGUAGAGGGGGUAUGGGAUUUAGAGAUCUCUUCAGCUUUAAUCAGGCUUUGGUGGCCAAACAAGGCUAAAGGUUGAUGCAGUAUCCUAACUCUCUGGUUUCCAAAGUGCUGCAGGCACGAUAUUACAAAAACUCCACCUUCUUAAAUGCAAGCAUAUGAUCCAACCCAUCUUAUAUAUGGAGGAGUAUCAUAUGGGGGCGGCAAAUCAUCAAGGAAUGAGCUAGAUGGAGAAUAGGUAAUGGCAAAAAUAUUCGGAUUUACAAAGAUUGCUGGAUUCCAAGACCAACCUCUUUCAAGCCGAUAUCUCCACCAAGCUUGUCUACAGAUGCUAUCGUGGCUGACUUGAUAAACGCAGAAAACCAAUGGGAUGUGGAAACAUUAAACCAGCACUUCAUGCCAUCAGAUGCCGAUUUGAUCUUGAAGAUCCAUCUGCCACAUAGGCAAUCUGAGGAUGAAUUAAUGUGGCAUUUUGAUAAGAAAUGAGAUUAUUCAGUGAAAAACGGCUACCAAAUAGCUUUAAAAAUAAAUCUUCCAGAAGAGCCUGGCUGCUCAGGAAGCAAUUCAAACCAAUGGAAAGGAAUAUGGUCUCUUGCUUUGCCCGAAAAGAUUAAAAUUUUCUUAUGGAGAGCUUCAAAUAACCUGCUGCCAACAGCUGAGAAUUUGUGGAGGAGAAAAAUCAUUCAAGAUCCAAUUUUUCAAAGGUGUAGAAGGUCCAUUGAAUCAAUAAGUCAUGCGCUCCUAAUCUGUAAACCAGCAAAGAAAAUCUGGAACCAUGCCCUUUUUCCAGUGAACAAACAUGAAUUUUAUUCCCAGGACAUCUUCACUAUCAUCCAGGACAUGAGCAUCAGAUUUAGGAAGGCUGAUAUAGAGCUAAUGGCAGCAUACUUGUGGGUUUCAUGGUAUGCAAGAAACAAGUUCUUGUUCGAAGGGAAGAACCUGAAGCCAAGCAUCUUAACAGCUAAGGCAUAAUCAACAGUGGAAGCAUACCAGAGAGUAAGGAAGAUAAGGCUUUCUCAUAUUAGCAAUACCAUCAACAAGAAGCAGGAAAGAUAGAUCCCCCUCCAGACAACUCUUUCAAAGUCAACGUUGACGCAGCCAUAAACAGCAAGAACCAAACAGUGGGCUUAGGUGCAGUUAUCAGGGAUUCAAAAGGCAUUGUGAUAGCAGCAGGCAUCCAGCAGACCAGGCUAAAAGGAGAAGUCAGCUUUGCCGAAGCAGAGGUUAUGAGGUGGGGUUUGCAGAUUGCAAAGGAAGCAGCCUUAUCGAAUCUAAUAGUUGAGACAGAUUGUCAAGAGGUGGCUGAGUUGGUUAACAACACAAAGGGCAGCAAAACUGAAAUUUUCUGGAUUGUGUCUGAUAUCCAAGACCAGAGAAAGUAUUUCCAGAAGACUACAGUGCAAUAUGUUCCUAGAUAUUGUAAUGCUUAUGCCCAUUCCUUAGCAAAAUUUGCGUUAGGAAGAAAAACAUCUGUGAUCUAGUUUUAUCCAUUACCAGCAGAGAUAGUGAAUGUAUUUGACAGUGUUGUUUGAAGUAAUGAAAGUCUUUACUUUCUUUUAAAAAAAAAACUACUAUCAUUGAGCAAACUAUUGAGCAUACAACUUUCAUUGAGUUUUAAAUUCUUAUAUUCAUCUCAUUUACUAACAUUUUAAGAUUUCAUUUGUAAUCGAACACAAUGUGUGAGAGGGAUUUAUUUGUAAUCCCUUUUGUAAAAUUAAGUUGAGAGGUUAUAAGUAUUGGGAUACACUUGGGUUAAGAGAUUGGGGAUAAUCUCUUGUUGUAAAGGUCUAUUGGUAUCUUGGAAGUCAAUUUUAAAAAGUUAUUGAAGCCUUGGAGGCUUACUUAGUGAAAUCUUCAAGUCCGAUGAGCUUAGAGGCGUGGACAUAGGCACGGUUGGCCGAACCAAGUAAAAAUCACGUGUUUGCUCUCUCUUACCCUAUUUCCUUAUUUUUUAUUACACAUUAAUUUGUUUAUUUCAAAUUUGAUUGCCUUGUUUAAAUUGCAUUAAUUUCUUAGUUGCUUAAAUCUUUUAGAAACUCAAUUCACCAUCCCUUUUGGGUUGUCUAGUUAGUAUUUCACCAUUGAUUAUCGUCUUCCGGGCAAUUGCUCCUAUGAUCGUGUGGUUGCACCAUAAUGAUAAGCGAACUUGCUUUGAUACUAAUUAACGAUGCGGAAAUGUUUAAAUUUGAUUGAUAGAAGAAACAAAAGUUUCUAAAUGAUAAAAUUUAAAUGUCUGAAAUUAAUAAAAUUAGGGUUUUGGGCCCCUUUAUAUAAUAAUCCAAAAAUUUUGAAUUUACCAAAUAGGUAAAUCUAAAAAAUUAUUUUAUAAUAAAAUUCUCCUAAUCUGAAUAAAAAAAUCUAAAACAAAUGGUGCCCAAAUCUAAGAUCUUUAAAAAAGAUAAAAAUAAUAAAAGAAAUAGAAAAAAAAUAAGAAAAUAUCUUAAAACUGAAAAAACGACAAGGAAAGAAAUGGAUUUUUAGGCUCGAACACUGCCUAUGCAACAAUUCUAGUUUUGAUUCGUCUCGUCACAAGCUUCAAAAUAAUAUAUAAUAGGCCUAAUAUCUCAUUCGUCCUAUGCAUCCAUCCUACAUCAUAACAGCUUGAAGACUUGGGAGGGCCAACUUAAUUCAAAGUCAAGACUAGCUUAUUACCUUGCGGGAUUUUUAAUUGUGAGGGGAAAAAACUGUUGAAAGAUGUUGGGUUUAAAGUUUAUAAAACUUUAAUUAUUUCAUAAAAUUGUUUUAUUUUUUAUUCGUCAUCACAUUGGGAUUAUCCCCAAUGGCCAAUUUUAUUUUCAUUUUUUUAUAGGUCAAUAAAUGCUACUAGAAAUUGAUUAUUACCUCUCUUUUUCUCAUUUAUUGAUUACUAUGAAGAAUUAGAUAAAACUCAUAAAUGACCUAAAAUAUAUAAUGAAUAUUUAGAUUUUGUUUCAUAUCCAUACGAUAUCUGGGAGUAUGACAUAGUCUCCAAAAAUAGCCAAACAUUUCACAUCUAUCACAAGUGCUUUCUUGAAUAUUAUCUUGUGGCAUGUGUUUCAUCCUCAGUUUUUUUCCUUUUCUAUGGUUCUUAUAACCACCGUGAGGUCGACAAUAAUUUUUUUUUUCUUGACCUCAAUCUUAAUAAUAGCCAUGACCACAACCAUGACUACAUCUACGGGCAUAGUUAUGCCCACGACCAUGCCCAUUUUCAUCAUGAUCACAUAGACAACAUUUGCUCCAAGAACUUGUUUUGUAUCAAUAGGAUGGGCUUAAUAAUUGAAUAUUUUUUUCUACCAAAAGAAGGCAUGCAAUCAAAUCAGAAUAUUUUGUAUACCGACAAGCUCUAUAUUGUUGUUAUAGAACUGUAUUGGAAGGAUGAAAUUUUAUAAUUUUUUUUCAACAUAUCCCCAUCAGUAAUAUUUUCCCCACACAGUUUUAAUUAUUAAGUAAUUUUGUACAAUGUAGAAUUAUAUGUGUUGGAGAAAAAUCAGUUUUUUAAAUUUUUAUAAAACAUUUUAAGAUCGCUCUCAUACAAUAUAUAAGAAUUUGUAAUCUAGAAAUCGUACCUUGAAAAUCCGAUUUGGCUUUUUCCACUGAAUUGAUUUAGGCUCCCAGAUCACGGUCCGUCACCACCACUCCUGUUAGAUCACGAUCCGUCACCACCACGCUUGUUAGAUCACGAACUGUUACAAAUGAUCUUCUAGGUUAUGAUUCAGGUUUGAUUUGCACUUGACAUGUGGGUGCCUUUAUCACUACCAAAGCAACUAGCACGAGAAGAUUUUUCUCUCAACAACAGAGAGAAAAAUCUUUUUCUCUGAUCUGUAUAAAGUAGAUGCUCCCCUUUUCUUUAGAGAAAAUAAACCUUUUUAUAUCUCCCUUUAGUGAAAACCCUAGACUCCAAAUAAUGAAAAUCAAAACUCACGUUACUUGCUUUUUCUAUAGGGGAUCGACCUUGUAAAAUAACAUAAGGCCCUUUACACACAAGCUAAUAAAACAGAGUCUCCCACUAAAUGAUAUAUUUAGGUUUUUGACCCAAAUAACUAGUUAUCUUUUUUAUUAAUCCAGUAGUGGUGCGGUCAAUUAAAUGAGCUAACCAGGGGAUCAUUUGGGAACAUACAAUAGUGGCUAUAACAAUUAAGCAUGUAAUUAAAAUAGCCUAAUUUUUUAAUUCCAAAUCUACUCCACUAAAAGAUUGGAAUUGACCUCCAUAAUUGUAUGCUUGAAUAAUAAUUCGUCCCAAGCCACAUUGAUUUCUUUACUGCACAAUCCUUUGUACCACAUCAUUAAUUAAAUCGAUAUCUCAACUGUCCAAUCAAUUUAAUUACAUCUUGUUCCUUGAUACUUACUGGUUUUCUCUAAUGAUCAUUUUCAACAUACUAAAUAUGUUGACAUACUCUGGCUAGAGAAUUCUAUGAUCAAGUACCGAAAACCCAUCAAGAGAUGUGUUGUACAAAUUAUUGUUAAUUCAUAACUCCAAUCCUCAUAAUUGCUCCCACCAAGAUACCGGGUAAUCUUGACCAUAAGUAUUUGUCGUGCCCAUUGGUAACUCAAAUGGAAUAACAAUUACAAUCAUGAAAUCAUAAUUAACUUAAGAUUAAGAUUACAGUAAAAUCAAUGCCUAUGAGAUUUAAUAAGUAUGACAGUUAUUACAAAGUUAAUUAAAUCUCAUAUGUAAUCAUGUUCAAUGUAGUCGUACUACAUCAAUAAAUUCAUACAUGAUUAAGACAAAUCAUUCAAUGAAUUCAUUACAGUCUAUACCUAAAUGAAGUGCCCAACUUUAUUUAUCAACUGCGAACUAAAUUUAUUUAAUCAUAAGAUAACUUGUAUUUAUGUCUUCUGUGAAUCCACAUAGUGAUCACAUAAAUACAUAUAAUAUGAUUAAAUAGAUUUUAAUCAAAAUGUUAAUUCAAUUAAGAUAUUUGAAUAAAAUACCUCAUUUAUUUUAUUAAUUAGAAAAAUUAUUUAUUACAAUUAAAUAAACACAUAUGUUUUUAAAGAGCACAUUUUCCCAACAAUCUCCCAAUAGCUCUCAAAGCAUAUUUGGCAUCUCACGCAUGCCCAUGGAUUCUAAGUGCAAGUUAAAAGGUUUCCCAGGUAUGGCCUUAGUAAAAGGAUUUGCCAAGUUUUGCUCUGACACAAUCUGAGUAACCUCCACAUCACCUCUCUGCACUAUAUCCCUUAUAAGAUGAUACUUCCUCUCAAUAUGUUUUUGUUUCUUGUGGCUCCUUGGUUCCUUAGAUUGAGCUAUUGUACCACUAUUAUCGCAAAGUAGUUUAAGGGGUGCAGUUACAGCAGGUACCACCUCAAGAUCUUGCAGGAACUUGUGGAGCCAUACAACUUCUUUUGCAGCUUCAAAUGCAGCCAUAUAUUCAGCUUCAGUUGUGGGGUCUGCGAUACAAGAUUGUUUCACACUCCUCCAACUAAUAGCUCCACUUCCCAAUGUAAACACAUAGCCGGAAGUUGAUUUUCUGGAAUCCUUAUCUGACAUAAAGUCAGAAUCAGUAUAACCCACUGGAAUGAGUUCAUCACCAGAAUACACAAGCAUAUAAUUUUUAAUUCUUUUCAGAUACUUCAUUAUAUGCUUGACCGCAGACCAGUGUUUAGGUCCAGGAUUAGAUUGAUAUAUACUAACCAUCCUUACUGCAAAACAGAUGUCUGGCCUAGUGCAAAGCAUGGCAUACAUGAGACUUCCCACAGCUUCUGCAUAGGGAGCUUGUCUCAUUUUCUCUAUCUCUUCAGAUGUUUUAGGUGAUUGAUCCUUAGAGAAUGUAAUUCCAUGUCUGAAUGGUAAUAAACCAGUCUUGGAAUUUUCCAUGCUAAAUCUAGCUAAUAUCUUAUCGAUAUAGACCGCUUGAGACAAGGCUAAAGUUUUAUUCUUCCGGUCUCGUAGUAACUUGAUACCAAGAAUAUAACUUGCCUCUCCUAGGUCUUUCAUAUCAAAUUGUUUUGCUAACCAACUCUUUGUUGUAGUCAAUACUCCUAUAUCAUUUCCAAUUAGGAGAAUAUCGUCUACAUAAAGAAUUAGGAAGACUACAUAUUUUUCUUGAAUUUUCUUGUACACACAUGGUUCAUCAAUGUUCUGAAUGAAUCCAAACGAUUUAAUCGCUUGAUCAAAUAUGAUGUUCCAUAACCGGGAUGCUUGCUUCAAUCUAUAAAUGGAUCUCUGCAACUUACAUACCAUGUGUUCUUGGCAUUUUUGUAUAAAUCCAUAUGGUUGCUGCAUAUAGAUGUUUUUUUCAAGAUGCCCGUUAAGAAAGGCAGUCUUGACAUCCAUUUGCCAAAUUUCAUAAUCUAGCACUGCAGCAAUGGAGAGCAGAAUCCUGAUGGAUUUAAGCAUAGCAACCGGAGAAAAAGUUUCCUCAUAAUCGAUUCCCUCUUUCUGAGUAAACCUUUUGGCUACCAAUCUUACUUUAAAUGUUUCCACCCUUCCGUCUACUUCUCUUUUUCUCUUGUAGAUCCACUUGCACCCUAUAGGUUUUACCCCAUUUGGUGGCUCAACAAGUUCCCAGACUUUAUUGGAAUACAUAGAUUCCAUUUCUUGAUUCAUGGCCUUUUUCCAAAAUUCAACAUCUCUAUCUAUUAGAGCUUCAUUGUAACUAGUGAGAUCUUGUACAUGUUCAUAUGAGAUAGCCGUAUAGGUUUCUCCCAAAAGUAUGUAUCUCGCAGGUAACCUAGUUACCCUCGCACUACGAUGAGGUUCUAAAAGUGAUGGUUGUUCAGGGAUAAUCCUGUAUUGAUCAUCUGGUUGUUGAUGUUCUUCAUGUUUUGUAACAGGCGUUGAAAGCUGAGCAUCAACUUGAUCACCUGACAGUUCUUCAAGUAUUACCUUACUCUUAGGUUUAAAGUUAUUCAUAUAGUCUUCCUCGAGGGAAGUGAAAUGUGUGCUCACGAUCACUUUCCUAUCUUGAGGACUAUAAAAUAAACCUCCCCUUGUUCUUUUGGGAUACCCCACAAACAUACAAACCUUAGAACGUGAAUCCAUUUUGUCUGCCUUUGGUUUCAGUACAUGUGCUGGUGAUCCCCAAAUACGAACAUGUCGUAAACUUGGUUUGCGACCUGACCAUAAUUCUAUUAGGGUUUUAGGCACUAACUUAGAUGGAGCUAAGUUCAAGAGGUAAACUGCAGUUUCUAGUGCUAGUCCCCAAAAAGAGAUUGGUAAUAACGAAUAACUAAGCAUAGAUCUCACCAUAUCCAAAAGAGUUCUAUUUCUUCUUUCAGCUACCCCAUUUUGUUGUGGUGUUCUCGGGGCAGUCAACUGAGAUAUAAUCUCAUUUUCAACCAGAUACUCUUUGAAAUCUCCUGAGAGAAAUUCACCACCUCGAUCAGAUCGAAGUUUCUUUAUGUUCUUAUCUAAUUGCUUUUCUGUCUCAGCCUUAUACUCUUUGAAUUUCUCAAGAGCGUCAGACUUGUGAUGCAUCAGAUAAACAUAAUCGUAUCUCGAGUAAUUAUCAGUGAAAGUGAUGAAAUACUCAUAACCUCCUCGAGCUUGUACAUUGAUUGGUCCAUAUACAUCUGUAUGAACUAAUUCAAGUGGUACUGUUGCACGUACUCCUUUGGCCGAGAAUGACCUUUUGGUCAUUUUCCCUUCUAAAUAGGAUUCACAGAGUGGAAAUGAUUCAUUUUCUAAUGGACCCAAAAUCCCAUCUUUGAUCAUUCUCUGUAUCCUAUUUUGGUUUAUAUGACCCAAACGUAAAUGCCAGAGGUAACAUUGGUUGGAAGAAAUAUUUAUUUUCUUAGAUAAAUGUGUAUGCUCAUCAUUAUUUAUCAAUGUGUCGUGCAUAGAAUGGAUCAUUGGACUUAAAUGAUAUAAAUUAUCUUCCAAUGUACCAGAACAAAUAAGUCUUUUAUUAUAAAAAAUAGAAACAGAGGAUCCAAAAUUUACAGUGUCCCAUUGCUUUGACAAACAAGCUACUGAAAUUAAAUUCCUCUUUAUGUCUGGAACAUAAAGACAAUUAUUCAAAAUUAAAGUCUCAUUAUUAAAAGAUAAUAAAACAGAUCGGUCUUCACUGCUGACACGAACUAUCCUGUCCCUAACUGCAGCUUGACGCUUCCUUCACUUAUUUUCCUGGUUUCCUGAAACCAAUAAAGUGAAUUACAAAUAUGAUUAGUUGCUCCUGAAUCCAACACCCAAGUGUCAAUAGGAUUCUGAACUAAACAUGCCUCAAUUACAAAAAGAUUUCCCAUACCUGAUUUCACAAUCUUAGGGCAAUCCUUUUUCCAGUGACCUUUCUGUCCACACUUGAAGCAUUUGCCUUUUGGCUUGCCAUCUUGCUUGGUAGACGACCUCUUUUUCCCAGCUUUCUUCUUACCUUUGCCUUUCGACUCAGGUGUAGAAGAAGAAGCUUUUCAACAAUAUUUAUGCUUUCCAGAGAUUUCUCAGCACGAUAGAUCUCUUCAGCAGAAUGGAGUUCGUUCAUUAAUUCAGUUAAGGUCAUGUUUCUUUUGUUCAUGUUAUAAUUGACCUUAAACUCCUUGAAUGUUUCUAGCAGAGAUUCUAGCACCAUGUCUAUCUUUGAGUUAUCAUCGAUUUGUGCUCCCUGAAUCUCAGCCUCAUUCAAAUAGUCCAUCAUUUUGAGGACAUGAUCACGAACUCUUGUGCCCUUCCCCAUUUUACUGUGCAUAAUUUCUUUCAGCGUUGCUUGUCUCGCGGAGCGAGUACUCUGCCCGAACAUCUGUUGGAGACUAUCCAUUAUUUCAGUGGCAGUCUCCAAGUUCUGAUGUUUGAUCUGCAGAAUAUUAGAAAUUGAGGCUAAAAUCUAGCAUUUUGCCAUUUCAUUAGCCUUUUUCCAUUUCUCAUAAAGCCUCCACUGAUUUCUAUGAGCAUCAUCCGUUGGAACUGGAGGGCAUGGCUGGGUUAAGACAUAUUUAUAAUUUUCAGCAGUCAGGACAAUGAAUAGAUUUCUUUUCCAAUCUAUAUAGUUCUCUCCAGUGAAUUUGUUUUGACUUAGAAUAAUAGUAAGUGGGCUCAAGGAAGACAUUUUCUGAAAAAUAAAACAUCUAUGCAUAAAUAAUUUCAAAUUAUAUUCACAAUAAAUGACAAAAAUACAUAAAACCAUAAAUGAAUUUUAAUUUAUUGUAACAAUAAUCUAGUUCCGCUUUGACAAGCUAUCCGUUGGGGAAGUCAUGUCUAUACUUACUAGACCCAAUUACCUAUUGAAUUAUUUACUUUCAUGUAGAGACAUGAUAAAUAAUUAUCGUUAUACUUUUUGGGCCUAAAUUUGUUAACAUAGUUUCGUUGGGAAUGUUAAUAACAAAUUUUAGUUGAGUGUAUAACCAUUGUUUCAAUCUACAUAUUUUUCAUAUCAAUAGUCACCAUUGGGGUGAACAAUCGAUUGAAAAAUAUUUCAAUUUUAUCUUUGAAGAAGUUCAUCAAAUAAAAUAUCUAAUAUAUAUACCCUCCGAAGGGAGCAUCACCGUAUCAUGAAGUCGAGGUAUAUAUAUAAUUUUAUUAUUGAACUAACAAUGGAGCCCGUGGGAAAAUUAUCUUGAAUUUUCCCUCUCCCACUCAAUAUUUUAAAAUUGGUUUUUCCUUUUAAAACAUACAUAUUGUUAAUUGCAUGCUUCCUAUAAUAUUAUCUAGAUGAUAUCCAAUAUUAUUAAGCAUACGCAAAUUUCAAACAAUAUAAUGAAAUUCAUAAUUAAUGAAUGACAUGUAUCAUUAUGCAUAGAGUGACACUACCUAUUCUAUAUGACAUGUUAUCAUGGCAUGUUAUCAUCCAAAACAUAACAUAUAGAAAAAUAAUUAAAUAAUCUUAAUUCAUGACUUUCCUAAAAUGAAAAAAUACAUUAACCCUAGGCCUAAUCUUCAUUGGGCUUCUUGUCAAUGUCCAUAUUUCAUAAGCUUGUCUUUGUUGAUGGACUAGGGGAAAUUGGGCUUUUAAAUUUAUUAUUGGUCCAACUUUAAUUUUGAAAGGAAAUAAAUAAAUAAUUAAAUUUUUUUUAUUAAAAUAAAACUUUUGGACCAAAAAUAAAUUUAAUGUGUUCAAUUUUAUCUAUACAUUUUAAUCCAUUAAGUCCAAUUGAAAUUGGGCCUAAAACUAGGAUUCAUUAAGCCCAAAACUGUUUUUAGACUUAACUGCAAAUAUUUAAACGUGUCUGCCCAAAAAGAAAAAACCAUGGAGCCAUAGGGAUCUCAAUGAUAAAAACCAUUGAAACCCUAAAUCUAUUUUUUUCUCUCCCCAGCCGCCAUCACCACAAAGCCAGUCACUGUUCAUCCAAGUCCGACGCCGAUUUAACCAUUGCCGCCAUGCCGGAAAGCCACCAAAUGACGGAACCCGCGAGCUGCACGCCACUAUCCCUCAAGCACGCUGCUGGCAGCGUUGCUUGCAGUUGCAGCACGUGCAGCGCGCGUUGCUGGCCAUUGUUGGCCAAACGCGCUGCUGGCCAAUGCUGGCCACGCGCGCUGCUUUGUUGUGUGCAGCGCAGCGCGCGCCGCUGGCCAUUACUUGUCGAACGUGCUGCUUUACUGCGUGCAGCGCAGCGCGCGCCGCUGGCCAUUGCUGGCCGUGCGCGCUGCUGCAGCGUGCCCUAGUUUGUUGCCGCUGUCAAAAUAUCUGGCCUUCAUUUCCUCUGAUCUGACAUCCGUGAUUGAUUUACAAAUUUCCUAGACCAAUUUUGGCUUACAAAAAUUCUAUAACAGUAAAAUAAAUCAAGAGGGAAACAUGGUGAUAAUAAACCACCCCUCUUGUUACAGAUCUAAAGAAAAAAUACAGCAGAGAAUCUAACCAUGAAUUAAGACAAACCAUAACAUGCUUUAUUCAUAUAUUAAACAAAUAAUAUAUAUCUGAAUAAAUUGUGUCACUUUAAUACAUAAAUUUCAAGAUUAAUUUCAUACGAAAUUCUUAUAUAUUACUAUGAGAUGGCUCUGAUACCAAUUGUUGGAGAAAAAUCAAUUUUUUAAAUUUUUAUAAAACUUUUAAGAUCGCUCUCAUACAAUAUAUAAGAAUUUGUAAUCUAGAAAUCGUACCUUGAAAAUCCGAUUUGGCUUUUACCGCUGAAGUGAUUUAGGCUCGCAGAUCACGAUCCGUCACCACCACUCCUGUUAGAUCAUGAUCCGUCACCACCACACUUGUUAGAUCACGAACUGUCACCAAUGAUCUUCCAGGUUAUGACUCAGGUUUGAUCUGCACUUGACGUGUGGGCGUCUUUAUCACUACCAAAGCAACUAGCACGAGAAAAUUUUUCUCUCAACAACAGAGAGAAAAAUCUUUUUCUCUGAUCUGUUUAAAGUAGCUGCUCCCCUUUUCUUUAGAGAAAAUAAACCUUUUUAUAUCUCCCUUUAGUGAAAACUCUAGGCUACAAAUAAUGAAAAUCAAAACUCAUGUUACUUGCUUUUUCUAUAGGGGACCCACCUUGUAAAAUAACAUAAGGCCCCUUACACACAAGCUAAUUAAAUGGAGUCUCCCACUAAAUGAUAUAUUUAGGUUUUUGACCCAAAUAGCUAGUUAUCUUGCUUAUUAAUCUAGUAGUGGUGCAGUUAAUUAAAUGAGCUAACCCGGGGAUCAUUUGAGAACAUACAAUAGUGGCUUUAACAAUUAGGCAUAUAAUUAAAAUAGCCUAAUUUUUUAAUUCCAAAUCUACUCCACUAUAAGAUUGGAAUUGACCUCCAUAAUUGUAUGCUCGAAUAAUAAUUCGUCCCAAGCCACAUUGAUUUCUUUACUGCACAAUCAUUUGUACCACAUCAUUAAUUAAAUCGCUAUCUCAACUGUCCAAUCAAUUUAAUUACAUUUUGUUCCUUGAUACUUACUGGUUUUCUCUAAUGAUCAUUUUCAACAUACUAAAUAUGUUGACACACUCUGGCCAGAGAAUUCUAUAGUCAAGUGCUGAAAGCCCAUCAAUAGAUGUGUUGUACAAAUUCUAUAUUGUUAAUCCAUAACUCCAAUACUCAUAAUUGCUCCCACCAAGAUACCGGGUAAUCUUGACCACAAGUAUGUGUCGUGCCCAUUGGUAACUCAAAUGGAAUAACAAUUACAAUCAUGAAAUCAUAAUUAACUCAAGAUUAAGAUUACAGUCAAAUUAAUACCUAUGAGAUUUAAUAAGUCUGACAGUUAUUACAAAGUUAAUUAAAUCUCAUAUGUGAUCCUAUUCAAUGUAGUCGUACUACAUCAAUAAAUUCAUACAUGAUUAAGACAAAUCAUUCACUGAAUUCAUUACAGUCUAUACCUAAAUAAAGUGCCCAACUUGAUUUAUCAACUGCGAACUAAAUUUAUUUAAUCAUAAGAUAACUUGUAUUUAUGUCUUCUGUGAAUCCACAUGGUGAUCACAUAAAUACAUAUAAUAUGAUUAAAUGAAUUUUAAUCAAAAUAUUAAUUCAAUUAAGAUAUUUGAAUAAAAUACCUCAUUUAUUUUAUUAAUUAGAAAAAUUAUUUAUUACAAUUAAAUAAACACAUAUGCUUUUAAAGAUCACAUUUUCCCAACAAUAUGUUGGAUCAUAAACUUGAUCCAUACAACUUUGAAACGCAAAUGACUCUUGAUCUAGUUCAUGCAAGCUUCUUUGGGUAGUUAAGAUUUGUGGUGUUAAAUGUGGUAAUAUGGGAAGUAGAAUUUGUGGUGUUGAGUAUGUUGUUAGGUUUGGUUUGUGGUUAUGAUUUAUGUGGUAGUUAAGUCAACGUAUGGUUGUGAUUAAAUUGUAACAAGUAUAAAUAUCUACUCUCUCAGUUGGUUUAAGUAACAAGAAGUAGUAAAGCUUAUUAAUUGCAAAAGAGUCGUAAUUAAGGAGUUAUAUUGAGUUAAUAAGAAAAAGAGUGUUUUGAGUGUUUGAUUAUUCAAAUUCUCUAAUAUUAUGUUCAUGAACUGACUUAAAAUCCUACAACUUAAGGGUAUUCCAUUCAUUACAAGUAUUUGGAAGAAUUACUAACCUUAAAUUACUAUAUCUCUCAUCAAGCUAUUUCAGAUGACAUAUAUGUCCUUUAUAGGAAGAGAUCUUGUUUUGAGUGCUAAAUGGAGAUGGUGACAUAGAUAAAUCAUGGUCUUCUCUUGAUCUUGAAGAGAUGAGUCAUUAUUAUUUUUCAUUGUAUCACUAAGCAUCAAGAUAAAUUUCAGCAACAUCAAGUAUUUUUGGAAAUCCUUCUUGUUCUUGUUUUUUUAUUUCUUUUUUUUUUCAAGAUGACCAUUUUUUCCCCGAAUGUUAUCGAGGGCAAAUAAAGCAUAUAUGCUUAACAUUGAAUAUAUUUUUAUAAAUAAAAGCUAACACGAACGUUGUGCCAAAGAAUCUGUUUAUAGGUAAACUAGGCCCAUUUAGGAUAGUAGCGUUGCCGAACAAGGCUUUGAUUUGAUUACUGUAAGUAUAUACUAAAUAUUUUUAAUAGAAUUUUUGGUUGGGCUGAAUGGUUGAGUAAAAUAAUUCAAAUGGUUUAAGUAACAAUUUUUUUAAUAUUUUAAAGAGUGCACAUGUUUUUUUUUUUAAAAGAAACUUCCAUUAAAUCGAAGAAGAGAAUAAAUACAUCAAUUGUGAAGGGUAAGAACCCAUCCAAACAACAUUUUCACAUUUCUCUAAUGCUAACUUAGAUAGAGAAUGGGCAAUGGCAUUACAAGAUCUAUGAGUAUAUUUAAUGCUAACUAGCUCAAAAUUCCUCAUUAAGUUUUGAAUCUUCAAAAUUAUCCAAAAGAUCUCAGAAUUGCCGCCUUGCUUGUUGUUAACUAACUUGACUACGCUUUGAGCGUCUGAUUCAACAAUUAAAGCCUUUGCACUUGCAUUCCUAGCAAUCUGUAAUCCCCAUUCCAAGGCUUCUGCUUCAGCAAAGGAAACAUCUCCAUGAAAUUUCGAAAUCUUGAUUGCAACUGCUAUGACAUUCCCCCGAUCAUCUCGGAUUAUAGCUCCGAACCCUGCAAGGUGCUUUUCUGAGUUUGUAGCAGCAUCCACAUUGACUUUAACAAAUCCACUUUGGGGGGGAUUCCAAAUUCGUUGAGCCUGCACCUGCUGACUUUCAUUUCGAGCUUGCUCUGGUUUUUGAACUCUUUUGUAAGCCUCCAUUACUGCUUCAGCUUUAGCAACUAGAGCCUGGGGGUAAAGAGUGCACAUGUUAAAAUUUAAUAGAUUAGUGUACAAAAUAAUAGAAGAUGGAACUAUCGUACUCUUACUCCGAAACUGCAAUUAGAGUCAACAUUCCAGUAAUUUCUUUACACAGUACUAUAUUGCAACAAGCAAUAAUAGAGCAAUAAUAGAGUAAUAAUAUAGUUACAAAUUCUUGUAUAAAUAUUUUUGUAUACAAAUUGAUGUGGCAUGAUUUAAUUGGUUGGAUUAAACAUCUAUUAGUUCGAAUGAUUUGUUUUUAUUAUUUUCUAUUUUCACUUAACCAAUGAGUUAAUGUCAAAUUAAUUUAUGCAAAAUAAGUUUGUGUAAGAGUUUAUAACUAUAUCAACACUCACAAUAAUAUUGCUAGAGGAGUUGACGAUUACUUUUCCCUGGAGGCAUAAUAAGUUUACAGCCAUAGGUUGUGACAAUUACGCAAUUAACCUGGAGAAUGUUAAUGAUUCAACUGUGCCUAUGUUUGCACUUGGGAUCCGACUCAGAAAAGUGGUUGCUACGAUUUCCUGUGCUCUAUUCCUCCAAGUAUUAGUAAAUUUUUCAAUGCAAAAUAUGAAUUUCUAUGAAGAAUCCGUUGGCAUUUCACAGAAGCCCAAUAACAAAUACAUCCUCAAAAUAUCCAUCAAAGAUAUUUCAACAAGCUAGUCAAGUAAUGGGACAGGGAAUGGCUCUGUUCCUCAGAAUGAAUUGACGUCCUGUCCAGUGUCCCCCGUUGGCUUCUCAUCACAGAGAUGAAAAUUGAAAUUAGGCCAAUUAGAUUAAAGGCAAGACGGAAUGGAAAUAUUGAACCGUUAAUUAUUAUAGCCAUGACCCCUCUAAUUAAUGGCCCUUUGCCUUUCAAUAUUAUUGUAGGUAUUUGCAAGGAAACCUCCUCUAUCUUUCUUCCAAUUAAGACUUCUUGUGUCCAAUUACUGUCGAUUCUUUUUGAACGUGUAAAGGAUAGCAUCUUGAAGACUUGAGAGGGCCAGCGUUUAUUCAAAGUCAAGAACAGGGACAGGAAAUGGCCCUGUUCCUGAAGUAUGAACUGACGUCCCGUCCGGUGUCCCCUUGCCUACUCAUCAUACAAACAAAAAUUGAAAUUAGGCCAUUUAGAAUAAAGAUAAGACGGAAUGGAAAUAUGGGAUCGUUAAUUAUUAUAGCUAUGACCCAUCUAAUUUGCAAAUGGUUCUUUCCCUUUCAAUAUUAUCGUACGUAUUUGCAAGGAAACCUCCUCUCCCUUUCUUCCAAUUAAGACUUCUUCUGUCCAAUUACUGUCAAUUCUUUUUGAACGUGUAGAGAGGAUAAUAACUUGAAGACUUGAGGGCGCCGGCGUUUAUUCAAAGUCAAGACUUAAUUAGCCUGCAGGACUCUUGAUGGUGAGGGGAAGAGAAAAAGAUGAAAGGCGCUGGGUAUAAGACAUAUAAACUUCAAUUACUUCAUAAAAUUGUUUUAUUUUUCAUUCGUCGUCACGUUGGGGAUUACCGCAAAUGACCCAUUUUAUUUUCAUCUCUAUGUAGGUCAGUAGGGUCACUGGAAAUCAACUGUUGUCUCUUUUUUCUCACUUACUGAGGAAUUUGGACAAUUAAACAAAACACAUCAAUUACCUAAAAUAUAUGAUGAAUAUCUAGAUUUUUUCGAAUCCACAUGAAGUGUGGAAAUACGAGAUUCUCUCCAAAAAUAACCAGAUAUUUCACAUCUAUUACAAAUAUUUUCUUGAAUAUUAUGUUGGCCAGAUAUUUUCUCCUCAUUUUUCUCUUUUCCAUCGAUAAUAAUUUUUUUCAUAACCUCAACCUUGAUAAAAGCCACGACCAUAGUUACAACUAUGUCCACAGUCAAUAAUAAUCUUGCUGAGAAAUUAUUUCUAAUUAAUUUUUUUGUGGUGCUUCUAAUGACACAACAUAAUAACCUUUUUUUAUCUUUAUUUUGUUCCCAAUAAAUCUCAAAACUCCUUACAAAUUUGCACCAUUAUACAUAUGAUAUCUUUUUUCUUCCGUUUAUUAGCUUUAUAGAAUUUUGAUAUAAUACGUGCGUCGCACUCAUAACAUGUACGGCCUGGCGCAUUAGAUUAUUUUUCUAACUUUAUAUAAGUAAAGUAUCUCUCUUAGCGUACAAAUAUAAUUUGAUGCGACGUGGCGCACUGGUCGCACUAGAUGAGUGCUCUAACUUUGUUUAAGUAAAAGCGUCUCCCUUAUUGUGCGAGCAUAAUUUGCAGUGGUUCGGCCCCAAAAUGGCAAAAUUUAUCACUCCAUCGCCCCAAAUUUUAAAAUCCGCAACUAUUGGGCUGUGUGGCGGGAUCGCCAAAGUCACAGCCCAACCUUUAUCAUGGGCCCUUUCCAAAGCUAACUUGCACUCUCCAUAUUCUUCCUCUAUUAAAUAAAACCGAAUAUGAUGCAUAUUAACAGACUCUCACCAUUCACGUAUUUUAUAAUGAAUCUCGCACCAAUUCUAAGUUUUCAUUUUUUUCCUACAAAGAAGAAACUUUGGAGUCUUAGUGACUGCCUAUUUUUUUUUCUUAUCUCGAGGAAAAGAAAAAUGCUAUAAUAACCUAUCAAAUUAUCCAUUAAACCUAUUUAUUAAAUAAAUCACCGAUUAAAAUUUAAAAAUUCAAAUUUUUAUCUAAACUUACGUAUUUCAUUUCAUCAAUAAAUAAAAUUGUGGACUUUUGCCUCUAGUGUCUUAUUUGGUAACAAUUUUUGACUCUAGAACCAAACAUGCAGAGUUUGAUGUUCAUUUUAUAAGGUAUAAAGUACUCAAUGGAGAAAUGGAAGUGGUAGAUAUAUACCAACAAAGCAUAAUAAGAUGGGAAACAUGUUGUGCGCAAAAUGCGGAAUCAAACGCACCGAAUAAUCACAGAAAGGACACAAGAAUUAUGUGGUUCGACAAUAUGCCUACGUCCACGGGAGCAAGAGAAAAAAUAAUUGUAUUAUUAACAAUUAUUUGAAUACAAAUUUGAGUAAAGAAACCUCACUUUCCCAGAACCCAAAUACACCCAAUACUCUCACACACACUCUACAAUUGCUCACACUCUCAGAACUCUCAAAAGCUUAGAAACUUAUAAGCUUAACAAAUUUUUAGGAUGCAAAAACCUCUAUGAAUGAAGCUCUAUUUAUAGUUAAGCUUCAUUGCAAAAAGUCUUAAAGUAGUUGGCAAAAGUCCUAUAAUUUGGUGCCGACUUGAAAAACAAAAGAAAUGCAUGUGGCUCACCUUUUCUUUUUCAACCAAUUUGAAUAAACUCACCAAAAAUCUUUGACUUUUUAACAAUUCUCCACCUCGGCAAAGAUUUGUCCAAAUCUGAGUCGACUACCAAUAAACCAUCAUUCUCAAAGUGAUCAUUCAAUAAGGAUCCAGAAUGGCUGUGUCGCUUUGACUGCCUACGUACCCAAAAUUUGGGAUCAAGCCAACCGUAGUUCAAAAUUCCCGAAUGACAUAACUUAAUACAAUCGAAGGAUUUGAAUUAGUUUCAAGCAAUGUUGAAACUUAACUCUAGAAACUACCUUCGUCAAUAUAUCUGAUGAAUUAUCUUUGGUAUCAAUCUUUCUCAACAACACAACACCGCUCUCGAUAAUCUUCCUCACAUAAUGAUAUUUCACAUCUAUGUGCUUUGACCGAGCGUGAUAUGUUUUAUUAUUCGCAAGGAAUAUCGCAUUUUGAUUAUCGCAGAAGACCGCAAUGUUCUCUUGGAUUAUUCCUAAUUCACCUAACAAGCCUUUCAACCAGAUAGCUUCUUUUAUAGCUUCAGUUGCUGCCAUAUACUCUGCUUCCGUAGUGGACAGAGCAAUUGUCGAUUGCAAAAUCGACCUCCAGCUAACCGGACCUCCAUCCAAUGUGAAUAAGUAGCCCGUUGUUGAUCUUCGCUUAUCUAGGUCUUCGACGAAAUCAGAAUCACAAUACCCAACACAUUGUUGACCACAAUCCUUCUUGAACAAUAACCCAACAUCAACUGUCCCAUACAGAUAUCAGAGAAUCCACUUUACCGUAAGCCAGUAAUUUUUACCCGAAUUGUGCAUGUAUCUACUAACUAUGCUCACUAAUUGAGAUAUAUCGGGCCUUGUGCAUACCAUAGCAUACAUAAGACUACCCACAACACUAGCAUAUGGAACACGAGCCAUGUAAUCACGCUCUUUUUGAGAUCUAGGAUAUGAAGAAGAGCUUAUUUUGAAAUGAGGAGCUAGAGGUGUACAUACUGGUUUAGUUUUGUCAUCCAUACCGAAUCUUUCUAGCACUUUCUUCAAAUAAGACUUUUGAGUCAACCAUACGCUCCCAUUCUUCUUGUCUCUACGAAUCUCCAUCCCAAGUAUUCUCUGUGCAUCACCCAAGUCUUUCAUCUCGAACUCAAAAGCCAGCUGCUUCUUUAAUCUUUCGAUCUCAUCUCUAUUCUUCGAAGCUAUAAGCAUAUUGUCGACAUAGAGUAACAAAUAGAUGAAAGCUCCAUCUAGUAGUUUUCUUAAGUAAACACAAUGAUUGUGUUCACUUCUGGUGAAUUUCUGCCCUUGUAUAAAUUGAUCAAAUCUUUUGUACCACUGCCUUGGCGAUUGCUUCAGUCCGUACAAAAAUUUAAUCAACUUACACAAAUGAUUCUCCUUUCCAGCAACUCUAAAACCACAAAGCUGAGUCAUAUAGAUUUCCUCCUCCAAAUCUCUAUGUAAGAACGUCGUCUUAACAUCUAAUUGAGCCAACUCUAACUCAUAUUCUGCAAUUAAGGCAAGUAGGAUACGAAUGGACGUAUGUUUUACAAUUGGAGAGAAAACUUCAUUGUAGUCAAUACAUUCCUUUUGAGCAAAACCUUUUGCAAGGAGCCUUGCCUUGUAUUGAAGAGUUGAUUGAUUUAGAGAUCCUUGCUUCUUGGUGUAGACCCAUUUAUUGCCAAUACCCUUUUUCCCCUUUGGUAACUCCACAAGUUCCCAAGUCUGGUUUUGAUGGAGAGAUUUCAUCUCUUCUUCCACGGCUAACUUUCAUUGAUCACUUUCACUGCUGCAUAAUGCUUCACCGAAAGUGUUGGGGAUGUCAUCAUUAAUAACUGGAAGUGCAUAGGCUACUACCAUAUCUUUAGUAAGCCAUCCAGAUUUUUUUAUCUCUCUUUUUAGCCUCCUUGUUGUUAUAAAAUCAUCAUUUUCUACAUCAUCAAUUGUUUCUUCAUUUUGGGGGACAUCAGAAGAAAUAACCUCUUCUUCAACUCUAAGUGUCACCUCCAUAGUUGAACCAUUCUCUGAUGUAGAACUAACUGGUACAUAUGAAGUUACAUCAAACUCUACCUGCUGCAAUACCUCUUUGGUCUUGUUCUCCACUUGCUGAGAACUUGAAGCUUCAUCAAACGUGACAUCUCUACUACACACAAACUUUUUAUCUUCGAGAUCCCAAAGCUUGAAGCCCUUUACUCCAUCUUUGAAUCCCACAAAGAUAACUUUUCUAGUACGAGGAUCGAAUUUACCAUUUUUGACAUGAUAAUAAGUUGGACACUCGAAUAUACGAAGGGAAUCAUAGUUUUGUGCAUGUUUUCCAGACCACAUUUCCAUAGGAGUUUUAUCUCCAAUUACAGCAGAAGGAAACCGGUUUAUUAAGUGACUUGCGUAGCUCACAGCUUCAGCCCAAAACUUUUUAUCUAAACCAGCAUUAGAUAACAUACACUGUACUUUCUCCAGCAAAGUACGAUUCAUACACUCAACCACACCGUUCUGUUGCGGAGUAUGUCUCACCGUGAAAUGUCUUUUAAUACCCUCAUUCUGGCAUACUUGCAAGAAUAGAUCAAAAGUAUAUUCACCCCCAUUAUCAGAUCGUAAUACUUUGAUCUUUUUACCAGUUUGAGUCUCCACCAAUUUCUUCCAUUUCACAAAAAUCUCUAGAACCUCAUCCUUUGCUCGCAUGGUAUACACCCACACACGUCUAGAGAAAUCAUCAACAAAUGUAACAAAAUAAUAGUUUCCACCAAUUGAUGCAGUCUUGGUUGAUCCCCAUACAUCACUGUGAACAUAUUCAAAGAUCUCACGAGUAUCGUGAUUAGCCGUACCAAACUUGACCCUUGUUUUCUUGCCUACUACACAAUGCUCACAGAAAUUUAAUUUACAGGUUUUGGUACCUUUUAGAAGUUCAUACCUCAUCAGAGUUUUCAAAGACUUCUCUCCAGCAUGUCCUAGUAGUACAUGGCAUAACUUGGUGGUGUCACUGUGGGCCUCAUUAACAUUUGCUUCAUCAGUUGUACCUGUUGUGCAAAUUUUAAUGAACUCGCAAGCGCACGAAUCUAUUGUAGUGUAGAUCAAUGGUGACGAGUGUCGAUCCCACGAGGAGGAGGAUUUUAAUUGUGUAUAGAAUUAAUUUUGCAAAAUGGGUGGUUGGAAUUGUGGUGGAAGUGAUUUAAAUUAUCCUAAAAUUGGAAUUGAAAUUGCGAUAAUAAAUUCUAAAAUUGGAAUUGCAAUGGCGAGAAUAAGUUGAAGCGAAAUCUAUUGAAAUGACGUACUUGGGUAUCUGGAUCCGUAUCAACAUGCAUCAUGGGCUAAAUAAUCCGUAUUAAUGCCAAUUAAAUCAUGAGGGGGGAAUCCACACCUCAUGAACCACGCUCUAAUCAAUAUGGUGCUAAGGGCUUAUCGUGCCAAAUAAUAAUAACCUUAUACUAGAGAGCCGGUGUAACCAAGGCGGUAUCUAGACAAGAUCAGUAUUAUUUGUCGACGAUAAGUCAAAUCAUCCACAAAAACUAGAGGGGAAAAGAAAAUAAAUUUACCAAAUAAAGCCCAUGACACAUGUUGAGACUUCACCUUCAACCCAAGCUUGAAAAGAAAUUAGCUACUCAUAAUUGAACUAGGGGCAAAAAGGGAAUUUAUUAAAAUACAAAGAAAAUACAAGAUGGAGAAGGAAUUACAGAAAAUGGAUCCCAAAAAUGGAUUCAGAGAUAUCAAAUUAGGGGGGGGAGGCCCCCUUUUUAUAGAUACAUGGAGUAAAUCAUGGCCAUCGGAUUAAAAACAGUUUGGACGCUCAGGAUUGCGCCACGUCAUCAGUCAACAGUCCACGGUUUGACCACGCGGAUGAACAGUAACACGGCUUGACCCGGAAUGAACAGUAACGCGGUUUGGUUGAAAAUAAUCCUGUGUGAUGCAUGCACCGUACGCGAGAUUUUUCGUCCACUGAUAUGCUGCCACGUCACCGUCAACAGUACAUAAGAAUUUUAGUCCAACAGGAUCGUGACACCUCAUCAGUCAAUGCCACAUCAUCGGUCAAUGCCACGUCAUCGAUCCGUCUAUGUGAACAGUAUCGUGAACAGUAACGUAGACAGUACCGUAUACGUGAAUAGUACCGUACAUGUGAAUAGUGCCAUUUUUCCUUUUAUGCUCCUCCUAAGGUUUUCGACCGUCCUGAGUUCAAAAGUGAUGUCCGUUUUGCUGUCUGAUUUCUCCUUUAUUGUGAAAUGACUAUAAUGCCCCUAAAAUACAUAAAAUACUUAAUUAAAAUAACACACACGUAAUUACAUCACAAGAAGGUUAAAUACAUAAAAGUAAGAGUUGUUAGUAAGACUUGAAAUGUAAAAUGACGGUUUUCUCCUUUAUAAAUAUGCAUUUUCUAACACUCAACACACCCCCCAACCAGCUUAUUGCUAGUCCCUAGCAAAUAAAGCGAAAACAAAAUUCAAAUUCAAAAUAUAUUAAAUUUUUUUUUUUUUUUUUUUUUUUUUUUUUUUUUUAGAAACACUCGUGUUUAUUCAAUCAGAUUAAUGAUAGCAAUCAAAUAAAAGUAUAAGCAUUAUCUCCAGUCUAAAGCAAUAUCACACCCACAUCAACCAUCCACAUGAAUCGGCCCAGUUGACUUUGUUAUAGCUACUUUCAAGAAUGACAUGUCAAACCCCAAAAUCUCACUGGAAGUAAUGACACUCUCACAAAUAAAUUAAACCCAAUAAAAAUAGUCACUCCAAUGAGUGGUAAUUGAGAGAGAAAAUAAUAAAGAAGUGAUAUCACAUGCUCUCACCAAGAUGAAAUAAAUAUGCCCUCAGCUUAGAAAUAAUACGAUCUCAAGUCAAAUAAAAAAAAUGUUAGUCAACCCAAUUUAUUUUUUUAUUUUUUUAUAUGCACCACUACAUCUUUUUAGCCCAUAUAACUAGCUUCUACUUCAAACUAUAGUUCCCUAAAAUCAAGAAGGACUUUUAUUAGGACGUAACGUAGGCUAGGGAUAUGGCUAACAAAGAAAGGAAAUAAGGAAAACAAAGUGUAUGUUUGAGAAAAAUGCAGAAAUAUUUUUUUUUUUUUUUUUUUUUUUUGGAAGUUGCAAGGUGGAUUUUACCUAUUAUUGUUAUUUUUAUUCUUUUGAAACAACAACUUUGGUUUUUGUUUUUUUUUUUUGUUUUUUUUUUUUGUUUUUUUUUUUUGUUUUUAUUUGGCAUAACUUCACUGAACAACAUAAUUAUUUACAUUUUCUCAAACAUAAAUAGGUGAUGGAACUUAAAAGACAUUGGGUAAUACUCCAAAUCGGAGUGGGUCAAGAUGAUAAGUUGACAAAGAAAAGGUUUUUGUUCUUUUUUUUUUUUUUUUUUUAAAGGCUCAAAAGGGGUAACUAUGGAUAUUUAAUAAAAGGGAUGGCUAGAAAGGCUCAAACGGAUCAAAGAUGGCCUUUCUAUCGUCUUUUAGGGCUCUAAAUAAUUAUCCAUAUCUACUAGUUAGAUGGGCCUCCCAAUGUAGCAACACACAUUUUUUUUUCUUUUUUUUAAUUUUACCAUAUUUUUUUUUUUUAAAGGGUUAACUUAAAAGAAAUCUAGAGAUCGUGUAUAAAAUAAUAAACUGCUAAGCUGUAUAGAGAAUGGGCAAAAGGGUUACUCUCCAAGAAAAUGAUAGGCUCAACAACUCACUUGGCACUUAUUUAUGACAUGUUCAUUCCUUCAAGCAACUCAUAUUUGUCUCCGACAUCAACAUGUAAAGUAGCAAACAUAGCGUAACAUCACUUAAGACCAAAGAUAAUACAAAUACUAAAAUUUGAAAUUAAUCAUGUCAUCCAAUGUUAAAACAAAUCACACAAAUAUAUAUAUAUAUAUUUUAAACAACAUUCUACCCCCCAACCUAUUCUAAGCAUGAAAGGAAAAUAUGCAUGCAGAAAUGUGAAAAUGAUGUAAAAAAAUUAAUUAGAAAAAGAAAUUUUUUUUUUUUUUUAAACUAAGAAGAUGCGUUUCUAGAGGCACUACACUCCAUAUUCAGCCAUCUUCGACUCAAAAAUUUGAAACUACAUAUUUAUAAAGGAGAAAGAGGAAGAAAACAAGUUUUUUUUUUUUUUUUUUUUUUUUUUUAAACGAUGAAGAUGCGUUUCUAGAGUAACUACACUCCAUAUUCAGCCAUCUUCAACAUAAAACGUUAGCAACAGUUAGUUUCUACAACAAAAAAUCAGUAAAAACUUAACCAAGAUUCCACAAUUGUCGACUAUUCCCUCCCCCCAACCAGAACGAAACAUUGUCCUCAAUGUUUUAAAGGAAAGAAGUAGAGUUUAGAAGACAUCACCUGGGUGGUGCAACACAGAAGAAAAUAUUUACAGGCGGAGAGUUAAAUCUAAUUUGUACUUCUUACUGCGGCUACUGUUACCAUCAUUAUUUGGUCGCUCCAACACAAAGGUCCAGGGGUCUGGCUCCGGUUUAUAAGCUUGUAACAUAUCAAGUAGCUCAUUAGCAGUGUGAGCACAAAUAAAGAGUUUUUUCACAUUAGAAGGAAUGAAAUAGUUUUUUAUUGCAUGGUUAAGAAAUGCGAUAAAGCCAUCAUAAAAGUUAUUGACAUUUAACAAACCGAUGGGUUUCUGGUGGAUGUGCAGAUGGGCCCAAGAUGCUAGUGUGAUAAGUGCCUCUAGUGUUGCAAGAUCUCCUGGAAGGAAAAUAAAAGCAUCAGCAUGAUUAAGCAUUUCAGUUAUUCUUUCUUGCAUACCUGAGACGACUAACUCUUCUCCAGUUGAUGAGUCAGACGAACUGCCCAAUGGUUUUAGGACUCUUGGGAUGAUGCCUAACACUUGACUUCCUCUGAUAAAAGCUGCUUCUGAGACCAUUUUUGAUAGCCCUCGGUUACCUCCUCCAUACACCAAGUGUAAUUUUCUCGCUGCUAUGCUUCGACCAAGAUCUAUGGCUGCCUCCACGAACUCUUUAUGUUUGCCAUAGGUAAAUCCAGAAAGCACACAAAUGUUCUUGAAUUGUCUAUUGGGAGUAGCUGCCAUUGUGAUACUUCUCAAAAACAAUUUGUGAGUGCUUGACAAAAGAUAUCACAUUUAAGAGUCUUGGUGAUAGUGGGUCAUGGUUGUGUAUGAGGUAAUAUGUCAGUGUCAAAGAACGCGUAAAGCACGUGGCUCGCAAGUCAAAAAGAAAACAGUAAAAAGGAAAAAGCAAACAGUAAUAAAAUUAUUAAAGACAAUAAUGCAAACAAUAAGACAAUAGUGAAAUAAAAUAACAAUAAAGUAAAAGGAUAUUUACACGUAGUUGCGACUGUGGCUCACAUCUUCCUCUGGUUUUACGUCCAGAAACGGCUUGAACGCCCUCUAUGGGUCGAGGAUGGGCUUCCCAUCCAGUUUUCUUAUAAACUGGCAAACAGGGUCGUUUAUAGUCAGAUUCCCGAGACUAUAUCGUGUAUGCUCUUUCUGGAAUAAUGGCCAUAACUGGAGAAUCGCUCCUUGCACAUAUCCACUGGGAUGCGUUUCAAGAGACAAAAGGAUAUCAUCCAAUGACUCCUUAUUCAAGCCAUCCCUAAUGAAUUGAAUCUUAUCUUCUCUGUUAUCAGACACCAUUCCUAAAGAACAUGGGUUUCUAUCGCAACUCAUUCUGGCACACUUAUGACAAGCAACAGAAAUUCUUCGAGCUCGUCGUUUUCUUGCAUAAUUUCCUUUACCACAACCAGGCAUGAAUGCAAUAAAUUUUGGAGAUAACUCACCUGCCAAUCGUACUUUAGCCUCGAUUAACCAACGGAUGUCUGCAGGUAUGUUAUUCCUCAUGAGCAAUCGCAUGCGUUCGGUCCGAGCUUUAUAGAUCGUAAGGAGGGCAUUCUGAGGAAGUGAAGGGAAUCGCUUGUGAAGCUUCGCUAGAAUCUCGUUUCUGUCCAUACUUUCGCCUCAGAAUGUCAGUUAUUGUGGGAAACUGAAGUAACCGACUUGAUUGUCACGGAGUACCGUUAUCCGCCACUUCACCGGGGUAACAAACUAAAGCACACAAACAGAAAAACAAAUUAAAACACACAAAGAAAAUUAAAAUCGUCCUCUUAUUGAAUUUACCUCAAGCUCCAACUGGAUGUCGUAAACACUUCUCUCAAUGUCUCUGAGUUGGCGUUCUAAACCCUCAACAUAGGCUACUAACUCUGGUGGUUGUAGAGCCCAAAUGCGUUGUGUUUUACAAAAUAGAAUCUGCCUUUUGAGAUGAGUUUUGACACGUUGAAGUGGUUUAAGAAUGUUCAGGAGGAACGGUCUGAGUAAGGUACUCAUGAUUAAAAAUGAUAAGAGAAAACUUAAUAGUUAAACAAACACACUUAUGCAAAAAUAAUUUCAAUUAGCAAAAGAAUAAUAUAAAGAAAGAAAGAAAAAUCAAAUCAACGAAAAGAAAAAACAAAUCAAUUCAAAUCUGGUGGGUCACUCAAAUUUAUUUCGGUGUCUUCUCCAUGUGGUUGGUAUUCUAGAUAUGGCUUUAAUCUUUGACCAUUAACUUUAAACGCGACACCGUUCUUUGGGUCCUUAAUUUCAAUUGCCCCAUGUGGAAAAACAGUAUGAACAAUAAAGGGACCAGACCAUCGAGAGCGUAACUUACCUGGGAAUAGAUGCAAGCGAGAAUUGAAUAAAAGCACUUUCUGACCUGGAGUGAAAGAUUUUCUCAUAAUGUGCUUGUCAUGAAAGACUUUCAUUCGUUGCUUGUAAAUUUUGGCAUUUUCGUAUGCAUCAUUGCGAAUUUCUUCAAGUUCUGCCAGCUGUAAUCUUCUUUCUGAGCUGGCUUGCUGCAUGUCAAAGUUGAAUUUCUUGAUGGCCCAAUAUGCACGAUGCUCGAGUUCCACAGGUAGGUGGCAAGCUUUUCCAUACACUAGCCUGUAGGGUGACAUCCCAAUCGGGGUCUUGAAAGCCGUUCUAUAUGCCCAUAAUGCAUCAUCAAGUCUUAAUGACCAAUCUUUUCUGUCUGGCCUCACUGUUUUUUCUAAUAUGUGCUUUAUUUCUCGAUUGGAGAUCUCAACUUGGCCACUGGUGUGCGGAUGAUACGGGGUCGCCACUUUGUGUGUGAUUGAAUACUUUGUCAAAAGAGCUUUGAAUGCUUUGUUACAAAAGUGGGCACCACCAUCACUGAUUAUCGCUCGAGGGAAUCCAAAGCGUGAAACAAUAUUGCUUUUCAAAAAUCCUAUCACCACUUUGUGAUCAUUGGUCCUACAUGGAAUUGCUUCUACCCAUUUCGAGACGUAGUCAACACCAACCAAUAUGUAUUGAUGGCCAAAAGACGGAGGAAAGGGUCCCAUGAAGUCGAUACCCCAUACGUCAAAAAUCUCAACCACUAAAAUUGGAUUUAGUGGCAUCAUGUUCCUUCGUGUAAUGCUCCCCAUUCGUUGACACCUAUCACAUGAAGAACAGAAAGUGUAAGCAUCUCGAAAUAUAGUUGGCCAAUAAAAACCACAUUGUAAAACUUUAGUCGCGGUUUUCUUAGCACUGAAGUGGCCUCCACAAGCUUGUGCAUGGCAGAAUGAAAGAAUAUUCUGAAUUUCAUUUUCAGGGACACAUCGUCUAACAAUUUGGUCUGCACAAUACUUGAACAAAUAUGGGUCAUCCCAAAAGAAAUUCUUUAUUUCCGCAAAGAAUUUAGCCUUGUCUUGCUUAGUCCAAUGCUCUGGAAGUUUACCUGUAACAAGAUAAUUAACUAUAUCAGCAUACCAAGGUAAUACUUCCACAUUCAUUAAUUGUUCAUCUGGAAAUGACUCAUUCAAUGGUAAUGAUUCUGUAAUUGUGUCAAAAUGGAGACGAGAGAGGUGGUCCGCCACAACAUUCUCUGUGCCUUUCUUAUCCUUGAAUUCCAAGUCGAAUUCCUGCAAAAGUAACACCCAACGAAUUAGUCUAGCUUUUGCAUCUUUCUUUGUGAGAAGAUAUUUAAGAGCAGCAUGAUCUGUGAACACAAUUAUUUUACAACCAAUGAGAUAAGAUCGAAAUUUCUCUAAUGCAAACACUACUGCUAGCAUUUCUUUUUCAGUAGUUGAAUAAUUCAACUGUGCAUCAUUCAAUGUCAUACUAGCAUAGUAAAUAACGUGGGGAAUUCGAUCAACUCUUUGUCCUAAUACUGCUCCUACUGCAUAAUCAGAUGCAUCACACAUGAGCUCAAAUGGUAAGCUCCAGUUUGGGGCCUGAAUGAUGGGUGAUGAUGUCAACAAUUGCUUUAAUUUUUCAAAAGCCAUAAGACAUGAAUCAUUAAAGAUAAAAGGUACAUCCUUAGCAAGUAAAUUGCAUAAGGGUCUAGAAACUUUGCUAAAAUCUUUAAUGAAACGUCUAUAGAAACCAGCAUGCCCAAGGAAAGAUCUUACUUCUCUGACUGUUUUAGGUGGAGGAAGAUUAGAAAUUAGAUCCACCUUGGCUUUGUCAACCUCAAUACCUUUGCUUGAAAUGAUGUGACCGAGAACAAUACCUUGUUUUACCAUAAAAUGGCACUUCUCCCAAUUUAAGACUAAGCUCUUCUCGGUACAUCUCUGCAGAACUAGCGUUAGAUGAUGUAAACAUUGAUCAAACGAGUCACCAAAGACAGAAAAAUCAUCCAUAAAGACUUCAAGGAAUCGUUCAACCAUAUCAGAAAAAAUACUCAACAUGCAUCGUUGAAAUGUAGCAGGUGCAUUACAUAAUCCAAAUGGCAUUCUCCUAUAUGCAAAUGUGCCAAAAGGACAAGUGAAAGUGGUCUUCUCUUGAUCUUUUGGUGCUAUAGGAAUCUGAUUAUAUCCUGAGUAGCCAUCUAGAAAGCAAUAAAAUUCAUGGCCUGCUAAUCUAUCAAGCAUUUGAUCAAUAAAUGGUAAAGGAAAAUGGUCUUUACGUGUGACAGAAUUCAACUUUCUAUAAUCAAUGCAUACACGCCAUCCUGUAGUUACUCUAGUUGGUAUCAAUUCAUUAUCAGCAUUGGUAACUACUGUGACUCCUGACUUUUUGGGGACGACUUGUACAGGACUGACCCAUGAACUAUCAGAAAUUGGGUAAAUGAUACCUGCAUCUAAUAGCUUAAGGACUUCAGUUCUAACAACUUCUUUCAUGUUAGGAUUUAACCGACGUUGCAUCUCCCUAGUAGUUUUAGCAUUUUCAUCAAGGUGAAUGUAAUGCAUGCAGUCUACUGGAUUUAUACCUUUUAUGUCUGCUAUGGUCCAUCCUAAUGCUCCUUUGUGCUCUUUUAAAACAUCCAACAACUUACCUUUUUGUUCGUCAUUUAGGGAUGAUGAGAUGAUUACUGGUAGAGUGCUUUCUUCUCCCAAAAAUGCAUAUUCCAGAGUGUUGGGUAAUGGUUUGAGCUCGAGUUUCGGUGGUGAUUCUGAUGAUGGAAUGAGUUUCUUCUCUGAUGGUGCUAGUUGUUCAACUCUUGACUUCCAUUUAUUAGUGUCCAUGGAUGGUGCUGAGUCAAGUAGGGCGUUGACCUCUUCGACCGAUCUGUCAAUAUCAAAAUCCAAACCAAAGUGAGUUAAACAUGUUUGUAAAGGGUCAUCACUAAGGUUUGAAAUAAAAGUAUUAUCGACUAUUGUUUCUAUUAAAUCCACAUCAACAAUUCCAUCAUCUGCACUGUGAGGUUGUUUGGCAAUGUUGAAGAUGUUUAGCUCCAUAGUCAUGUUGCCGAAGGACAAUUGCAUAUUUCCGGUCCUACAUUGAAUAUGAGCAUCUGCAGUUGCCAAGAAAGGUCGGCCUAGAAUAAUGGGGAUGUGCUUCCUUGAGUCCUGUAUUGGUUGAGUGUCAAUUACAAUGAAAUCAACAGGAAAAUAAAACUUGUCUACCUGGAUAAGCACGUCCUCCACAAUACCACGAGGUAUUUUUGUGGACCGAUCUGCAAGUUGUAACACCACUGGAGUUGGGUGUAAUUCUCCCAGUCCAAGUUUCACGAAUACAGAGUAAGGCAACAAAUUUACACUAGCUCCUAAAUCCAACAAAGCAUUCUCAAUUGUGUGGUUCCCUAUACUACAUGAGAUAGUGGGGGAGCCUGGGUCUUUGCAUUUUAAAGGAAUUUUAUGUUGGAGUAUAGAACUAACGUUUUCUGUUAAAAAUGCCUUCUUUUGAACAUGCAUAUUUCUCUUUUUAGUACAAAGGUCUUUAAGAAACUUGGCAUAAGAUGGAACUUGUUUAAUAGCAUCAAGUAAAGGGAUGUUAACACUUACCUGUUUGAAGAUUUCGAGAAUCUCACCUGUGGAUUUUCCCUUUUUCCCUUUAGCUAACCUCUGAGGAAAUGGAGCUUUCGGAACGUAUUCUCGUGGGUUGGUUUCUUCUUUCUCCUCCGGUGGUGAGUCCUCAGCAUUUACAGGUACAAUUUGAUUUUCUUUUGUCACCGGCAUCUCCACUUUAUUGUCGACUUCCUUUCCUUUUCGCAAGGUCAUUACUGCUUUGACCUCUCCAUGCUGCUGUGGUGAACUGGUACUUGCUUCAUACACUCCUUUAGGAUUAGGCACUGGUUGACUCGGAAACUUGCCUUUCUCAACAGUCAUUGCCAAGGUCUGAACUGAAGAAGCAAGCUGUCCCACCAUCUUCUCGAGGCUUGAAACUGAUUGGGCUUGUGAAUUGAAGCCCGCUCUCAACUCAUUUCGUAGUCCAUCAAUGGUGCGGUUCUGUUGCUCAAUCGUAGAGUGAGUAGCAUUCUUGAAAUUCUGGAAUGAAUCCUCCCAUGAUCUGGGUUGAGAGUAGUUCUGGUUCUGAUUGAAUGGUCUAAAUGGGGGCUGAGAGGCUUGAGGAACUUGAGGAAUUUGUGGAGCUGGAGCUGGAGCUGCUGGUCCAUUCUGUUGGAAUCCUUGAGACCAUGAAAAAUUGGGGUGGUCUCUCCAUCCAGGGUUAUAUGUGUUGGAGUAUGGGUUGUAAUUCGAUGGUUUUCUCAUUACACCUAUGGCAUUGGCUUGAUCAGAGUAUGAGUCAUGGUCAUGUGGUUCUGUUGAUUUAACAGUCGAUAACGAUGCUAUUUGUCGAGAGAGACCUUCAAUUAUUGCUUUGACUUCUUUAAUUUCUGAACUUGACUCGCCAAUGUGAACCUCAUUCACUCCUUUAAUUCUUUUAGUAUUCCUGAGUGAUCGACUCCGUUGUUGGGAAUUAUCCGCUUGUCGCUGGAAGAAUUCCCAAAUCUCUGUUGCGCUUUUUGACAUUAGCUCUCCUCCACUUGUUGCCAUUAGCCAUUCUUGCACAUUCGGCAAUAAUCCCUCCAAAAAGUAUUGGCAUUGGUGCCAUUUCUCGUACCCAUGAUGUGGACACUUCAAGAGUAGCCCAUUGAAUCGCUCCCAAGUUUCGAAAAACUGCUCGUCCUCUCUUUGUGUAAACUCUGAAAUUUCCCUGCGAAUAGAAUUGGUUUUAUGCACUGGGAAAUAUUUAUUUAGAAAUUUUGUAACCAUUUGUUCCCAUGAUGCAAUGCUAUUAGCAGGCAAAGUAUUUAACCAUGAACGAGCUCUAUCCUUUAAAGAAAAUGGGAAUAAUCUAAGUUUAACAUCAUCGUCUGAAAAAUUUUCAUAUUUAAAAGUUUGACAAAUUGCAUGAAAAUCAUUCAAAUGAUUAUAUGGGUCCUCAUUUUCUAAGCCAUAGAAUGUGGGGAGACAAUUUAGCACACUAGGUUUUAGUUCAAAACUCCUAGCAGCUACAUUUGGGUAUCUUAUGCAUGAUGUGCUCAAAUUAGCUAAGGGACUAAAAUAGUCCUUAAAUGGCCUCUCCUGUGGUGCUUGUAAAUCCAUUCCAAAUUUAUUUUUAAUGUGCUUUUGUGUGCGAAGUGUUUUUUCUAAUUCAAGGUCUAUAGGUUCAAGAUUUGGUAAUAAUGACCUACGACCAUGCAUGCAAAAUAAAUAAAAUAAAAAUAAAGAUGCAAACAAAACAAAAAAUAAAGAUGGGAACAAAACAAAUAAAAAUAAAGAAGAGGGAGAAAUUACGAUACUAACCUUAUUGCGCUAUUACAACUUUUCUAUAAAAAUACACAAAAAUAAAUACGUGAAAUAAAUUAACUAAAAAUUAAAUUAAUAAAAUAAACAAAAAUUACAAAGAAAAAAUAAAUUGAAAAUUAAAUUACAGAAUUUUAAAGAAGAGAAAAAGAAAAGAAAUACUAACCUUUAAAUGUAGAUUUACUUUUUUUUUCUUUUUUUUUUAAAAAAAAAAAAUACACGAAAACAAAUAAAAGAAAUUAUUCACAAAAAUUAAUUCUAUGAAUUAAAACUACUUACCUCCCCGGCAACGGCGCCAAAAACUUGUUGUGCAAAUUUUAAUGAACUCGCAAGCGCACGAAUCUAUUGUAGUGUAGAUCAAUGGUGACGAGUGUCGAUCCCACGAGGAGGAGGAUUUUAAUUGUGUAUAGAAUUAAUUUUGCAAAAUGGGUGGUUGGAAUUGUGGUGGAAGUGAUUUAAAUUAUCCUAAAAUUGGAAUUGAAAUUGCGAUAAUAAAUUCUAAAAUUGGAAUUGCAAUGGCGAGAAUAAGUUGAAGCGAAAUCUAUUGAAAUGACGUACUUGGGUAUCUGGAUCCGUAUCAACAUGCAUCAUGGGCUAAAUAAUCCGUAUUAAUGCCAAUUAAAUCAUGAGGGGGGAAUCCACACCUCAUGAACCACGCUCUAAUCAAUAUGGUAUUUAACCUUCUUGUGAUGUAAUUACGUGUGUGUUAUUUUAAUUAAGUAUUUUAUGUAUUUUAGGGGCAUUAUAGUCAUUUCACAAUAAAGGAGAAAUCAGACAGCAAAACGGACAUCACUUUUGAACUCAGGACGGUCGAAAACCUUAGGAGGAGCAUAAAAGGAAAAAUGGCACUAUUCACAUGUACGGUACUAUUCACGUAUACGGUACUGUCUACGUUACUGUUCACGAUACUGUUCACAUAGACGGAUCGAUGACGUGGCAUUGACCGAUGAUGUGGCAUUGACUGAUGAGGUGUCACGAUCCUGUUGGACUAAAAUUCUUAUGUACUGUUGACGGUGACGUGGCAGCAUAUCAGUGGACGAAAAAUCUCGCGUACGGUGCAUGCAUCACACAGGAUUAUUUUCAACCAAACCGCGUUACUGUUCAUCCGGGUGUAGAUCAAUGGUGACGAGUGUCGAUCCCACGAGGAGGAGGAUUUUAAUUGUGUAUAGAAUUAAUUUUGCAAAAUGGGUGGUUGGAAUUGUGGUGGAAGUGAUUUAAAUUAUCCUAAAAUUGGAAUUGAAAUUGCGAUAAUAAAUUCUAAAAUUGGAAUUGCAAUGGCGAGAAUAAGUUGAAGCGAAAUCUAUUGAAAUGACGUACUUGGGUAUCUGGAUCCGUAUCAACAUGCAUCAUGGGCUAAAUAAUCCGUAUUAAUGCCAAUUAAAUCAUGAGGGGGGAAUCCACACCUCAUGAACCACGCUCUAAUCAAUAUGGUGCUAAGGGCUUAUCGUGCCAAAUAAUAAUAACCUUAUACUAGAGAGCCGGUGUAACCAAGGCGGUAUCUAGACAAGAUCAGUAUUAUUUGUCGACGAUAAGUCAAAUCAUCCACAAAAACUAGAGGGGAAAAGAAAAUAAAUUUACCAAAUAAAGCCCAUGACACAUGUUGAGACUUCACCUUCAACCCAAGCUUGAAAAGAAAUUAGCUACUCAUAAUUGAACUAGGGGCAAAAAGGGAAUUUAUUAAAAUACAAAGAAAAUACAAGAUGGAGAAGGAAUUACAGAAAAUGGAUCCCAAAAAUGGAUUCAGAGAUAUCAAAUUAGGGGGGGGAGGCCCCCUUUUUAUAGAUACAUGGAGUAAAUCAUGGCCAUCGGAUUAAAAACAGUUUGGACGCUCAGGAUUGCGCCACGUCAUCAGUCAACAGUCCACGGUUUGACCACGCGGAUGAACAGUAACACGGCUUGACCCGGAUGAACAGUAACGCGGUUUGGUUGAAAAUAAUCCUGUGUGAUGCAUGCACCGUACGCGAGAUUUUUCGUCCACUGAUAUGCUGCCACGUCACCGUCAACAGUACAUAAGAAUUUUAGUCCAACAGGAUCGUGACACCUCAUCAGUCAAUGCCACAUCAUCGGUCAAUGCCACGUCAUCGAUCCGUCUAUGUGAACAGUAUCGUGAACAGUAACGUAGACAGUACCGUAUACGUGAAUAGUACCGUACAUGUGAAUAGUGCCAUUUUUCCUUUUAUGCUCCUCCUAAGGUUUUCGACCGUCCUGAGUUCAAAAGUGAUGUCCGUUUUGCUGUCUGAUUUCUCCUUUAUUGUGAAAUGACUAUAAUGCCCCUAAAAUACAUAAAAUACUUAAUUAAAAUAACACACACGUAAUUACAUCACAAGAAGGUUAAAUACAUAAAAGUAAGAGUUGUUAGUAAGACUUGAAAUGUAAAAUGACGGUUUUCUCCUUUAUAAAUAUGCAUUUUCUAACACUCAACAGUACCUCCCUUCAAAUAGUACAAAUUGUGACGCCAAACUCCUUGCAGAAUCACUAUAGCCCCAUGUGCAAACUUCAUUGUGCCAUCUUCAAUAGUAACCUUGUAGCCUUUAGCUUCCAACGCACCCACAUAAAUUAGAUUUUUCUUUAAAGCUGGAACAAAUCUAAUCUCUUUAAGUUCUCUAAUCGUUCCAUCAAACAUUUUGAGCCGAAUUGUUCCUAUCCCCAUUGUACGACAAUGUUGAUCAUUCCCCAUCACAACAGCACCGGAUUCCAGAUUACGAAAAUCCGUAAACUAUUCUUUAAUAGGACACAAAUGAUAGGUUGCCCCAAUAUCAAGUAUCCACUCGCUCGAACUAGCCACGUAUGCUGCAGGAGUAAUACUUAGUGAAUAAUCAAAGUCCUCAUCUUUCCGUGCCAUGUUUGUUGAUGCGGGUUUCUUCCCAUCUCUCUUUUGAGCCUUUGGACAAUUUUUCCUCCAAUGGCUUUUUUCAUGACAAAAGGCACACUCGUCUCGAGCUAUAUUUCUACUUCUCGAUUUAGAUCGAAAAUUCUUUCCACCAUGCUUAUUCUUUUUCUCCAUCGCCUAAUCUCUGCUCACCAAAGCUUCAGACGAUGCCUGUUCAUAAUUUUUAUCAUUAUUUCGAAUCUCUAAGUUAGUCAAUGCUGUGCAAACAUCUUUGAAGAUGAUCACACUUUUCCCAUAUAUCAAGGUAGUCACAAAAUGGCUAUAUUCCUCUGGUAGUGAGUGUAACAAAAUCAUAACCUUGACUUCAUCCUUAAUAUCUUCAUCAAGAUUCUUCAAAUCAGCAAGUAACUCUGGUAGUGUGUGAUGGUGCUAAGUCUUCACUUAGCCAGUCACUCAACAAUAUCUAGCGGAAGCAAAUAAAGUAACAAGCAUGCAAAGAUCCACAAUGGAGGUUUACGUAAGAGACUAAUUGAUGGUAGUCGAAGUCAGCAAAAAUAAAUACAUACUCUAAAUAAAUUGUGUAUAGUGAUUGAGUAGGGUCGUGUCCACAGAGAUUGGUAAUUAUUUAAAUCUUUUUAAAAUGAAAAAUGCAAAAUGGGGGAAUUGUUGACAAUAAUAAAAAUCAAAUUAAAAUAACAAGAAUGCAAAUUAAAAUUGUAAUUCAAAUUGGGAAAAGCUUUGGUUGAAGGAAUUAACUCAGCUUGAUUCGACUACUGAUCAUUGAUUCAAAUAUAAAUCAUUACUAUUAUGAAUAGACCGGUUAUAGCUACUGAGACCCUCUAAUAGCCAAUCUCUCCUUAACUAGUCGAUAACCAAGGUACGACCAUUGGUUAUUUCCCUAAUCAAUAGACAACCCUAGAUACGAUCAUAGGGUUUAAUCAAUUGACAGCCUGAAAAACCAGAGAGACCUAAAUCCUAAUAAAAAACGCAUAUGAUGGUUCAUUUAAAUUAGAUUGUUUAUUCUCAUAACACAACGCACUGCUAUGCUAUUUUGUCACAAACAUUAAAAUCUUCAUACGAUGAAUCUUUUAAUUGACAAUAGAUUAAGUUGAUAAUUAAAUAGUGGCCAAUUAUCUAAUUAACAAACAUAAUCAUGACAAUAAUUUAGAGAAUGAACAAAUAUCCAAAAAGCAAUAAAACAAUUAAAGCAUAAGAAAGAUCUCACAGUAAUGAUGAAUCAAAGCUUUAUUAACCUUCAACCAGAAUAAUAGAUUUAGUUCUUCAUAGAGAGAAGAGUUUAGAUCUAGAGUUUCUUUUUCUUCCCUCCUCUUGAAAAAUUCUCCUCCCCUUUGUUUUUCAUGUCUCCUUUCUCUUAUAGAGUUUUUCCAAAAAUAAAAUACUAAUAUCUAAAAUAUUAUCUAAAUAUUAAAUUCAAAAUUACAAAAAUAACCAAAAAGGUAAAACAUGUUAAAAUAAAAAUUGCAGGUCCUUAGUCGACAACACGGGCCCACGCCUUAUCAACAAAGUUCUUCUGAAGCUCAUAAUUUCUCUAGGAAAACAAUCAUCUUCAAACAUCAUCUUGUAGCUCAAUUUUAGCACCAAUCAAUAGAAUUGUACCUACAAAAAUAAAACAGAAGUAAAUCACUAUUAUUAAGUGCAAAACAUCGAUAUUAAAGGAAGUAAACAAUGCAAAACUAGUGCAUAGAUUGCACUCUAACAAAUUCCCCCACACCAAGAUAAUGCUUGUCCUCAAGCAUAUAACUCAAGACUAAUCUCAAAUCUCCACUCAAUUCUCAUCUCAACUCAUCCAAAAACAAUCUUAAGCAAGUAUAUCUUAAGAAUUUAAGUCAAUCAACAUUCGAGAGACAAGGAUUUUAAAGCAUAGGAUCUCAUAAGCUAGUAUAAAAACAUUCAACCACCCAGAAGAUCCAUUCAAAAUUCAAGUGCAACAAGUUUUAAUAGCCCUCUCAUUGACUUCACUCCAUCUCAAAGUGUUUAGGGUAUCAUUUAUGCACUCCAAUUAAAUCAAAGAAUGCUAUUACCGUAAGCUUGCUCAUAUAUCACAUCUCAAUCCACAAAACAAGAAUUAAAUGCAAAAAUUUAAGGGUCUUAAAAAGGUUGUAACGGGGUUAAAUGGGUUGAAUGAAAAAUAAAGGUCUAUGAAAGAAAAAGAGGUCAAAAUGAGAAGAAUGAACUCAUUGAAUGAACCUUAUGAUAUCAAAACGCUUAUUUCUACUCAAGUCGCCAAGAAUGUAAACAUUUUUUUUUUUCAUUCAUUUUUUUUUUCAGUAAUGGUGAACCAAACAAAAGAAAUGAACCUUGCACAAUUUAAUUCAAGCAUAAUGCUUGUUGAUCUAAUUGAGAAACUUUAAUUCAAGGUAGCAAGAGCAACAAAAUAUAUACAAAAUACAUCCAAACAAUGAGUCCAAAAAUCUCCUUAAAUUGAGGCUCAAAAAGAAGGAAAAUGGGUAAGUAGUUGGAGAGAAUUAGAUGGGUAAAAAAAAUAAUAAUAAUAAAACAAGUGAAGAGAAUGGUUAAGGCUCAAACAAAGAUAACAAAUAAAGGUCUUCGGGUGGAGAAAAAGAAGAAAAAUGCGAAAAUAGAAAAAUGGAAAUUGGUUUGCCCUUAUCAUUUUAAUGCAUAAAAUCCCGUAAUGCAGCUUCAACAUGCAUAACAAAGCAAGUUCUAGCAUAAACAAACUAAGAUUGAUAUUCACAUAACAAAAAUAAUUAGAGCAAAGUGGUUGCUCAUAGGCUCAAAUCCUCACAAAGUUGGUAAAUUUGCCAUCAAAUCAUGUAUACUCUUCAAAUGAAUCAACCAUCAAUAGUGAUGUAGAAUGAGAAGAAGAUAUGAGUGAUAUAUAAAAGGAAAGGUAAAAAGGAUAAGAAGCGAGAAAGAUAUAUGUAGUAAUAUAAAAAAUAAAAAUAGAUGUAAAUAAUUUGAAAUAGAUGGGAAAAGAGUAGUGAGAAAGAAAAGAAAAGAAAAGAAAAUUAAAAAUAAUAUAUGAAGCAUACUAACUCCAAAAUCAUUUAAGGAUGAACAGAGUGAAAAUAAUACUUUCAGACAUCAAUAUUGCAAAAAUCCCUCCCCCACACCAUAAACUCACAUUGUCCUCAAUGUAUGAUAAUCAAAGCUCACAUAAAGAAAUAAAGCGUAAGGAUACAAGAUUAAAGGCAAAACGUCCCUGAAUUGUGAGCUUUGAUCCACAUAACGUAUAUGGGCUUGGCGGAAAUGGUGGGAUAAAUCCCACACUCUCGAAGUAUGCGGCCAAAUUCUGCUCCAUCUUGUUCAGCUUGUGCUCCAUUUUCUCUAACUGAAUGCUCAAAGGUGGUGCAGAUGUAGAAGGAAUAGUUGGUGGGGCAGCAGUUUCAUCGUCAAACUUGUCAUCAGAGGUAGCACCACUCCUAGCAUAAAGCUUCUUUGGAAGUUGAGUGGGUCCUGGUUCAGUAAACUGAAAUCUCCCCUCCUUGAAUUCGACCACACCUGUUCUUUCAAACAAAGACAUAUCCAAAAAUUCCUUUUUGCAAGCAGGAUGUAAAUCAUUAUUGUCAGGAUCAAGCACACAUAAGUUUAUAGCUAACAGAGUAAUGUAUGGACCAAGAAAUAAAGUCCUAUACCUUUUAAGUACACUCUGAAAUUGAUCUGCUAACCAAAAACCUAGAUUAGGCCUCACAUCAUUUAACAUGCACCAGAUAAAAUAAAACUCAAUUUUAGAGAAAACUUCAGAGUAAUCUUUCUUUCCUAAAAAGUUAUAUGCUAAGAACCGAUGCACACAUUUCAAAAUAGGAUCACGUAAGAAAGAGCUCUUUGAUUUACUCGGGUCAUAGGCAUUGUGAUCAAAAGAUAAAUUACGCCAAAGACCAUAAGGCUCAAACUUUUCUCUAAAAUCACAAGUUGUCCCUAAAGAUGCAUCAUUAGAAGAAUAAUCAUCAUCAAUGAAUCCUAAAGCUAGGUUAAAAUCUGUGAUAGAUUAUGAAAAAUUUCGUCCCAUUAACCUAAACUUUAUAACAUUCGGAGUAUGCAAAGUAAAAUUAUUUGGUAUAUUAAAUUGAAAAGUAGCAUAGAACUCCCUAAUCAACUCAACAUAACCGAAACAAUCAAUAUCAACAAAAUUACGCAAACCAAUCUUAUCUAUCAAAGAAUUAAAAUUAUCCUUAACAUUCAAUUAUUCAAGAGUCGGGUAAUGAAUAUACUUAGCUGGAAGUAUUUUUCGCUUGGAAAUAUCUUUGUACUUUUCUUUCUCUUGUUGAGCCAUGAAUGUGAGGCACCCUCCGAGGUUGGAUUCAGCAAGUGGCAAAACACUCAUGCCUUUUCCAUGUUUCGAUCUUUGUCUCACGGCUCGGCGUGAAUUUGAAACUGUGUUCCAUGGGACCGUAGUGGGAGCAGCAGUCUUGGAUUUCUUUACGACGGGUUUCGUUUUAGACGUUGAUGACUUGGAAGUUGAUGCUUUCCUCAUCGGCAUUGUUACAAUAAUUUCACUCACGGGUUUUGUUUGAAUGCGAAAAGCGGCGGUUCUUUGAACAGAGGAGAGUGAGGCUGUGCGAGUUGCUGGACGCGGCAAGGAUGUGCUGGAAACCGAUUGCAGUGCGCUGGAAACACUGGUACAGUUGGUUGCUGGACUGGUUGUGCUGUUGGAGUGAGGAGAUGCGGCUGGUGCUGCGCUGCUGGUUGCUGGAGAUGCGGCUGCUGGAGUGAGGAGACGCGGCUGGGGACGCGAGACGUGGCUACUGACGGGAUGUUUGAUGCGGCUGCUGCUGGGAUGCCAGUCAUACGUUAGGGAUUAAAACCCUGAAAAAAAAAACCUUUUUUUUCGAUUUUUUUGUAUCAAAUAAAAUAAAAUAAAAAAAAAUAUAAAAAAACCUUUUUAUUUUUAUUUUUUUAUUAUUGAAACUAAAAACUAAAAGAGACUUGAGACAUAAAAAAAAAAUUCCAGAAGUACUUUUUUAAUAAGCAUAUGGGCAGGCCUUAAAACUAUUUUACUUUAAAAUCACAAAACUACUUAUUAGUAAAAACAUGGGCACGCCUAACCAAAAAUUUUCUUCUGGCCAAAAUAAGAAAAAACAUUAUUUAAACAAUCUGAAUCAAAAUUAAAACAAAUGAUAUAACAAAAAUCAAAAUAAAUAAAUCAUUUGGGUUGCCUCCCAAAAAACGCAUUUGUUUUAUGUUUUUGGCUAGACACAUUCAUGCAUCAAUCUCCAUAAAUUGGACUCUCGAGAGCCACUUCCUCCACAAUAUACACCAAAAAACCUUCAUAAACAGGUUUUAAGCGAUGUCCAUUAACCUUAAAAACUUUGUCAGAGGUUGAACUCCGAAUCUCAACUGCACCAUGAGAAAAAACAUUAGUAACAAUAAAAGGUCCUACCCAACAAGAGCGUAAUUUACCAGGAAAAAGUUUAAGCUUAGAAUGAAAAAGAAGAACUUUUUGACCAACAAAGAACUCCUUUCUCAAAAUCAUUCUGUCAUGAAAUGUCUUCGUCUUUUCCUUGUAAAAUCGCGAACUCUCAUAGGAUUUGUUUCUAAUCUCCUCCAACUCUUGCAGCUGCAACUUUCUCUGCUUUCCCGCUUCAUCCAUCCGCAUAUUGCAUUGUUUAACCGCCCAGUAUGCUCUGUGCUCAAGCUCUACAGGUAAAUGACAAGGAUUACCAAAUACUAAACGAUAAGGAGACAUACCUAUGAGAGUUUUGUACGCGGUGCGAUACACCCACAAUGCAUCAUCUAAUCGUAAGCUCCAAUCCUUUCGAUUUAGACCAACUGUCUUUUCAAGAAUAGACUUGAUUUCUCUGUUUGAUAUCUCAGCUUGUCCACUUGUUUGUGGAUGAUAGGCGGUAGACACUCGGUGGGUAACAUGAUAUCUCUUGAACAAAGCCUCCACCACCCGAUUACAGAAAUGAGUGCCUCUAUCACUUAUCACUGCUCUCGGUACACCAAACCUGAGAAAAAUAUUAGACUCGACAAAAUCUACAACUUUAGCAUUGUCAGUCCGGGUGGCCUUAGCCUCUACCCACUUAGAAACGUAAUCCACUGCUAAAAGAAUGUAAGCAUUGCCAAAAGAUGAGAGAAAAGGUCCCAUAAAAUCAAUGCCCCACACAUCGAAUAUUUCACACACAAGAAUAAGGGUAAGUGGCAUUUGAUUCUUAUGACUUAAAUUGCCAGCCUUUUAACAAUUCUCACACGACUUACAAAACAUGUAUGAAUCAUGAAAUAAAGUAGGCUAAAAUAUACCACAUUCUAACACCUUAGAUGCUGUCCUUUUGGGACCAAAAUGACCACCACAUGCAUAUGAGUGAAAAAACUGAAGAAUAAAAGGAAUUUCAAACUCAGAUACGCACCUUCUGAUGACUUGGUCAGAGCAAUGUUUCCACAAGUAAGGGUCAUCCCAAACAUAGUACUUAGCAUCGCUUUUAAUCUUAUCUUUUUGAGCCCUCGUCAGAUCACUAGGUAGAGUUCUUGUAACUAAGUAAUUGACAAUGUCAGCAUACCAAGGAACCAUACCUUGAGUUACAAAGAGAUACUCAUCUGGAAAAUCAUCCUUCAAAGGUGUUACUUCUUCACUCGUGGUCAAUCUACUAAGGUGGUCUGCAACCAAGUUUUCUGCUCCUUUCUUGUCACGGAUCUCCAAGUUGAACUCUUGAAGUAGUAGGAUCUAGUGGACGAGUCUCGGUUUUGCUUCCUUCUUGGCGAGCAAAUAUCUGAGAGCUGCAUGGUCAGAAAAAAUAAUCACUUUAGUGCCCAAUAAAUAUGAACGGAAAUUUUCUAAAGCAAAAACCAUAGCCAAAAUUUCUUUUUCCGUUGUUGCGUAAUAUAUCACAUGAGCAGCUCUUCCAACCAUUUGUCGGAGAACAACACCAACAGCAUAGUUACUGGCGUCGCACAUUAUCUCAAAAGGGAGGCUCCAGUCGGGUGGCUGUAUAAUUGGAGCUGAAGUCAAUAACUCCUUGAGCUUAUCAAAUGCUACCUUGCAUGCUUCAUUAAAAUCAAACGUCACAUCUUUCUGAAGCAGCUUGCAUAGAGGCUGAGCUAUCUUCGAAAAAUCCUUGAUAAAACGUCGAUAGAAACUUGCGUGACCAAGGAAAAAACAAACUUCCCGCACACAUGUGGGAUAGGGUAAAGAUUUAAUAACAUUUAUCUUACCUUUAUCUAUCUCAAUUCCUCUAGCAGAGACUACAUGACUUAAAAUAAUGCCUUGAUCUACCAUAAAAUGACAUUUUUCAUAAUUCAAGAUAAGGUUUGUUUCAAUGCAUCUUUCAAGCACUUUCUUCAGAUUAUAAAGAUAAUCAUUAAAAGAAUCAGCAUAGACAGUAAAAUCAUCCAUAAAUACCUCUAUAAUGUUCUCUACAUAGUCUGAAAAAAUACUGACCAUGCACCUCUGAAAAGUGGCGGGAGCGUUACAAAGACCCAAUGGCAUACGUCAGUACGCAAAGGUUCCGAAAGGACAUGUAAAGGUAGUCUUCUUCUGAUCCUCAGGGGCAACUGGUAUCUGAUGAAAACCUGAAUAGCCAUCAAGACAACAAAAGUGAGAUUUUCUGCCAACCUUUCAAGCAUCUGAUGAAUAAAAGAAAUAGGAAAAUGAUCAUUCCUUGUGAGUGAAUUAAGCUUUCUAAAAUCAAUACAAACCCUCCACCCAUUCUGAACUCGGGUGGGUACUAACUCACCAUAAGAAUUCUCAACAAUUGUUAUAUCAGUUUUCUUCGGUACCAUUUGUACCGAACUUACCCAUUUGCUAUCUGAAAUUGGAUAGAUUAUACCUGCAUCAAGAACUUUCAGAAUUUCUUUCUUCACUACUUCCAUCAUGAGUGGAUUCAAACGGCGUUGAGCUUGAAUCGAAGGUUUGGCAUCUUCCUCCAGCAGUAUUCUAUGCAUGCACGUGGACGGACUUAUCCCUUUAAUAUCAGCAAUUGUCCACCCAAUAGCCUUUUUGUAAUCCUUCAACGCUCUAAUAAGCUUUUCUUCCUCUAAAGUACUAAGCUUUGAAGAGAUGAUCACCAGAAGUGUCUCACCAUCUCCUAGAAACAUGUACUUUAGAUGACUCGGCAGUGGUUUAAGCUCUAUUUUCGGUGCCUGCAAAAUAGAUGGAAGAAGUUUUACAUGAGAUAAAAGUAAUUCAAUAUAAGACAUAUGAUGAGUUAAAGUUCUCAAAGAAUUUAAUUCAUAAAUUGUCUCUUGCAAUACAGAAUUUAAAACAAACUCAUUUUCAUCAUUUUGCAAUCCUUUGAGGCCCAAACUGUUAUUUAAAGCAGCUAUCAAUGAAUCUUCAACAUCCAAAUAAAAAACUUCCUGCACUAUAGGGUUAAUAACAUCCACAGAAAAUAUCGAAUGUUCCUCACUAGGAUAUUUCAUGGCAUAGUUCAUAUUGAACUCUAUAACCUCUCUAUCAAACUCCAUAGUGAGAGUCCCUUUAUGUACAUCUAUUUUAGUCCUAGCAGUCUUAAGAAAAGGUCUUCCUAGCAAAAUUAGGACAUAAUUAGAAGAGUUAUCCUCUUCCAUAUCAAGUACAUAAAAAUCAGUAGGAAAAACCAACUCAUUAACUUGUACUAAGACAUCUUCUAAUACCCCAUCAGGAUAUGCAUUAGACUUAUUAGCUAGUUGAAUUAUCACGCCAGUUUCUUUUAAUGGACCAACAUUCAAAGAUGAAUAAAUGGAAUAAGACAUGACAUUAAUAGAAGCUCCUAGAUCAAACAUAGCCUUUUCAACUCUAACACUACCAAUUUUGCAAGGGAUAGUAAACAUACCUAGAUCCUUGCACUUAGGAGGUAGUUUCUUUUGGAGAACUGCUGAAACAUUCUCCCCCAUGUGAACUCUUUCAUCUCCUCUUAAUUUUCUCUUGGAGGUGCACAACUCCUUAAGGAAUUUAGCAUAUCGAGGUAUUUGUUUUAUAGCAUCUAAUAAAGGAAUAUUUACCUCAACCUUGCGAAAUAUCUCAAGGAUGUCUUUCUCUUGUACCUCCUUCUUGGAUUUUGCAAACUGGCUUGGAAAAAGAGGAGGUAUCACCACAGGUAGGGGUUUUGCUCUGGUGGGUUGAGCAUCUUGAGAUUUAGGCAUCAAUUCAUUCUUCUUAAGCUCAUCUUCUACAUGCUUUGUCACUUUCUUACUAGGCUCUUGCAACUCCUUCCCACUUCUAAGGAUGACAGCACUAGCGUUUUGCUUUGGAUUCACCUAAGAUUGUGAAGGCAAUCUCCCUGAUGCUUGAGACUCCAGGCGGCUUAUUGUAGUCGCCAAUUGACUAAUUUGGUUCUUCAAAUUCUGAAUGCUUGUUGUAGUUGCCUGAUGAAAUUGUUGAGUAUUAGUCACAAGUGAUUUAAUAAUUUCUUCAAGAGAUAUACCUGACUUGGAGUUUGACUGUGGAGGGGCUGGUUGUCUUGGUGAGUAUUGUUGUGGGAAUCCUGAUGGUCUAACUCCAUAGCUGAAGUUGUGAUGAUCAUUCCAUCCCGGAUUGUAUGUUUGUGCAUAAGGAUCAUACCUCCUCUGAGGCAUGCCUGGAAAUCCUCCAACUACAUUGGCUCGUUCAACGGGUUCUUCUUGAAGUGUCGGACACAUAUCAGUUGAAUGACCCAUAUUAGAACAAAUGCCACAAGUCUUCACUUGUUGCACAUUACCUACAAUAAACUUUUUCACAAGAGAAGUAAGUUUAUCUAAACGUUGUUCAAUAGAAGAAAUAUUUACCUCAUUCACCUUCCUUAAAGUGGGAUCUUGCAUGCUGCCAAACUGUUGUGCAUUGGCAGCCAUAUUUAAGAUCAACUCCCUUGCUUGAGUAGGGGUCUUGUUCACCAACACACCUCCACUAGCAGCAUCUAUCAUACUCCUAUCCAUCAAUGACAAUCCUUCGUAAAAGUAUUGAAUAAGAAGUUGAUAAAAAAUCUGAUGCUGAGGACAACUGGCACACAAUUGUUUGAAUCGCUCCCAAUACUCAUACAAAGUCUCCCCAGGAAGUUGUCUGAUCCCAAAAAUGUCUUUUCUGAUGUUAGCAGCUCUUGAAGCAGAAAAAUACUUCUUAAGGAACUACUUCUUCAAACCAUUCCACAUUGUAAUCGAUCCAGGAGGCAAGUAGUACAACAAGUCUUUAGCUAGCCCAUCUAAAGAGAAAGGAAAAUCACGCAGCUUAAUCUGCUCUUCAGUCACGCCUUGUGGCCUCAUACUUGAAUAGACAACAUGAAACUCCUUGAGAUGUUUAUGAGAAUCUUCACCGGCAAAACCAUGAAACUUGGGUAACAAAUGAAUAAGACCAGACUUUAAUUCAAAAUUUACCUCCAAGUCUACAUAUUGAAUGCAGAGUGGUUUCUGAUUCAAGUUUGGUUCAGCUAACUCUCUAAGAGUUCUUUCUACAAGUGUAACUCUAUCCAUCACUUGUUCUUCUGAAUCGCUAGAUGAUUCAACCAAAUCAGGCACCGUAUCUGUUUCAUAAAGCAAAGGCGACGAGGAUCGUUACUUAGCUCACUUCGUCUGCUGUCUCAGCUGGUGAGCUGUCUUCUUAAUUUCAGGAUCAAACGAAAGUGUACCUGUACGAGAAGUACGAACCAUACACCAAGUAAAACGUAAAAAGGAUUAAAUAAACGACACCAAUCCCCGGCAACAGCGCCAAAAUUUGAUGGUUAUCGAAGCCUGUAAAAAUAAAUAACUACUCUAAAUAAAUUGUGUAUAGUGAUUGAGCGGGGUCGUUCCACAGAGAUUGAUAAUUAUUUAAAUCCUUUUAAAAUGAAAAAUGAAAAAUGGGGGAAUUGUUGACAAUAAUAAAAAUCAAAUUAAAAUAACAAGAAUGCAAAUUAAAAUUGUAAUUCAAAUUGGGAAAAGCUCUGGUUGAAGGAAUUAACUCAGCUUGAUUCGACUACUGAUCAUUGAUUCAAAUAUAAAUCAUUACUACUUAUGAAUAGACCGGUUAUAGAUACUGAGACCCUCUAAUAGCCAAUCUCUCCUUAACUAGUUGAUAGCCAAGGUACGACCAUUGGUUAUUUCCCUAAUCAAUAGACAACCCUAGAUACGAUCAUAGGGUUUAAUCAAUUGACAGCCUGAAAAACCAGAGAGACCCAAAUCCUAAUCAACAAACGCAUAUGAUGAUUCAUUUAAAUUAGAUUAUUUAUUCUCAUAACACAACGCACUACUAUGCUAUUUGUCACAAACAUUAAAAUCUUCAUACGAUGAAUCUUUUAAUUGACAAUAGAUUAAGCUGAUAAUUAAAUAGUGGCCAAUUAUCUAAUUAACAAACAUAAUCAUGACAAUAAUUUAGAGAAUAAACAAAUACCCAAAAAGUAAUAAAACAAUUAAAGCAUAAGAAAGAUCUCACAGUAAUGAUGAAUCAAAGCUUUAUUAACCUUCGACCAGAAUAAUAGGUUUAGUUCUUCAUAGAGAUAAGAGAAAAAUUUAGAUCUAGGGUUUCUUUUUCUUUCCUCCUCUAGAAAAAUUCUCCUCCCCUUUGUUUUUCAUGUCUCCUUUCUCUUAUAGAGUUUUUCCAAAAAUAAAAUACUAAUAUCUAAAAUAUUAUCUAAAUAUUAAAUUCAAAAUUACAAAAAUAACCAAAAAGGUAAAACACGUUAAAAUAAAAACUGCAGGUCCUUAGUCGACAGCACGCGCCCAUGCCUUAUCAACAAAGUUCUUCUGAAGCUCAUAAUUUCUCCAGGAAAACAAUCAUCCUCAAACAUCAUCUUGUAGCUCAAUUUUAGCACCAAUCAAUAGAAUUGCACAUACAAAAAUAAAAUACAAGUAAAUCACUAUUAUUAAGUGCAAAACAUUGAUAUUAAAGGAAGUAAACAAUGCAAAAGUAGUGCAUAGAUUGCACUCUAACACUAAUUCCACCAACAACAAAGAACUAAAACCACAAGGAUUAAAAUACACAAAAAUACACACAUUUGCUUUUUACGGAGGUCCCAACAGUGAAUUUUCUAUUUCUGUAAAUUUGAAAAGAUAACAAAUAACUCAGGGUUUUGCAUGCUCAAGGACACCACUCUAUUUACCAAAACUCAGGAUCCCCAAAACAUACUUUCCCAUCACUAUAUAUAAGGCGAGGAGGCACACUGCCCUCGUUCCAUCUCAAUUAUUUCUUCUAAUGUUUAGGCACUACUAAGCAUGUUGUGAGGAAGCACAUCUCCACUCUCCCUUGAGUAAAACAACCGCUACCCACUUAGCCUAGAAGUAAGGAUGUCAUGGAGUGCAACCGUCGCUGCCCACCUUUCUUGAUGAGUAACCGUCACAGCCUACUUCCUUUGCCCCCAUUUUCUAGGCAUGUUAUCCAAGGUCAUGCUCUCUCAUUAGUUACACCCACAACUACCUACUUCAUGCUUAAUUUUAGGUCUCAUUUUUAUUUAUAGACAAUAAGCUCCACAUUCAACUGCCAUUGUUUGCACACAGAGUGCGUGCAAACGCCUCUUAUCUUUGCAUAGUUUGGCCCCUGUGCAUUCCCUAUUGUGAUACGCUACCUCUACAUACGUUUGCGCUACUGCCACGCGUCAUCCCGUGCGUCCUUUGGGCCCUAUGCGUCUUGCGCUCCUGCACCAUAUGCGUCCUACGUUCAUGACCUACACGUCCACACACUUAUGAGAUGUUGCGUGCGUUGUCGAUGGCUUCAAACCCGACAUAAAUUUGAAGAGCUUGUCCUCAUCUAACUCGUUCUUAAUGUACAACAUUAGUGAACUGAAUUCCUUAAUGUAAUACCUCAUUAAUUCAUUAUGCUUUAGCUUUUUCUUCAAGCUUUCUCUCGCGAGCCAGCUAGUAUUUCCUGGUAGGAACUGACCCUUUAGUUUUCAUUUGAGUUUGUCCUAUGUUUCUAUUGCUGAUCACUGCACUUCAACAUCUUCUUAAAGUCUGCUCCAUAUCCCACAUAAAACUCUUCAACUCUUUGGCAUUUCGAGUCCCAUUAUAAGUCUUAGGUUUGGGCACCUUAACUUUCAAAAGUCCAUCCUUCGAACGAGAAGUGUUGUUUGCUGCCCGCUUCAACAACCCAACUUCCGUUUCAAGAUCCCCAAUGUCAACUUUCAGCACCUUAGCUAAUGCAGCAACAUCCUUAUCAUCUUAUUUAGCUUGUCCAAAAACUCAUUCACAAACUCUGUGCAAGUUAGUCUCACACUUGGUAUCUUGAUGGAGUUGAUUUCUUUGUUCUCAGCCAAACUCUCCAAGUCAGGUUGUAAAAUACCUACAAUUGCCUCCAAGUGCACUGACUUGUCCUUUGUUGAUGGCCUCAUCAUUUUGGUUUCUGUCAUUGUUAAUUUCUCUGAAAUUAUACAACUUUACUAUUGCACCGUAGCUUCCCUAAAACCACACAAUCAGCUGUUUGCAAACUAAUUUUAAUUGAAGCUUGCAAUCAAUUGCCACCUACAACAAGUUAUAAUCGUGCUUUGUAACUGAAUUCUACAAACCCAACUAUGCCUUCUAAUAUUAGUUUCUUCUCAAAAUGAAGCAACCUUUUCUUUGAUACUAGUUGUCACCGAGACUUAUCUUAAGGAUGUGGCAACCCCACGUGAUGGUGUUAAGUCUCUGUUUAGCCAGCCACUCAACAAUGCUAACGAAAGCAAAUAAAGCAACAAGCAUGCAAAGACUCAUAAUGGAGGUCUUACAUGAAAGAUUGAUUCCACCAACAAAAGGAAACUAAAAUAGCGAGUAUUAAAGUUCACAAAAAUGCAUACUAUUUGCUUUUUACGAAGGUCCCAACCCCUAAAUUUUCUAUUUCUGCAAAUAAGAAAAGAUUACAAAUAGCUCAAGGGUUUUGUAUGCUCAACAACACUACUCUCUCUACCAAGACCUGGGAUCGCCAAGACAUACAUUCCCAUCACUAUAUAUACUAGUUUGCAAAUGACGCCCCCCGUUUGCUAAGGCAAGGUGGAGCACAACCCUCGCACUACCUCAAUUCUUCUCCUAAAGUUUAGGCAUCAUUAAACAUGUUGUGAGGAAGCACAUCUCUACUCCCUCUCGAAUAAAGCAACCACUACUCGCUUAGCCUAGUUGUAAGGAUAUUAUAGAGUGUAACCAGCAGUGCCCACCUCUCUUGAUAAGUAACCACCACUGCCUACUUCUUUUACCCCUAUUUUCUACGCAUGUGAUCCAAGGCCAUGCUCUCCCACUAGUUGCACCCAUAACUACCUACUUCAUGUUUGAUUUUAGGUCCUACUUUCGAAGAAUUUGUAGCUAACAUGCUCUGCAUUCAACCACCACUGUCCCCACACAGUGAGUGCGCGAACGCCUCUUAUCUUCGCAUAGUUUGGCCCCCGUAUAUGUCCCACUGUGCUGCAUGUUUGUGCGCAACCCCCGCAUGCAUUUGCGCUACUGCCUCGCGCCAUCCUGCAUUCUACCCACAUGGCCUGUGCGUGUCCUAUACGUCCCGCACGCCCCAUGCAUCCCCUGCCCGCAUGCCCCAUGCUUCCAGUGCUCGCACACCUGCAUUUCCAUGCGCUUAUGAGAUAUUGUGUGCAUUGCCACUGCAUGCCCUUGUGCACGCUUUCUCACUCUCUCUGUGUUUUUCCUUUAGCUUACGCUUGUUACCGUGCCCCAAUCUACACAUUAGCCUUGCCUUACUUUCGUGUUUGCCUAGGAGCAUGCUCAUGUUGCUUCCACGCUUGGCAUAAGGCGACAAGCCAAGCCUAGGCAUUUGGUCAUCAUGACUCACGACAACAACACUCACCUACUAUACAAUGCAAAACCAAACAAACAAGUUACACCUCUCUAGUCACUAGUCUUGACGUACAAGUCUUUCAAUUCAUGUCUCAACUCUCCCUCAAACACUCCAUUCCAUACGUCAGUGUGUUUGAAAAAUAUGAGUUAUUUAAUGUUGUAUGAUAUUAAUUGGUUUUAUUAUUAAUUAUCAACUUAUUAUUUUUGCAAUUUGUUAUGACACAUAAAAGAUCAUAUUAUUCAAUAUCUCAAUUGAAUAUAUGAAGUGAGUAAGUAUAACAUUACUCUUUCCAUAAUUGAUAAGUAAGGAUGGCAAAAAGACCAGACCCCGUCCUUGUCUGAUUAACCUAACUCUAAUUUUUAGGAUCUUUAAUUGAAUUUAAAGGGUCAAGGAUUAGGUUUCGGCCUGAUUACAUUCAAGUCUAGGUUAGGACUUUACUAAAAAUUCCUAACUCAACCUUUGACCCUUCAAUUAAUUUUCAAAAUUAAAAAAUAUAAUACUUAAAAAUUAAGCACAUACACUACAAAUGUGGUCAGAACUCACUCCUCAAAUUAAUAGUAUUUUGUAUUCGAUUUAUUUACUUGUUAAUUUGGUUAGAUUUUUACAUGUUGUAUUUUCGUUAAAGCUAAAUAAAAAGUUAAUUUAUUAAAUUCCUUACAACCAAAUUUAUCAUAAAAUGGAACAAUAAUAGUACAAUAUAUUUAAUAAAGAAUGAAGAGUUGGAGUCUUACUCUAAAAAAGUAUCUAAAAAUUAAAAAGGUUAUUGCAAGGUGCGGAUAAAGCCCAAGGCUGAACCUGACCUGAAAAAGGUUGACCCUGACCCAACCCUCAGUUUUGAGGAUCAAACUUUUGAAAACUAAGACCCUUUAUUUUUAAUCAUAGGGGCAAGGCUAGGGGUUGGCCAAGCUUGAGCUCAACUAGAUCGAUUGCCAAACUUAUUGAUAAGAAAAUAAUUAAUAGAGUUGUGAUAUUUGACCCUUCGUUGUAUCUCACCAGCCCCCACUAAUUAAUUUUAUAUAAUAUUAUUUUAUCUUUGUAUGAAAUAAUUUAAAAGGGUAAAUGACUUUUAAGUGCACCCGCAUGAUAAUUUUCAUUAAUAUAUAAUUUAACUAAUCUAUUUUCUUAAACCUUAAUUUCUUUAAACUUUUUAAAUUAUUAUUUCUUCUUAAAUAUUGUAUACUUUACUUUUGGAAGAAAUUAAUUUAUAGCACUCAAUAGAAGAUGAUGAAGAAAUAUUUUUUUUUUAUGGUUAUGGUAAUGAUGGAUAAAUCUUUAAAGAGAGAGAGAGAGAAAGAGAAAGAGAUUAUAGUGAUUUUGAGAUUUUUUUUUCUUUUUGAAGUAGAUUUUAUAAAUUUCAUUCAGUGGGUGCUUGGAAAAAAAGAUAAAAAAAUCAUAAUAAAGAUAAAUUUGCGAUUCAAUGGGGUAAUAGACAAAAAUUAGUUUAAAAUUUUUAAUAACGUUAACUGAAAAGGGAUUGGUAAAAGGGUCAGGCUACAGUGCAACGGGUGGUACCGUGCCACAGUUCCACCAGCCGUUGGAUUCACUCAAAUGCGUGAGGUCCACUUGAAUAAGUGGGAAUCCAACGGUUGGGUGCAACUGUGGCACGGUACCACAGUUGCACCACAGUUUUAUCCUUGGUAAAAUAUAAUAAGAGGGUCAAAUCUACCACUCUAAUUAGUAUCGUUUUACUCAAAAGUUUUGCUUAAAAGUUUUACUUAUAAAUUUUGGAUUUUGACCAGCUUUAAAUAUAAAAAAAAAUUGAGAAAAAAUUACUUUAAAAUAUCCAUACAUCAUCCCAAAAAGUUGUACCCAAAAAAAAAAAAAAAGGCCCAUUCUGGUUAAAUUCAAAAUUAAAAACCCGGCCCGUUUCCCUACUUAAGACCCUCCUAGCAGUUUUAAAAUUUUUUCCCAGCGAAGAAUAGAAGUGAUGGCAGCUGCUCUAGCUUCCGACGCAUCGCAAUGGGAAUUUAGCUGGUUUUAAUUCUCUCUCUUAGCUAUUUCUGUUUCUUUAUUUAACAUUGUGAUAUAUAUUUAUUAUGCUAGAGGUUCUACUAAGUCUCCCUUUACUGGGACUUUUCUCAUCUUGGGAAAUGUUAAUUUUGCCUUAUUUAUUCAAUAUUGUUAUCUUCCACUGUCAAUAAAUUUUAUGCUUUGGUUGGUUAUUCAAUGUGGGUUUGUUCCAUUUUGUUCUUACGCUGUUUGUAUAAAUAUUGAAGGUUUGUUUUUGAAGAUGGCUUUCAGUUAAUUGCCUUCAAAGCUUUAUUUCCUAAAAGAGGAAAGAAAAAUAUACCAAAAUGUUUCUACUGCUAUAUGUUUGCGUUUUUAGCUUCUGCUAUGCUUUGUAAUGUGUUGUUUGUGUUGGUAUUAAUGCUAGAAAGAUGUUUUCUUUUCUAAAUCUGAUUGCCUAGAAUGAAUAUGAGGUGGUUAUUGAGUUGCAAUAUAUCAAAUCAAUUGAAGUCAUCUGCUUCGUAGGUUUUGAUUCUAUUAAUUGUUUUCAUUUCAGUUACGACACAAUUGCAUGGGUGUUCGAGGAAAUCUAGUACUUCAAAAUAGUAUUGAUUAUUUGAGAAACCAAUAAACUCCCAAAAUACAAUUUACAAGUUGCGAAAAUAAUAGUACUCAAGACACUUUUUUAUUGAAAGGAAAUUAUCAGCCAUAUACCCUUAAAUGACACUUGUAUCAAACGUAGUUUUCUUUGUAUUGUGUUGUUUGUGUUGGUAUUAAUGCUAGAAAGAUGUUUUCUUUUCUAAUCUGAUUGCCUAGAAUGAAUAUGAGGUGGUUAUUGAGUUGCAAUAUAUCAAAUCAAUUGAAGUCAUCUGCUUCGUAGGUUUUGAUUCUAUAAAUUGUUUUCAUUUCAGUUACGACACAAUUGCAUGGGUGUUCGAGGAAAUCUAGUACUUCAAAAUAGUAUUGAUUAUUUGAGAAACCAAUAAACUCCCAAAAUACAAUUUACAAGUUGCGAAAAUAAUAGUACUCAAGACACUCUUUUAUUGAAGGGAAAUUACCAGUCAUAUACUCUUAAAUGACACUUGUAUCAAACGUGUGUGAACACUUUUCAAGUGUAUCACUAGUAUAUCCUAAGUUGAUAAAACACUUCUGCCGUCCACUAAUCCAUUAACUUCUGUUAGAAAAUUAAUAGAAUUGUGGUAAAUUGACUAUUUCGCCCUUGAAACUCAAAAUGAGGUAAAAAAAAAUUUACCCCAAAAAUUAACAUAAAUUUUUAAUACACAUUUUUUUUUAUUUUGUUAUUAACAAUACAUUUUUUUGAUUAAAAAAAUGAAUUAUUAAUGGUACAUAUUAUUAACAAUUAUCCGUCAAAAUAUCUAUAUUAUACCAUAAAAAUUAUUAACAACGUAUAAUUUACAAUUAUACAUAUUAUACCAUAAAAAAUUCCAGUUGGAGCUUGGAGGAGUAGAUCUUCAAAAAUUUAGAUUAAAUUUUGGAGGAGUAGAUUCGGUUGUAAAGUAAUUUUUUUUUAGCAAUUAUUAAUAAUUAUCCUAUAAAGGGAAUGACAUGUCAUUUUUAUCAAUAUAUAUCAUAUGACAUGUCAUUUUUUACUAGGUAAAUGGGAUGACAUGUCUUUUUUUAAUCAAAGUUUCGUCCAUCUUAAAAGACUAGAUUACCCUUAUGAUGUCAGCGCUUACAAAUGAUAGUUAAUGGAUUGGUGGACGACAGAGGUAUUUUGUCAACUUAGGGUAUACGAGUGAUAUACCUUAAAAGUGUUCACACACGUUUGAUACAUGUGUCAUUUAAGGGUAUAUGACUGAUAAUUUCCCUUUAUUGAAUAACAUCAAGCUUUAAAUAGAACUUUAGUUCAAAGUUACAAGCAUAAAAAUAGCAAGCAUUAAGCAUGUUCUCCAUCAUUCUUUAUGAAUCCACAAAAUAAGGGACCAACUAACAACUUAAUUUUGACUUAUUAAAAAACAGCUACACUUAAAAUAUAAAGUAAAUAAUUAAAACCAAUAUUAAAAUAGAAAGAUUGUAACAGCUUUUCUAUUUUUCUGUUAUUGUGUUUACUUUAAUCAAUGGGCCGUGGCACAUAUUGUUAAAUUGUGGAUCGGGUAGUUUACCGGACACGUGAACUAAUUUGUAAUUUAGUUAUAAGUUGUGUGAACCAUAAAAAAAUAAAGUCAGUGGUACUAUUAUCAGAAUAUUGGAUAGUUCUGAAAGGUUUUUGAAUAAGCUGGCAUUGAGGAUAAUAUACUAUUGGAAGUUGAGGGGGUGAACUGUUCUCAGUUCUGUUUGUUGAGGAACAGGACAGAGCAUCUGUGUAGAAAAUAUAAAUUGAAUAAAGAAUUGCUGUUUGGCAGCUAGGAAAAUGAAAGGAAAAUUUCUUAUUUCAUUUGAUGAACUGAUAUUUUGCACAUACUGAAAAAUCCAGAAUAUGUAGCAUUUAUAUAUGCAUUACACACGCUAACUAAUUGAUAACUAACUAACUAUUAGUAAAACUAACUUUCACUCAGCUCACACUCAACACAUUUACAGAGGCUGUAUAAUAGAGUUAGUUAGGCUGUUAGCUGCUGCUGAUUUGGAUUCUCUGACGUGGCACUAAUGACAGCUGGCAACUUGACAUUCUUGAUACGAGACUUGAAAACAGACUGAUUCUUCUUCUUCACUUCUGCAUAAUGAGCUAUCUUCACAAUCUGUAAUUCCUCUGUUGUUUACGAGUUAUCUAUUUUUUUCCCAUGACAGUGUAGUGCUCUUUGUCCACCUUUCAGAAAGUUUUUAGAGGAACUGUACCUGAAAUGUUUUGUUGUUUCUUAGAAAAUGGUUUUUCCCAUGCAGUGACUUUGAAGUGGAUUACGAGUCCAAUGAGAAUGCAUCAAUUGUGCAUGCAGCAUUAGCUAUUGAUAAGGAGGUGAUCCACCACGAUCCUAUUCCUAAGAUCAUACUUUGCUCCUUUAACUUUAUUGCUUGUUCAAUAAAUUCUUACUUGAAUUCAAUUUCCAAGUGCAGUUGCAACCAGACAAAGUGAAAAGGCAGAUAUCUGUGAUUAAUGGGAAACUUUUAGUGUAAAUUUCUAUUCUUUGGUCAUUCUUAUAACUGAUUUUUCAUUCUUGUCCAAUAUUUAUUCAAUUUGCAUCUAUCAGUUUAUCCUAUGAGACAAUAUUCAUUUGGAACUUUUGUGUGGCCCGUUCAACAAUCAUUUUUCCCCUUUUCCUGAAAAAUUUUCAAAUAUGUUACUUCAGAAGAGUUCUUCCUCUAAGAUACCAUUGUUCUUUAGUAUCUCAACUUUGCUUGGACUUUGCAGUUUACAAGUUUCUACAUUUUGUUUAUUUUCUCAUCUGAUUCAGGCACUUUGAGGCAGUUGAGGCCAGGAUUCUUCGUGCAUCAUUUUCUGCUUUUGUAGAUGUGCUUACACUUGCGACAAAAACUAUCGUACAGUUUGGUCAUGGAACGGAAUUGUAACAUCAUACUAUCUUUGGCAGUUGGAGAAUCAUUCUUAGUAGGAACUGUAUUACUUUAAUUCGCCUUCUUGUUUCGGAUUAGUUGACGUUUUUGUAACAAGAGAAUCUAUAGUGUUCGUUUUAUAAUGUAAAUCUUCAAAUUAUCGGAAACCUGUAACAAAUUCUUCAAAGCUG
Molecule: long non-coding RNA, 89854 nt
Filed under: Citrus maxima (pomelo)
Lineage: Eukaryota; Viridiplantae; Streptophyta; Magnoliopsida; Sapindales; Rutaceae
Description: long non-coding RNA (CMAX_LNC000308)
Rfam family: Plant small nucleolar RNA R71 (bases 79536-79642)
Source: RNAcentral